Molecule: long non-coding RNA, 93357 nt
Filed under: Gossypium barbadense (sea-island cotton)
Lineage: Eukaryota; Viridiplantae; Streptophyta; Magnoliopsida; Malvales; Malvaceae
Description: long non-coding RNA (GBAR_LNC005636)
Source: RNAcentral
AGAAAUAAGUUGAUUAAAUUUGUGUGGAAGUAAAAAUAAUGGUAGUGGAAACGUGGUUGUUUAGUGAGCAGGAAGCAGCAGAGCUGAUUCAGGUAUCUUGGUUGGAAGUAACGGGUUCAGUGAAACUAGAGCCUUUAACCAGACAUGAAAUCAGCUUUAAACUCAGCUUCAGAAGGGAUUCUUUUGGAUGGAGCGGGGCACCUAUUUUCUUGAUGGCCAAGGUAGGGAAGAAAGGUAAGUACAAGUGGAAAAGGCUCAAGGAACUAGACAACUUGCCUAAGGACCCCAUUAUGGUUCCAACCGAUGAUUCCUUCACUAUCGAACCUAUUCCUUCAAACGAACCCGACAAAAGGCUUUAUUUUGGUUUGUAUGAAGUCUGGAGUGGGAAAUGGAAGGGAGGUUUGAAAGUUCAUGAAGCCAUCGUCAGGAAAUUAGGUUAACAACUGAAUCCAAUCCAAUCCAGACAGGCAUUUAUUUGAUUCUGUUUUUAUAUAAACAUAUAUAAUUAUAAGCUGCUGCUUUUAGUUUGUGUUUAACUUUGAAAGGAUUCAAUAAUGUAAUAAUGACGACAAUAGUUGGUUCCUGUCAGUCAUUGAGGUUUUUGCUUUUCUUGUUACACUUUCAUUAAAUAUUACAAACUCCAUUCCGCUUUUUCUUUUUGAUUAAGAGGGAAGAAACACUAAAAUUACAUCAAUUAAAAUACAUUUUAAUCAGGCUUCCCCAAGCACAGACUACAUAGCAGUGAGAGCGGAGUACAUGGCCUGUAUCUUCCUUGAUGUUCGAGCAAAAAAUACAGGAAUCACUACUUGCAAGAUGUCUCCCAACUCUUUCUUCAUUUGCGAGUAAUUUCAUGCUAAAUGCCAACCAUAAGAAUGACCCUAUCCUUUGCCACCAUUGAACUUCGACAUCACCUUCUACCUGGAGUCUCUAUCAGCUUGUAAUGGAUACGCUGAUUUCAUAUUGAAAUUCCUUUUGAGGAUUCCAUUUCCAGCCAUGUACAUCAUAUCUAAGUCAUUUUCCAUAGGUGGAACGAUGGUUGCAAUAGUAUUCACUGCGUCAUGAGAAAUUAAAUGCCCGAACUGGGACCAAUCCCAAGCCCGUUCGAAUCUACCAUUGAUGCGACCAGAGUAAAGCUAGAGGCAUCGAUAUUUUGCUGCACCACACUACUAAUUAGAAGCCCAUGAUUCGGCAACCACUUAUCUUUCUGAAAGUCUACAUGCUGACCAUUUCCAAUGGUCCAAAUUAUACCAUCACAAACAUUAUUUCAAGUCUUACAAAUUCCUUUCCAAAGCCAAGAACAAUUCUCACUCGGAAAAAAGGAAGAGUAGCUUCCCAUUUAUAUUUAGACGGUAAGAUCUGCACCCAUAACUUAUUCUUACUUAACACAAGAUGAUAACAAAUCAUCAUCAAGAAAAAGCAAUUCAAUUCCUCCAUUCUUCUAACGUCGAGUCCCCCUUCUAUUGUAGGUCGAGAUGUCACGGGGCUAGACCUUUCGUCUUGCAAUGCCCGUGGUUUUAGGCAAUUUCUUCGCUUCAAAUGCACCUAAGUCUGCCUAAACUCUCGCAAAGUGAAAAUCCCCACAGAAAUUCUCUAAGGCACAAAAGUAUAGCGAAAAUAAACUCGAACGGAAAAGCAACAAAAAAUAGAAAAGUCAAAAGGAAAAUAGAACACUAACUGUUUGAGUAAAUACUUUCAAAUAUAUUCAAACUAUGAAUGAAAUAAUUACAAAUGAAAAGGAGACCUCUAUUUAUAGUUGAACUCCCCAGAACCAACGGGAUUUACACUACAGGAAAAUAGGCUUUAGCGGCGUUUUAUUAAAAAACGCCGCCAAAGUUUUAAAAUUCAGACCAAUAGCGGCGUUCUAAAAAAAACACCAGUAAAAACAGAACAACAGCGGCGUUUUUUACUAAAACGCCGCUAAAAACAGGGCAUUAGCGGCGCUUUAGGUAAAACGCUGCUAAAACCAGAGCAUUAGCGGCGCUUUCAGUAAAACGCCGCUAAAAACCAGAGCAUUAGCGGCGCUUUGGGAAAACGCCGCUAAAAACCAGAGCAUUAGCUGCGCUUUGGGAAAACGCCGCUAAAAACCAGAGCAUUAGCGGCGCUUUUGAUAAAACGCCGCUACAAAUCCCAUAACCCCUAAACCUCAAAAAGAAUCAUAAACACUAAUCUCUAACCUCUAAAACAAUAAUUAUUAAAAUUUAUGAUUAUAUAAUAUAUUAAAUAUUUUCUUAUAUAAUCAUAAAAGAGAUAGUAUUGAAUUUAAAAUAUUGAAUUAAUUAUCAUUAUAGUUUAAGGUUUAUGGUUUAAGAUAUAUGGUUUAAGCAGGUUUAAUUAUGAUCGUUAACUAUGGUUUAAGGUUUAGGAGUUAACUAGUAUUUGAAGGUUUAUAAUGAAUUUGGGGUUUAUGGAUUAUGAUUUAGGGUUUAAAGGUUAGGGUUAAUGUUUAGAAUGGGACAAUUAUUAACUUCUUAAGAGAUAAUUUCCUUUUCAGAUUCUUACUUGGGAUGCUAUUAAGAAAGGGUGAUUUUGAAUGUGGAAUUAGCAUUUGUUGAACUAUGUAUAAAUUCCAAGCUUAUAUAACAUAGAAAUAUCUUACAGAGUGGACAUUAUAACUAGAGUGUUCCAAUAGAGAAUUAAUUGUUUUAUUAAAGUUAUGUAACUUUGUAUAAAUAAUAAUGCUAUUGUGUAUUUUUAAUUAUUUAUUUUUUGUUUAAAUAUAUUUAGAUUAAAUAGAAUGUCUGAAAUAAAAUAUGUUAAAAAUUAAGUUUAGGUUAAGGGUUUAAGGAAAUGAUACUAUUAGCUAGAAAUUAACUGAAGAACAUUUGGAUUUUACUAAGAUUCAUGUUAUUUUGUAUAUACAUACUCAUAAUAUUAUUUAAUAUAAGAAUAUAAACAUAUAUAUGUGUGUGUGUGUGUGUGUGUGUUUUAAUUUGUACUACACUAACAUUGGCCACACAAAUUCCCAAAAAUUUGUUUAUUAUGGUUUAGGGUUAACAGUUUUUUAGAGUACUUUAUAGUUUGGGCUUUAUGGUCUAGGAGUUAUGGUUGGUUUAGGGGUUACCGAAUGGUUUAGGGGUUUAAAGUUUGGGGUGAGGGGUUUUGUGUUUGUGGUCUAAGGUUUAGGGUUUAGAGUACCAGGUUUAGGGUUUUAAAUUUAGAGUAUAAUUUUGGAUUUUAAUUUAGAAGAUAAAUGUAUAUAAGAUAAAUAUAUAUAAAAUAUUAUUUUAAAAUAUAUAUAAAUAUAUAUAUGAAAAGUGGUUUAGUGUGCAAUUGUGUACAUGAACUGUAAUUUGAUCUAGAUCUUGUAAAAUAUUUACACGUUAUUGAUAUAAUAAACAGCAUCAUGUUUUUAUUUAAUUAAUUUAUAUGCAUACAUAAUAUGUAUUUUAAAAUGUGUAUUAAAUCAAAAUUAAAGUUUCAACUAUAGUUAGGGUUUUAGGGUUUAUAUAUAAUUUAAAAGAAAUUCUAAAUAUAUAGUUUUAAAUUUUGAUCAAUUUCUAUAAAAUAUUCAAGUAUUAGCGGCGUUUAUACAUAAAACGCCGCAAAAGAUAGAAAAUAGCGGCGUUUUUUUAGAAAACGCCACAAAAUUUCAUUAUACAUUAGAGUAAAACGGCGUCGUUUCCUCUGAAUAGUAGUGGCUUUAGCGGCAUUUCUAUAAUAAACGCCACAACGCGUAUUAGAACGGCGUCGUUUUAUAGUGUAGAUAAAAUAGGUGUUAAUGGCGCUUCGCUGAAAACGCCGCAAAAGGUUUUAUUAGCGGCGCGUUGCUGAAAACGCCACAAAUUUUUCUUAUUUGAAACGGCGUCGUUUUUUCUCUCCUGAGGUUUAUGCCCUUUACCCGAAAUCGAUUUCAUUUUUUUCCUAAGUCACUUUCCCCCAUCUCGUCUUCCUUCCCCAAAUCCCUAAAACAAACACAUCUUUCUUUUUCCCCAAAUCAUCCCCUAAUUCCCUAAACCUGAAAUCCCUAACAUUUUCCCCAAGUCCCCUUUUUUUCCCUUAAUCUGUUCCCCCAUUCCCGAAAUCCCUUACUAUUUUCCCUUUCCUCUCGUCGACGGUCAGAUGCUUCAUGGGUUUGAAAUGGUUAGUUUUUUAGUCCCCUUUAGAUUAAUGUGUAGUUACUGUAUUACUUGGCUUUUAUUUUUUUUUGGAAUUAAGCUUAAUUGACUGAACUUGCUAUUUUGAACAACCACUUCCUUUCUUGAUAUGUAGUGUAUGCUGGAAUUUUCUUACGUCUUCUUCUCUUGUAGACUUUUCUGUCAUUCAUGUAAUUAAAUGUUAUUCAUGGAGAACUUGCAACUCAUUUUUAGCACAUUACCUCUGCUCUGAUUUGUUCAGUUGCUAUAGUAGUCUGGGAGUGAUUAUGCUCUGGCCAUGUUGCUUUGGCUUUUAAUUAUAUCCUCCGAUGGCAGCAUUGGAAAACUUUUCCUUUAUUUCCAAACAUAUUGCUCUUUAUCUCUCUCCUUCCAAUAAAGCAUCCAAAAACGUUGACCCACCACGGAUCUGCUGCUUUUUCUUGACCCUUUCAAAAUCCAUUCCAUUUAAUUCAAUUCCUCCCAAUUCUUUGUAAGUUUUUUAAUCGUUACAUUCGAUUUUUUUCUGAGAGAUCUUCACAAAGUUUCAAGCUUCUUAAGCAUUUCUUUGAUCUAGAAUGGAUAGUAAUUAUUCAGCUAUACCCAAAGGCUCAUUUGUAGAAUUACAAAUGCAUAAUGAACACCACGACUUUAGAUCCCAACAAAAAUCGCUCCUCUCUGAUGAUGGGAACCGGGUAAAUCAUCCCAAGGUUAUUGAUGAUUUUGAUGAUCUUAAUGAUGAUGAUGAUGUUGAUACUGAUGUUGAUGUUGAUCUCGAUGAUUAUACCCUUAUUUUAAGUAAACCCAAUACCGGGUCUGGUGUUUCUAGUGCUAUUUUUAACUGAACCACCACAAUUAUUGGUGCUGGAAUCAUGGCUUUACCUGCUACUAUGAAGGUUCUGGGGCUUGUUUUAGGGAUUCUCGAUCAGUGGUUAGGACUGGUUCGGUUCGUAAUGUCUGGGUGAUGUUAUGUCUGGUUCGGUUCGUCAUAUUGGGGUUCUCGAUCAGUGGUUAGGACUGGUUUUGGGGAUCAUAGGAAGUUAUUGGUUUUGGUUGUUAUGGUUGUUUUUCUUGCUCCACUUUGCGUGUUAGAUAGGAUUGAUUCAUUGAGCAUGACUUCGGCUGCUUCGGUAGCUCUCGCUGUUGUUUUCGUUGUGGUUUGCUUUGCUGUUGCAUUCAUUAAGUUUAUUGAAGGGAAGAUAGAGGCUCCAAGGAGGAGCCCAGAUUUUGGAUCGAAAAUGGAAAUUUUGGAUUUACUAGUAGUUAUCCCUAUUAUGACUAAUGCAUAUGUUUGCCAUUUCAAUGUUCAACCUAUAUACAAUGAGCUCCAAGGUGAUGUUUUGACCAAUUUUGAUAGGAAUCUGGGAAUUCGUUUUAGCACUGCUUUGAAUUAUAUUUGCUCUUCAUUUGGUUCUGGUUUUCCCUGUUAUUCACUUUUCUCUACGGCAAACUGUGGAUAACUUGGUGUUUGAGGGAUCAGCUCCUCUCACGGAGAGUAAAAAAAGGUUUUUGGCAUUAACAAUAAUAUUGUUAGUGCUUAUAUAUAUUGGAUCUACUAUGAUCCCAAAUAUAUGGACAGCUUUCAAAUUUACUGGAGCAACAACAACUUACUGUCUUUUAAUAUGUAUACAAUGUAACUUACUGUCUUUUAAUGGUAUUGAGCUUGGUCCUAUUUCUCCUGUUAAUGUUAUACCAAAUUGCUGGCUAUUUUUUUAAUCAUUUUAUUUGUUUAUUCCCACCUGUUAUUAUGCAAUAUAAUUAAUAUUAUACCAAUCAUUAAAUGUUGUUUAUUUUUAGAACUCAUUUGAUUGUUUUGUCGACCAGAAAUAGACUUUUGUUCUUCAAAUGCAAUGAGUAGGGAAGUCUCUCGAUAUUAUUAGAGAUCAAUCCCAAGCAUCUCUAAGUAAACCCUCAAGAAAACAUUUCCAUUUCAAUCAAGGUAACAUGUUUUUCCUAACAUUUAUGUUUCUUUCAACAUGUUUUUCCUUUUAUGUUUUCAAUGUUUAAUUAGCAUUUAAUUACAUUCCUAAAUUUUUAAUGUUUUCCUAACAUUUAAUUAACAUUUUAAUUACAUUCCUAAAUUUUUAAGCUUAUUUCAUCCACUCUUUUUUGUGUUUUGUCUCGAUUUGGCUUCCUUCGUUAAGUUUCCUGUAGAAGCUUACUUAUCUUUUAUUUUCAAGAAACAGAUUUAGGUAAUGAAGAUGUAUGCCUGUGUGUUUGUGUCUCUAUAUGUAUGUAUUUGGUACUAGAUGAAAGCUUUAUUCCAGUUUUGAAAUAUAGACCAAGUUUUACAUACAUUGAUCAAUUUCUGGUUCUUUUCCUUUGAAUACAUGGUUCUCUUGAUACUAAAUACUCAGGUACUUUCUGCAUAUUCUGUGAUUCUUAUUAGAUAAGUUAUAUAUCAACAGUUAUGUUAGUUUCCAUCAAGGCCUCUGUAAACAUAAAGUUGGUAUUCUGGUUAGGAGAAGUUAAUGUUUAUGAGUUUUGUGGAGUAUGAUUCUGCACAUGCAAAGUUGGUUUGUUUCAAUCUGUGCAUUUUCAUGUUUACAUAAUAAUGGUGAUUCCAUUUUGGUUAUUUAGAUGUUCUUUUGGUCUGUUUUCAUGUUUCUAUCCAACUUAUGUGUUUAGUGUGGACUUAGAUUGAUUUAAGAGUUUAAUAAUGUCUUGUUGCUCACGUUUUAUAUAAUAAAAUUGUUAUAUUUUGUUUGAAAAUACUUUUCAAUUUCUAAUUAUAAAAUGAGAUGCCGAUUGAAGGUAAUAAAUGCUAUGGUGAAGGAAGAAAAUGGCACUGAUAAUGGUAUUUAGAAUGGCAAGCUUAUAUUGGAUAUAGUAAAUUGCAGCAAGACUCAAUAUAUUAUGAUGUUUUUCAUGGUCAUUGGCAAAUUCCAGUUGAUUGGGGUUGAAGCAAUUGAUUUUAAUAUUUAAUAUUUAAUAUUUUUAAAUGUCUUUAAAAGUUAUAACUAUUUUUUAUCAAAAUAGUAUUAAUUAUUAUUUGAAGUAUGAAUAAGUAUGAAUAAGAACACGUGAUAAUCAGUGUCUUCUUGAGUAGUUCCUGUCAUCACAUCCUUAAGUUUCCUUUGUCCCAUUGAUGAUAAGUGUGCUUUCUAUACAGUGCAAUUUUGCCAGAUUUUGCUGAGGUGUACAGCUUCAUUUACUGCUUCCUGCUCCUCCUGCAAGUAUUGGUUCAACUGAAGCUACCAUUUAAUCUUUGAAUUAAAAUUUGGUACUGAUAUAGAUAAAGUUUUUAUAUUUGCUUAAACUGAAAUAUAUUUGGUGCUACUCUUAUAAUCUUACAUCUGUUCUAGGUACUAUCGAGCACCUGAAAUAAUAUUUGGUGCAACUAAAUACACCACAGCCAUUGACAUUUGUUCUAGGUACGUACAGGCCGUUUAGUUGCUAAAUUUUUUUCCUUAUUUCUAUGCAUUUUCACUUUAAAUUACUUAACAAAUAUUACUUUUUGGACUCCAGCCUCUGUUUGCUGGUGAGAGUGGAGUAGACCAGGUACGUUUUAUUAAGGUACGUUUUAAAUAUUUUAAAGAUUCAAAGUAUAUAGGCUGGAAACCUGACCUUAUAGUAUUAAUUAUUUGAAGUAUGAAUAAGUAUGAAUUAAUUUUAUUACCAUAUAUGUAGCUUGCUUGUCCAUUAUAAUUACAACAAUAGCUGACCUUCUCUCCAACCUUAUUUUAAAUAUUUUAAAGAUUCAAAGUAUAUAGGCUAGAAACCUGACAGGUUGCCUUAUAUCGAGCUGCAGGAUAUAAUGGAUCCUCCAUAGGUGUAACAACGCCACGUAUGAUGAAUCUUAAAAAAUUCAAAAAGAAUUGAAAAAAGUUCUAUCGCUAUUGAAUAUUUAUAUAACCUUAAUUUAUUUUCAAUUUACUUAUAAAAAUUAAACUACGAUUCUUUCUUGAUAUUAUUAUAUUCAAAUUACUAUUUUAUUAUAUUAAACAUGUUUGAUUUUAAUAUUUAAUAUUUUUAAAUGUCUUUAAAAGUUAUAACUAAUUUUUAUCAAAAUAGUAUUAUUAAUUAUUAUUUGAAGUAUGAAUAAGUAUGAAUAAGUUUUUAUAUUUUGGUUCAACUUAAGUAUUAUUUGAUUCAACUUAAGUAUGAAUUAAUUUUAUUACCAUAUAUGUAGCUUGCUUGUCCAUUCCUUAUUUUAAAUAUUUUAAAGAUUCAAAGUAUAUAGGCUGGAAACCUGACGGGUUGCCUUAUAUCGAGCUGCAAGAUAUAAUGGAUCCUCCCUAGGUGUAACAACGCCACGUAUGAUGAAUUUUAAAAAAUUCAAAAAGAAUUGAAAAAAGUUCUAUCGCUAUUGAAUAUUUAUAUAACCUUAAUUUAUUUCCAAUUUACUUAUAAAAAUUAAACUACGAUUCUUUCUUGAUAUUAUUAUAUUCAAAUUACUAUUUUAUUAUAUUAAACAUGUUUGAUUUUAAUAUUUAAUAUUUUUAAAUGUCUUUAAAAGUUAUAACUAAUUUUUAUCAAAAUAGUAUUAUUAAUUAUUAUUUGAAGUAUGAAUAAGUAUGAAUAAGUUUUUAUAUUUUGGUUCAACUUAAGUAUUAUUUGAUUCAACUUAAGUAUGAAUUAAUUUUAUUACCAUAUAUGUAGUUUGCUUGUCCAUUCCUUAUUUUAAAUAUUUUAAAGAUUCAAAGUAUAUAGGCUGGAAACCUGACGGGUUGCCUUAUAUCGAGCUGCAAGAUAUAAUGGAUCCUCCCUAGGUGUAACAACGCCACGUAUGAUAAAUCUUAAAAAAUUCAAAAAGAAUUAAAAAAAGUUCUAUCACUAUUGAAUAUUUAUAUAACCUUAAUUUAUUUCCAAUUUACUUAUAAAAAUUAAACUACAAUUCUUUCUUGAUAUUAUUAUAUUCAAAUUACUAUUUUAUUAUAUUAAACAUGUUUGAUUUUAAUAUUUAAUAUUUUUAAAUGUCUUUAAAAUUUUGUUAUAUUAAUAAGAUUUCCAAAAAAGUUCUAUGGAGCUUAUAAAUAAUUCUAUUGACCUUAAAAAAGAAUUAAAAAUUUUAACGACUGAAUGGCCAAUUAUAAAUUAUUUUAUCAACAUAACAUUAUUGAUCAUUGUUUAAAUAUAUUAUAACUAAUUUUUAUCAAAAUAGUAUUAAUAUUGAUCAUUACUUAAAUAAAUUACAUAACUCACAUAACGUACAUAACAACUUACAUAACUUAACUAAUACAUGUAGUUUAAUCUAAUAAUUUCCUUAAAAGCAUAUAGUUUAAAAGUUCAAAUUUCAUAACUUACAUAAUCUACAUAACUUACAUAAAACAUAAAUAUAUAUCAUAUCAAGACUUACAUAAUAAACAACUUACCCGUGAAACUUAUUGCCAACUUUAGACUUGAACAACUACGAAAUGGAUAGGACUUGGAUGAAUUUCUCAAGGGCAAGCAACGAGUAUCAAAAUGGAGUGCAAUCUUUUUUAGAUUUUGCAUUUCACAAUUCAAGCCAAGACAAUAUGAUUCUUUGCCCGUGUAAGAAGUGUGGCAAUAUCUAUUGGCAUUAUCGUGAAGUUGUCUACGAACAUCUAAUUGUUGAUGGCUUCAUUCGGGGGUAUAAAAAAUGGAUUUUCCAUGGAGAGUGUACAACUAGUGGAGCCUCUUCGACGAUUAAUCCGGGUUAUCCUUAUAGUGGUUACCGUCAGCAUGUUAGAGAAGAUGACAUGGAAGGUAUGAUGCGGGAUGCAUUUAAUAUGCGGAGUGAAAGUUUCCAAUCAUCUCCACCAAACUAUGUUGCAUCUGAUGAUUAUAAUAUCGGUGGGAAUACUUUUAUGGAAACGAGAAGAAGUGUACCGGAUGAACAACAGAAUGAAGAAGCGGCGAAGUUCUACACGUUACUUGGUGAAAUGAAUGAAGAACUUUAUAAGGGAUCAAAAUUUUUGAAAAUGUCUUUCUAUAUUCGCCUUUUCCACUUAAAAUGUUUGGGAGGGUGGACCGAAAACUCUUUGACAAUGCUGUUAGAGCUUUUGAGAGAAAUGUUCCCAUUUGCAAAAAUCCCUCAAUCAUGUAAAGACAUGAAGACAGUGAUAAAAGAUUUGGGCCUUGGGUACAACAAAAUUCAUAGUUGCCCAAAUGAUUGCAUGUUGUAUUGGGGUGAUCGGAGAAAUCAACAGUCUUGUCAUGUUUGCGGUAAAUCUCAUUGGAUGAAUAGAGAUGUAGAAGAUGUUAAUGAGGAUGAAUAUGGGCCACAGUCAAGAAGGAAGCCGAACAAGAUUUUGCGAUAUUUUCCGCUAAUCCCAAGGAUUCAAAGGCUAUUCAUGUCGUCAAAGACAGCUGAGUUUAUGACGUGGCAUCAUGAUCAACGAACGAAUGAUGGAUUAUUAAGGCAUCCUGUAGAUUCUUUUGCAUGGAAAUCAUUUCACAAUAAAUUUCCAAGCUUUGCAAGUGAUCCUCGGAGUGUAAGGCUCGGGUUAGCAUCUGACGAAUUUAAUCCUUUUAAAAUCAUGAGCACCUCGUACAGUACUUGGCCUGUGGUCAUUAUUCCUUAUAAUUUGCCUCCAUGGCUCUGCAUGAAGCAAUCUUAUUUGAUAUUAUCUAUGAUUAUCCCCGGAGAGAAAGGCCCCGGAAAUGAUAUUGACAUAUAUCUGCAGCCACUUAUUGAAGAGUUAAAACAAUUAUGGGCUGGUUUGAGACAUAUGAUGUAUUGAGAAAAGAGAACUUUUACCUACAUGCUGCUUUGAUGUGGACAACUAAUGAUUUCUUGGCAUAUGCGAAUUUAUCGGGUUGGAGUACCAAAGGACGUUAUGCUUGUCCUUGUUGUGCUGCUCAAACGUGUUCACAGUGGUUAUAUAAUGGGAAGAAGUUCUGCUAUAUGGGGCAUCGUCGGUGGUUAGAUGAAAAUCAUAGAUAUAGAUUUCAGAAGGCUUUAUUUGACAGUACUGAAGAGUUGAAAAAAGCUCCUGAGCAGACCAUUAGAUCUGAAAUCUUAUUCAUGUUAAAAGAUAUGGAUUUCAGUUACGGGAAGCUGAAUCAACCAUCUAACAGGUAAACAAAUAGACGAUCGAGGGAUGAAUCUGAUGAUGAAUCUGACGAGGAGGAUGACCCUAAUGAGGCGGCCUUGUGGAAGAAAAGAAGUAUUUGUUUUGAGUUGCCUUAUUGGGAGCAUCACAUAUUACGCCACAAUCUUGAUGUGAUGCAUAUUGAGAAGAAUGUCUAGAGAACAUCAUCCGGAUAAUUUUGAACAUCGAUGGUAAAUCAAAAGAUAAUCUUCAAAGUCGACUUGAUUUAGUUCACAUGGGAAUUAGGCGUGAUCUUCAUCCCCAAGUACUUCCUAAUGGAAAAUAUUGGUUGCCGCCUACAAUUUUUACAAUGUCAAAGGAAGAGAAAGAAAUGUUCUGCACGGUGUUGAAGGAUAUAAAGGUUCUGGAUGCGUAUUCAUCAAAUAUAUCUCGAUGUGUAAGUCUUAAAGAUCAAAGACUAUAUUCAUUAAAAUCACAUGACUAUCACAUCCUGAUGCAAGAUCUACUUCCAGUUGCUUUACGGUGCUGUAUGUCAAAGAAGGUAACGUCCUGUAUAAUUGAGCUAUCCAAUAUAAUGAAAGCAGUUUGUGGCAAAGUUCUGAAUGUUGAAGAACUUGAAAAAGUACAAGAUCGAGCCGCUUUGACAUUAUGCAAUUUGGAGAAGAUCUUUCCACCUUCUUUCUUCACUAUUAUGGUUCACCUUGUCAUUCAUCUCCCUCGUGAAGCAAUAAUUGGUGGGCCGGUUUUCUAUCGUUGGAUGUAUCCAAUUGAAAGGUGCUAAUUUAUUUCAAAGGCAUUCACCUUUAUACCUAUAGUUUCCAGUUUCGAUAAUGUUGUAUAUGGUGUUUAGGUUCCUAAGCAAAUUGAAGUCUUAUUGCCGUAACAAGCGUUAUCUGGAAGGAUCAAUUGCUGAAGGCUACUUGGCAGAGGAGUGUAUGACAUUCUGUUCUAGAUAUUUAGAUGUUGAAACAAGAUUGAAUAGUCCAAGUAGAAAUGCCGGACUCAAUGAUCCUAACUUGGACAAAACUUAUUUAUUUCAAAGUUAUGGAGAACCAAUCGGCAAAGUUGAAAUUGUAGAAUUAGAUGACCGAUCUUGGAUACAAGCACAUAGAUAUGUUCUUUUCCACCACGAUGCACUUGAACAAUUACUCAAGUAAGUUCUAGAAUAUGAUAAAUAUUAUUCUUUUUUUAUUUGUUUAUUUUUUAACGACUUAAACAUGUGUUUAACAUAGUGAGUACAAACAAAUCUUAAGAUCUCGUCCACGCUCACGAAGAUUACAACAUCGCGAGAUUAAUAGGUUAUUCGCAGAAUCUUUUCAUGAAUGGUUAAGCCAAAUGGUAUGCAACUCAACAUUUUGUUGACAAAUAAUAAUGUUUUCUCAUAACAUUUAUAAUUACUCAAUUUACUUUCGAUUCAAUAGGUUUGGAGUUGGAAUAUCGUUAAUGAUGAAGUUAAAUGGCUUUCCCAAGGUCCGAAUCGAGUAGUAAAAAGAUAUAGUGGCUUCAUCAUGAAUGGAUUCAGAUUUCAUACCAAAUAUCGCGAGAGAUUGAGGAGAACUCAAAAUUGUGGAGUAGUUGUUAAUUCUUUAAUUACAAGUUACGCUAGUGCUAGGGACAGUACUCCUGUCAAGGGAAAUGUGGAGUAUUAUGGACUUCUAACCGACAUUAUUAAGUUGGAUUAUUAUGGAAAAUGGAAAGUUGUCUUAUUUCGAUGUGAUUGGGCUGAUGCUAAUACUGCUCACGGAAUUAAAAAUGAUCAGUUUGGUUUUACAAUGGUGAAUUUCUCUCGAUUAAUUCACACUGGAGAACAUUUGAUAGACGAGCCGUAUGUAUUUUCUUCUCAAGUUAAACAAGUUUUUUACUCGAAAGAUCCAAUUGAUGAGGGUUGGUACGUUGUACUCCGAAACACCCCUAGAGACUUGUUUGACAUGGGGAAUGGAAGUAGAGAUGACAUCGGUGAAAGAUCAGAAACUUUGCCUUUUCCAGAACAAGACUUAGAUGAAAAUAUCCCUAGUACUAGUACACAAUUUCAAUGGGUUCAUCAGGAUGUAGACGAAGAUAUUUACGAUUUAUGAUGUAGUAAGAUUUUAUGAUUUUUUAUUUAUAUGUAAUGUUACAAUAUUAACAUUGGUCAUGUUAUAUAAUUUAACUAUUUUAUAUUUACUAUUGUUGUUAUUUCUUACUAAAAUUUUAUCUAUUUUAUGUGUUGUAGGAAAAAUGCCUAGAAGAAGAUUAAGAGAUCUUAGUAUUGUACAGAAUACUACAAAUUUGGAAGAAGUAAGUACUGAACAGCAGACAGUUGUUGGAUCUUCAAGCGUGCCGGAGACACUUGACGAGUCUGUGGAAAUUCAAAGUAAUGUUAAGUUUAUUUUACAAAUUGUAUUAAAUUUUAUUAUUAAUUUAUUUUUAAAUUUCAAUAUAGUAAUAAUUUAUUAUUUUUCAGCUGAAAAUGGUGGGACGCGCAGAGGUCGAGGACGUACGCUCCUAACAGAUUUAUAUAACUUAAAUUCUGUCGAGCGUGUCAAAGUAACUAGAAACAGCCAUGGUCAGCCUGUUGGACAAGAAGCUCGACUUUUAGCAGGCUAUUUGGGCAUUAUAGCACGAAAUGCCAAUAUGUUGCCCAUCAACUACGAAUCAUGGCAUAACAUGCCUGAUAGCAAUAAAAAUCAAGCUCUCUUUAAUAUUAAGGUAACAAAACGUUAAUGUAAUUAUAAUACUUUUGUUUAAGUUUCAUUUAUAUUUACUUCCUAAACUCGUGUUUUUUAGGAUAGGUUUGCUUUAGAGGUCUCUGAUGCCUAUAUCAAGAAGGCAUUGGGUAAAAAAUGGAGAGACAAUAAAAGCAUUUUGAAAAAAGAAUAUUUUAAAAAACCCAUAAGCCUCGAAGAAAAAUUGCAAAAUGUCCCACCGGGAAUGCUGAGGUACCAAUGGGAAGAUGCAGUUCGAUUUUGGAAUUCGAAGAAAGGAGAGGUAUUAUGUACUUGCAAACUCUUAUAAAUUUUUCGGUUUAUAGUAUUUACUAUAUACGUAAGAAUAAUUUCAUUAUGUAGGACCGUGAGCGAGUUGGAACAAGCAGCAGGCAAAAACAAAAAUUUACGCACACGGCAGGGUCGAAAAGUUUUGCUUGUGUAGCUCAGGCCGAGGUACUAUGGAUUUAUUAAAUCUAUCAAGUAUUAAUAACUUUUUACUAUUAAAUAAUAUUUUUACUACUAUAUUUUAGGAAGCCUCGUUUGGUCAAAAAGUUGGACGCCUUCAACUUUUUGACAUUACGCACAGGAAAAAAGAUGGAACUCCGAUGUCAUCUGAGGCUGCAGAAAUUAUGGUAUAUUUACUUAAUAAAAAUUGAUCCAUUAUAAAUAUUUAUAAUAUUUAAUUAUAAUGUUUUAAUUCGUCGUUUUUAUUAGUGUAAUUUAAAUAAUGUUAUGUUGUAUUCCUUUUUAUUGUAUAUUUCGUUUCUAACUCUUUAACUGAUUUAUUAGGAGAAACUAAAAGAUAAGAAGGCAGCGUAUGAAGCGACUGCUUCGACUGAUAGUUCUGUUAAUUUUGAGGAUAUUGAUAACAGAAUUAUUAAGGAAGUUUUGGGUCCUGAAAGGUAUGGUCGGGUUAGAUUUCAAGGAUCUGGUGUUAACCCGACCCAAUAUUUUGGAUCCACCUUGCACCAAUACAUGCCUUCCGGGAGUCAAAGUCAAGCUGAAGUUCAGAGGUUAAAAGAUCAGAUAGUUCAGAUACAAGCUAGCACAGAUGAGUAAAUUUCUCAACUUAGAGCGGAGGCAGCAGCGAGGGAGGCGGAGCAGAACAGGAAAUAUAAUGAACUCCAGCAGCAGCUUCAGUCUAUGAUGACUAUGUUCCACCAAUUUCAAAAUCCGCCAUCAUAGACAUGUUUUCUUGUAACUUUUAACAUUAUUUUAAGAAUAUUUUGAAUAUUCAUUUCCAAUUUAUAUAAUAUAUUUUUCGUAUAAUUUUGUAUUAUUUAAAUUUGCGUGUUUUGGUUGGGUUGGAUUUCAUGGUAUAUUUGCUGUUUUUUAUUGAAUUUCUUGCAGGAGGGUUGGAUAUAGGUGUAAAAAUACAUAUUGCAAAACUGGGUAAAUUAGCGGCGUUUUUUAUAAAAGCGCCGCUAAAGUUCUUGGUCUAUAGCGGCGUUUUUUAUAAAAGCGCCGCUAAAGUUCUUGGUCUAUAGCAGUGUUUUUUAAAAAAGCGCCGCUAAAGGUCCUGGUCUUUACCGGCGCUUUUAUAAAAAAUGCCGCUAAAGGUCCUGGUCUUUAGAAGAAAACGCCGUGAACUUUUGUGGCGCUGCAUAUGGCGAUGUUUUUUGCGGCGCUUGGGAAAGCGCCGCUAAAAGUAUUAGCGGCGCUUAGAAACGCCGCUAAAGGCAAAAAAAAACGCCGCUAAAAGUCUGUUUUCCUGUAGUGUUAAAAUUUAUACAAUCUUAUCUCUACAGGAUAUACACUAUUUACCCAGUAACUUUAAUUUUACUAGAUUGUUUUACUAGGCCACCAAGGUCUUAAGUAGAUGAGCUUCACCAUAGAUUCCACGAAUUGAGCCACUUUAUGUGGGUCAAAUGAGUCUGAUUUAAUAAGUUGACUUGUAUAAAUCGUUUUGAGCGUAAUGGUUACAAGCUUUAAUCCAUGACCCAUAACAAAAAUACAUCUUCCCAUCUCACCAAAUUUAGUAUUUUACUUUAAUUUUUGGAAUUUAAUCCCAAUACUCGAAAGGUUUUAAAAUUAAAAUAAAAUUGACUACACUUUUAUUAAAUUUCUAUUGAUUUUAAAUAUACAACAUUUUAAUAUUUAAAUGUUUGAUUUAAAUAAUAAAAAUGAAGUGGUAACACAUAUUUAAAUUUAAGAUAUAUAUCAAUUAAAAGUGUUUUCGCUUAAAUUUUAUUUAUUAAAAUAAAAAAAAUUGAGGGACUACAUUCUUAAAUUUAAAAACAAGUAAAAGAGAUUAAAUUUUUAAAAUUAAAAGUAAAAAAAAAAACUAAAUUUUAAAAUUUUAAAAGUAUAAGAAUUGACAGGAAAUUAUGCCUUUUUUUUCUCCCAUUCUCUCCAGCCCAAACGAGAAAAACGACCCUGCUAACGUGUCAUUUGAAAGCUACACUUCUAUAAUACUGUUAUUAUUCUCUUUAUAUAUAUAUACAUAGUGCUAGAUAAUAAAAUUUCCUUUGCACUAAAUUCAAUUCUAGCUUUAGACGGAUAAUUAAUCUAAUGUUUGAACCAUGAAACAAUAAAAUCACACAUAUUUUUUAAUUCAAUAUUUGUUAAUUCUUUUGUUUAAGAGAUAAAAGCUCAUUCAUUUCACAACCUCGUUUUUGCAUCAAAAUUGAAAAAAAACCUUUUGGUUUAGUGUUGGAUGACAUACAAUUGGUGAACUGGUAUGAUCUGUAAUUAUCAUAUUCGAUUCACCGAAGAACAUGGUAUGACUAAUUGAGUGAUUGAUUAGAUCCUUUACUCAAUUUCAAUUCAUCAUACUAUAGACCUUUUAUGUUACCUAUUAAUAUAAGUUGUUUUUUACAUUAUGAUCCAACCACAUAAUCCAACUUAGUAUUAGUUAAAUACUAAGUAAUUAGUUAGUCAAUAUUUAGUUACAUUUUUCUUCGCGUGCAAAAACUAUUAAGGAUAAAUACAAAUGAUAUUAAUAUAAAUGAUAAAAUUUUAUUAAAUCAAUUUGUUCGAAAAAUUACAAGUACAAAUGAUUAGAGCACUAGAUCUUAACAAUUCCCUUUCUCUCGUUAUUUAGUAAAAGAUACCCAUUGUUUCUUUUGCUUUUGUUAUUAAACAGACUUUUCAACUUGGAAAAAAAAAACUUCAUUGAUUUUUUUCUUUAUUAUAAUCAAAUCUAUCUCUAUUUUUGCCUUAAUAAUAAAAAUAAUUGAGAGAAAUUUAUUUGCAUGAAGAGAUUUUCAUCUCAAUUUUUGUUUUCGUAAAAAGAUUUGGGUGUUAAAAAAGUUGAAAGAUUCUAAAAAAGUAUUCUUUGAGUGUUGAUUUUGAUUUGAAAGAAAGAAAAGAAGAAUAGUUUUGAAAACUAUUUUUGAGUUUAAUCACUAGAUUUUAAAAGAGAAAAGAAAAAAAGAAUGAAGUUUUGAAGGAAAAUUAAAAGAAUUAAAAAAAACUUUGUUUUAAAAAAUAUCAAAUUUAGGUAAUUGGAAUUUGGAAAUUUUGAGUUUUCUUGUAAAGGAUUUGAAUUUAUUAGACCACAACAACAUGAAAUUUUGGUAUCACAUUAUAUAUAUUGGUAUUUCGUUAGAAAUGUUUGUAUCCAGUAAAAAAUUAAAGUAUUCGUUAAAUUUUUUUUUGAUAUUUGAUGAAAGAUUUUAGUAUUCGUUCGAAUUUUUUUGUCCCUGUUAAAGAUUUUGACAUUCGGUUAGAAAAUUUGGUGUUUGUUAGAAAUUUCAAUAUUUGUUAAGAGAUUUUGAUAUUUCGUUACAAAUUUUGGUAUCCAUUAGAGAUUUUUGGUUAUAAAUUUUAGUAUUUGCUUAGAGAUUUUGGUAUUCAUUAGAUAUUUGGUAUCAGAUUAAAAAUAUUGUUAUAUGUUAGAAAUUUUGAUAUAGACUAUGGUCCUUAUAGACAGGUGAUAAAAGAAAAUUUUUGAUAUAUCAAAAUAUCUAAAGAUAUCCCUUAUAAAUUUUGGUAUGUAUUAAAAAUAUUGGUAUAACAUUAGACAUUAUGAAGUGUUUAAAAAUCUAAUGAUUUUCAUUAAAAAAUUGGGUAUUAAUUUGAUAAAAUCUUGAAAAGGUUGUGAGGAAAAUAUCAGUAUAAUUUAUAAUUUUAUAAAAUGAUGAAGGGAUUUUGAUGUUUAGUCAAUUUUAAUCCAGCCCAAAAUAGAAAAUGGAAGAAUUGGGCCAAAUCGCUGGGCUAUAUUAUUUCACUUUGAACUGAUUAGCUUGUCUUCCAUGACCUGGGGGCACUUCAAUUUCAAUUUCAAUUCCAGACAACUAAAACACAGAGAAAAUGGAGAUUCUUUAUGCAGUGUCUCCUUGCAGCUACGUCCCUCGCUGUCUCCUUGUAAAGGUAAUAUGUUACCCUUUCCAUUCUUCUUCUUUCUCCAUUGUGUGCGUCUAUGAAUCAUAUAAGUUGUUGCCAACUGAGUGAAUAAAAAAAAUGAGGGUUUCCAAAGGGAAAUGCAAAUCAAGCUCCUUCAAAGCUCAAACAUGUCGAACAAGUUAAAAUACCGCAUUCCAAGAACUUGUUUACACCUCUUGUUGCUGCAUUCGUCGCCUUAUCUCCCAUCUGCAACACCCCAGGUACGCAAUCCCACACAAUUCAUUGCUCUCACUUUAAUUGAAAUUACCUUAUUCAUUGCUUAAAACUAUCGUGAUUCUGAUUGUCGAGUAGCAUUUUCGCUUAGUUAAUGUCAUAUCUUUCUCAUGGAUGCAGCUUUUGCACAAAGCGUAGAUAUACAGAGAGGGGCCACAUUGUUUGGACAGGCCUGUAUUGGAUGUCAUGAUGGAGGUGGAAACAUAAUUCAACCAGUGAGACACUUUUUUGUAUUUCAUCGACUAUAGAUGAUCAUUGUUUCUAUUAUUUCCUCUCUAAUCCACCCUUCCAUGUUCAUUUUAGGGUGCAACACUCUUUACAAAGGACCUAGAAAGGUAAUAUGUACUUCUUGAAUUAGAUAUUUUCAAAGCUUAUUUGAUUGAAUGACUGUCCUACAGGAAUGGGGUUGUCACUGAAGACGAUAUAUACCGUAUCACAUACUAUGGCAAGGGAAGAAUGCCUGUAAGAAUUUACAUAGAAAUUUGAGAUCCUCCCUGCUGUAUCUAUCAUUUUUAUGAUGAUUUGUGUGGUUUGUUUGAAGGGGUUUGGCGAGAGCUGCACGCCGAGGGGACAAUGCACAUUUGGACCACGUUUGAAGGAAGAUGAAAUCAAGCUCUUGGCUGAGUUUGUGAAGUUACAGGCUAAUCAAGGGUGGCCAAAUGUAGCAAGUAAUGGGGAUUGAUUUCUUGUUUUACCUCUAACUAUUCAAACAGAUAGAUAUACAUCCAUUCAUGUUUAAGGCUUGAUCUGGAAUCUAUAAAUGUAAUUGGAGGAAACUGUUAUUAUUAGAUAGUAAUUAGGUCCUCUUGUAAUCAUAAGCAAUUCUAGUUCUCUAAUAUAAUAUAAUUACAUCAUAAUUAAACAAUCAUAUAAUUUUAAACUCUAAAAAGAUAUUAAUAAUACUUGAGAAAAAAAUUCUUUAAACAAUAAAACUUAAAAUCAAAUCGUCGAAUGCAAUAUGUUAGUGCAAGAAUGCCGAUAAAAAAAAAGAAAAAAAAUCAUAUAUAAUUUUAUCUAAUUAUUUUAGCAUUCAGUAAUAAUUAACUAUAAAUACUAUAUAACUUAAUUAAAUAUUUAGUAGGUCAAAAUGUCUCUCAUCAAUAAAAAAUAUUAGAUUAUAUAAACAAAAUUAGUAAAUAACAUAUAAUUAUAUGUUAAAAAUAAAAUAAACGUCAUAAUGGUUUUUUGGUACAUGGCAAAUAAGUCUAGAGCAAAUGAAGAUGAUGGCCAUGAGAAAUAAAUGAUAGUCCUUGAAGCGUACUUUGCCUGGCUACUUGUCUACUUUUUGAUUUGUUAUUUGUGGCUGCUCUCUUAAACAAUCUUGAUUGCGUUUCGGAUUUUUAGACGUCCUGGAAGGUUGGGAAAAGUCUCCACCCCACCUUUGAUUUGUUAAGAAUAAUGUUAGUGCACUUCCAAUUUCUUAAGGAAAGUCAAGAUAAGAUACCGUGAUUUUUAAGAGAAACAUGGAGGAUCAAAUUUCUGGCCUCUAGUUACGAAGUGGUUUUGUGACUUUUGACCGAGAUGAAACACGUCAUUGUCAUUUCGGAUGAUAGCACCUCCAGUGAGGUUACUAUUUGGAUUUCUGCAUCUAUGGAGACAAAAGUCCACACAGCGGGAUUCCAAUUUCCAAGGUUCUUGUUGAAAGGGUGGGGGAAUGCUACAUCUAGGAGGAGAGGAUAGAGAGAUUCAUGUCAUUGAGCCUGAUUAUGACGCCUAGUGGAUUAGGAGGAGUUUUGUUGAAUAUGAGUUUAUUUCUUCACGACGGGGGUGAUAUUGCUGAUCCUAAGAGAGGAGGGAGAUCCAAACUAGCUAGCUUCGGCGAAGUCACGUUGGACAAAAAGGUCUUCCAUGGAUUCAACUUCCUUUUGACAUAGAGGGCAUGGACCAUUAACUCAUAUAUUUCCUUUCAAAAGGAUCUCCUUAACAACAAGGCAAUUGAUACAAAUCUUUCAGAGGAACAUAAUCAGAUUGAAAGGGUAAUCUAGUUUGAAUGAAUCUCCUAAAAACCUGUGGAUUUAUGGUAUUUAUGUUAGAUGUAAUGUCUUAAGUGUAGUAUAUUCAUUUUUAUAUUUGUAAUUUUUUUUGAACAAGUUUAAUAAAAUUAUUAAUGAAUUAUAUUAAUACCAUUUGUAUAUUAUCCUCAAUAGUUUUUGCAUUCAAAGCAAAAUAAAAAUAAAUAUUAGCUCAUUGAUUAUCUAAUGUUUAACUAAUACUAUGUGGUAUUAUAUAGAUGAAUUAUAACACAAAACAACAACUUAUAUUAGUAAAUGAACCUAAACAUGUCCUUAUUCUAAUUGGAAAUGAGUAAAUCGAUUGAAAGACUAAUAUGUCGUCUAUUAAAUCUAAUCGGGGAUAUGUUUUGUCUUGGAUAUCAAAGUGAAUGACUUCCAAAAGACAAAUUAGGGAAUUAAUCCAUCAAACACAAUUUUAAUAUUCAAUUUUCUUUGUAUUUUCUUUUUAUGUUCGUUCAGUCGGAACUUUUCUAUUCCAAUGUAAAGACACUUGCGAGCAGAGAUUGCUCCGAAUCUACACUUCAAUAUAUAUUCAUUAGUAUUCUCUUUACUCUUUUCUUCUCUUCUUUUAUUUAUAUUUCAUUGAUUUAUCUAAUUAAUCGUUGUAUGAAUAUUAGAACAAAUUAUUGUGCUUUAUUUAUAUCUUGCAUGAUUCAAUUAUUAAACUGAUUUAUUUGUUAAGUAAUUAUUUAUCCGAAAUUGAUUGUUUAUCUAAAGGUACUUAGUAUAUUAGGGAGUGAUGCCCCUUAUAGAAUAUCGAGGCAGGUGAGAGUAGAAGGGUAUCCUGUUGCGUAGAACUUGUGUCAAGCGGUGAGACCGGGGGGGUAUCCGUAUGCCUAGGAAGAGACCGAAAGGGCGACUUAGGUGGUAAUCCUUAGUGAAGAUGAGACUAGAAGGGUAUUUUUAACUAAGGGUAAUAAAUAACUCAAUCGAGGAUAAUUAGUUAUUUAAUUAGAUAAUUAGGGAUAUAAUCGAUCAUAGGCUAGAGGUUUGCAUUGUUAACACUAGGAUUAUGAAAGUCCAUUAGGUUAACUUAGGUUUAGUGAUUUAAUUAGUUUAAUAAAUACUUUCAUUUGGAUUCGCACUACUAAUUCGUGACUCGAUUAAAUUAGUAAUUAAUUUCUAUAAUUGAUUUAAUAAUAAUUUAUCCAAUCUACAAUCCCUUGGGUACAAUCAUUGGAAUACUUACCGGCGUUUCAUUGUAAACUUUACCAUAUUACAAUUUGACCCGUACGCUUGUAGACACUACUGAUUUAAUUUUAUAUAUUUUUUGGUGUGAUAUUUAUACUAUAAACAUUAACACGUUUAUAGGCGGUCGCUUUACAUGAUAGAUGAAAAGUAAAUGUGGCCAAAGAGUCAUUUGUCUUUGUGAUAAAUAACUUGAUUACCAUUGCUAAUUAUUUACUUUCAUGAAAAAAGAUGUAAUUGUUACUGUAAGAUAAAAUAGGAUCAAAUUGGGAGAAUGGAUUUAUCCCAAAGGGAUUCAGGAUAUCUUAUGAGGGCAACAACUUAUGAAAAGGUCAUUGGAUGAGCAUUUACUAAGUAGCUUUCGUAACGGUACAUAAUAAGGGAGAACUCAACAUAUUACUUUAGUGUAAUGACUUUGAGACUAAAUAAGUUUAUAAUUAAUAGGCGAAAAGUAAGAACUUAAUCAUAAAUUUGAGCGUUACUUAUAUUUUUCCAAUCGGUCCUUCUGUCAGCUCGUUGAAACCAGAAAUGUCCAAUCGGUCCAAUCAGUGAGAGCUUCUCUCGUUUCUUUAGCUAAAACAAUAAAACAACCUUUUAAAACAUAAAAAAAUGACCAAAACUUUACAAUAUAGCAAGAAUCUGUAGACAUGAAAACAAUCUUUGGAUAGAAGUUUCCUUCUUAUCCAAUAUUAAAAGAAAUUCUACUGAACCUCUCUUACACUAGCUUCCAUCUACCUUGUAAUAUCCUGAAAUAAUAAUUUUAUAAUUAUUUUGAUGAUUAUGAUGUGAUUGCAUGAUUGUGUGAAAAUUUCGUGAUGAAAUUCUAUGCCUAAAGUGCUUAAAUUGAAAGUAGGGACUAAAUCGAAUAAGUUGCAAAACUUGCAUUCUAGAAGUUUUUAGUAUGAAAUUGUUUUGGAAUAUUAAUGAGGAGGUCUUAAAUAGCAAUUUGACCAAUUUUAAGUUCAUGGACAAAAUUAGGACAUGGAAGGAAUUUUUGGAAAGUUUAGUAGUAAGGGUAUUUUGGUCAUUAGUUAUUAAAAUGAAUUAAAAACAAAAUUAAAAGCCAAUUUUUGUCCAUCUUCUUCAUUAGGCCGAAAUUUCAAGGGUUCUCCAUAGCUAGGGUUUGUUUCAAGCUUCCAAGCUCCAUAGUAAGUGAUUCCAAGCCCCGUUUUUAAUGUUCUUUACGUUUUUAGAAUCCCGGUAGCUCGAUUAAGCUUAUGUUAGCAAUAAUUCAACCUAGGGUUUAUAUUUGGAAAAAUACCCAUAGGUGAAAUUUGUGUAUUUUGAUGUUUUAUGAUAGAAUAUGAGGUUUUAAAUUAUGUUAGACAACUUGUGCUACUCGGUUUUGAGUGAAAACGAGUAAAAGGGCUUAAUCGACAAAAAUACCUAAUAGUCACAAGUAUAUGUUAGAGAGAGAAUUUGAUGUUGCCAUAGAAGGGAAAAAUGAUCAGCAUGUUAUAAAACGUAAAAAUAAGGAAUAAAGUUUAAUUCCCGAGCCUAGGGGCAAAAGUGUAAUUAUGCAAAAGUUUAGGGGCAAAAGUGUAAUUUUUACAAAGUUCGUAUUAAAUGCUAUUUUGAUGAAUGUAUGUAUUAAAUAAGAUUAAUUUGGUAUUAUAGAUCAAGAAAAACUAGAUUCAAGUCGCGAUCGAGGAAAAGAAAAGAUUGUGGACUAAAUUUCAAAAUCUUUAUAUUUUGGUACCAAGGUAAGUUCAUGUGUAAAUGUAGUAACAUAAUUGUCAUUUUAAGCAAUUUAAUGUUGUUUAUAUGAUAUGAUGCUGAUUAUUAUCAUGAAAUAUUAUGCUUUGUGGUUAUUGUUGAAUAAUAUGUAAUUAUGUGAAUUACUUGAUGAGUAUGAACUAUCACCGAAGUACCGAUUUCGAUAUUCCAUGGAAGACGACAAAGAUGUGUGAUCGAGGAAAAUGCUCGUUUGAACCUUAGGAAUAGAUUAGGAUACAAGUGACAUGUCACUAGGAUGGUUGAGCAUCCGAACUCGUUGAGUUGAGUCCGAGUUCACUUAUGGAUGCGAAUGUCCGAACUCGUUGAGUUGAGUCCGAGUUCGUGAGAUGUAACUAGGCAUCUGAACUCGUUGAGUUGAGUCCGAGUUCAUUUAUGGAUGCGAACGCCCGAGCUCGUUGAGUUGAGUCCGAGUUCACUUAGGGGCGGGUUACAUGAUUUCUUGAUUAUAUAUGUGGCACUUAUGUGCAAAUUAUCCAUGUAUCCGAGUUAUAUUCCGAUGUGUUCAACGGGUGAAAUUUCUAGUGAAAUGGAAGAACACUUAAGAUGCAAGCGACGUUUUGGUAAGUGUUGUGAAAUGGACACUUUGGACAGGUAUGUUCUUAACCCUCGGGUUGAAAAUAGAUACAACAACGAUAAGGUGGUAAGAUGAGGAAUGAUGUUUAGAAAUGUGAUAUAUGUUUUGGUGAUACCAUGCUAAAGUUGUUUGGUAUAUUUGUAUUGUUAUGUUACUUGUUAUUUACAUAUGAACUUACUAAGCAUUUAUGCUUACUCCCUCCUCUUUAUUUACUGUAGUUUUGAACAAGCCAGCUCGGGAAUCGGGACGGUUCGAAGGUUCGAUCACACUAUCCAAAGGACUUUCAUCUGGGUAAAUGGCUUGUAAAACUUAAGUAUGGCAUGUAUAGCAAUAUACUUAUUUUGUGUAAAUAAUUUUAUGAUAUGACCAUGUUUGGUUGAGAAAAUGUUUGAUAUUGAUAAGUCAUGGUGAUGGCUAAUUUAGAUCAUGUUUGAUAUUAUGGAAGUUUAAUAGGUUAUCUAGUUUAUAAAAAUUCAUGGAAAGAUGAAACUUGCCUUAAAACAGAAUAUUGCUGCAGCAAUGACAUGAAUUUGAAAAAUCACUAAAAAUUUUAUAAAUGGAAAUAAAUGAUGAGUAAGUUAUGAAAUUGAAGCUUAAUGAGUCUAUUUUCAUGUGGAUUGAACAAAACAGGCAUAUAAAUUAUAUUUUAUGAGAUAUUUAAACUUUUGUGAAAUAGGGCCAGAGUGAUUUCUGGAUCCCCUGUUCUGACUUUAAAAAUUCAUAAUAAAUUUUAAAAAAAUAAUUAGAAGUUUUUAUUUAUAUUUACAGGUUAUUUAUUGAGUCUAGUUUUAAUAGAAACAAACCUCAUAGUCAUUUAAUUUCUGUAUAGAGAAAUAUCUGAUUCGUAAUACACAGAGGUCAGAACAGUCAAACCCUGAAACAGGGGAGACUUUAACUAAUAAACUGUACUAAUUGGCCCAACCAAAAAUUCUAGAAAAAAAUUAGUAAAUAGAUAUAUGAGUCUAGAUUUAGGGAAAAUUUACAUAUCUAGAUUUCGAGUUUCGUAACUCGAGAUAUAAUUUUUCUUGUAACUAUGAUGCGGGUAGUUAGAAAGCUGUGAAUGUAGAAAUAAAUGAUUUGAAGUUCUUAAUUUGAUAAAUAUUGUUCGGUAACCCCUCAAGCUCGACUCCGGCAAUGGUCUCGGGCGUGGGGGCGUUACAUACCUGGUAAAGCUUAAAGGAAAGUUUAAGAAUUUACUAGCAGAUAAUUAGCACAGAAGCUCUCAUAAGCUUUAACAACCAACACAUUCGUUAGAAAAGAAGAACUCUCCUGGUUUCUUUGAUGAUAACAAAGUUUGGCAGAGAAGAUGAAUCAGAUAUAUUUUCUCCACUAUCACGCUACCCUAUUUAUAGAUAACUUACAUCCGAAUCCUAGUCAAGAUUACCUCUAAUCAUUACUUGCUCUCGCACGCUUUCACUAAUUAAUCACAUCCUACGAGGUUCUCCAAGUGUCCUAGUGUCCUAAUUACUUACAAGUUACCUCCACUAGGAUGCUACGUGACUUAGACGUGUUCUACAAGCUUCGAUACUUACUUUAGCAAUGACACAAAAACACAGGUGGCGGUUUUAUUAGCGAGAAGAUCCGCUUUAUACGGUCUACACCACAAUCAAGAACUUGCCACACCAUGAAGUGGAACUCCGUUGUAUGGUGACGUUCUACGAUUCACUCUACCAUGGGUUACUAUCAUCAUUUGAUCUAAGCCUCGCAACUUAAGCGGUCUUUACAGGUGUAAUCUCCCAAACUGGACCAACUCGCCAACUAGGGUCUGAUAGAAAUGAUGAAGUAAUAGAAAUAGAUCGUGUAACACUCCUCACCCGUAUUCAACUUCAGAAUAGGGUUACGGAGCAUUAUCGAACAUAUAAUAUAAUUAAACAUACAUUUUUAAGUUUCAAAAUAAUCAUCAUCCAUCCACAUACAUAUCGUCCCUAAUAUAAGCCUAUGAGGCCUAAAACAUGCAUUGGGGAAGGUUCAGGACUAAACUGAUAACUCAGAAAAAUUUUGGAAAAAUUAGAAAAUUUUGUAAAAUACAGGGGGCAUACGCCCGUGUGGCCCGGUUGUGUGUCUCACAUGGCCAAAGACACGCCCGUGUUACAAGCCAUGUGGACAUUCGAAAUCAGAUCAGAUGGUCGUGUCCCAGCUCGUGUAAUUCUUUGACUUGGGUCACACGUCCAAUACACACGCCCAUGUGGCUAGCCCAUGUGCCCUAAAAAUGGCCAGACAUCCCUUGUGCCAGGCUGUGUGCUAGGCCAUGCCAAACCUGUAGGGUAUACUAACUUAUACCACAUGGCCAAGUCACACGCCUGUGUGCUGGGCCUUGUGGAGCAUACUAACUUGAUUUUAAUUUCAACACUAGGGGAUACACGGCCGUGCAAUAUAACCGUGUGUGUUAGACGGCUGAGACACACGACCGUGUGGACAAAAAUAGGCUAUUUACCAAGCCAUUUUGCCACCCAAUUUGCAUGUACCUAAAUCAAACUCAAAUGGCACAAAACAUAGCAUAUAAUAGACAUUCAAUCAACCUCAAUCAAGCAUAUUUCGUACCAUUUCCAACACCAACUAAUCCAAGAUAUACAAUCUCACAAUGUGCCAUUCAAUUUCAUGCCAAAAUUUCACUUUAUCAAAACAUCAAUAUGGUCAUUUUCUAAACAUGCAUUAUUUUACCUAAUUCCACAUACAUAACAAACUAAAAUCUCAACCAUUUGCUAUCCAUAAUACCUAUUAUCAACAAGCAUCAUAUAAUUAUAUUCAAACACAUAAUAAGAGCCAUAUGCACAAUUAUAUACACAACCAAACCAAGCAAAUUAAGCCAACUUCCAUGACUAUAUACAAAACCAAACUUUAGACAUUUACAAGCCAAUUCAAAUGGCUAAAUUCAUAGCUAAAACAUAUGUACCAAAAUAAUCAAACUUCUAUACAUGCCAUAUACUCAAAAUACUUAAGUUCAAAAGUACCAAAGUGAUAGUAGGAUAGUGUGAUGAAGUCUCUGACAAUCCCGAAACCGAACUAGCUUUGAUUUCACUAUAACACACGAAAAAUAAACAAAGUAAGCUAUAUAGCUUAGUAAGCUCGUAAGAAAAUAAUAAGCAAAUCUUACUAUUUAAUUUGCCAUUCAAAAUAAGUAUACAACAUACCACAAUUAAGUAACCAAAAUGUUAUUAUGAAUUCAAUCAUUUAUAUAACCAUAAGCUCAAAUCUUUCAUAUGUUCGAUGUAUAUACAAUUUCGUACAUACAUGUAUUGAUACGUAUCUAUCCUCACCAUUUCAUAUCCUCGAUAUACCCGUUGAACCAUUCAGAAUAAUACAGGAUACUCAGGAAUCUCGUACCUUAAAUGCCAAUAAUAUAUAGCCAAAGCUAUCUCAAUAUCAUAUCUCAAUAAUGUUAACUCACGAGCUAUCAACGGGUCUGCUCACACAAGCUAACAGUCAUGAUGUAGGUACACGGUGCUCCUCACACAAGUUGACGAGAAUCCGUAACACAUGCUGGGAAACUCAACCAUCGGUAGGACAUACGGACCAGCACCCAAAACAAUAAUAACCCUUAAUGACAUGUCAUUCGUAUCCUAAUCUAUUCCUAAGGUUCAACCAAGAUUUCCAAUGCUAAAUCUUCGUCGAAUAGAUUCGUAAGAUCAUAUUCACAAUUUAUACAAUAUUAAAGCAUUUAAAAUACAAUUAAAGUAAAGCUUAUUACAUACGAACUUACCUCGGAUACAAAAACGGUGAAACGAGUAGGUUAAUCCAAAACCUUGUUCUUUUCCCGAUCUAAGUCCAUAUUUCACUUUUUUUUAUCUAUAUGAUAUCAAAUUUAGCUUAUUUAGUAAUCUCUCUAUUCAAUUUAGUCCAAAAUACACUUUACAUCCACUUUACACUUUUUCCCCUAAUAUUCAAUAUUUUUACAAUUUAAUCCUUAUUUCAUAAAAUUACAAAUUCAUGCAAUUCAACCAAAAACCAUGCUAGCCAAAUUUCAAUUAGGUCCCUAGAAGUCCAUAUUUUUCAUUUAUUUCACAAUUUAACCACCAAAUUUACACAUUUUACAAUUUAACCCCUAAUUUACAAUUUUAACAAAAAUCUCUUUACAAGUGUUGUUUAUAUAACAACAAACAUGCAUUUUUUACCAUUAAACAUCAAAAUAAAUCAAAAUUCAUCAAUGGAAAAACCCUAACAAUUUUGCAAAUUAGUCCCUGGGCUAGUUAGACUAAGCUGUAACGAUCUCAAAAACAUAGAAAUCAUUAAAAACAAGACGAAAAAUACUCACCAAUUAAGCAAUGUAAUGACCGAACCCUAGAAAUGCUCUUAUGGCUUCUUAAGCUUUGAAUUUUCGGUGGAAUAAGUCAUUUAGAAAGAUGAUACAUUGUUUUUAUUAUUUUACUUAAGUUUAUUAUUAAUUUACUUAUUUAACCUUUAAUUAAACCAUUAAAAACACUUAACAUAUGUCCAUAAAUAUCCACCCACUUUAAUAAUGGUCUAUUUACCACAUACCUUUACUUUAAUUUUCUAUAGCUAUUAGACACCUUUAGCUAAAAGAACACAAGUUUUACAUUUUGCGCGAUUUAGUCCUUUUUAUCAAAUUAAACACUCAAACGAUAAAAUUUCUUAACGAAAAUUUCAAAAAAUUAUUUUAUCAUGCUGUAAAUAUUAAAAUAAUAAUAAAAUAAAUAUUUUGACCUUGAAUUUGUGGUCCCAAACCCACAGUUCUGAUUUGACUAAAAAUAGGCUAUUACAGAUUGCAUUCAUAAUGAAUGCAUUUUCUCACUAAGUACAAAAAUGACUUGAGAAUUAAUUUAAUAUGUUUUGAAUUAUUUUUUAAUUAAUCAUAAUUAAAUAAUUUAAAUUCAAAAUUGGAAUUAAAUUAAGUAGUCAUUAUGAAUCUAUUGAAUAAGGAAAUAACAUAUAUUUACUCUUAGAUUCUAUUAUGGUAAUAUUGUUAUGACUUUAAGGAAAAUAAAAUUAGAUUGAAAAAUUAAUUUAGUUAAUUUAUUAAUUGAUUAAAUAAUAUUUAUUUUAGGAAAUAGAAAAUAAAUAUUGAGUUGAUUUAAAUUAUAAAAUAUUAGGUCAAAAGUUUAGGAACUACAUAUAAUUGGAGCCAAUAGAUAUAAUUCCAAAGGUGCUCAAUUUCUCAUGUAGGAAGAAAAAGUAAUGAAACAACACAAUUCUUAGUUGAAAGAGAGUUACCGUCUGGAAAUAAAGAACAUUGGAUAAAGUAAAAGAAGAUGAUUUUAUUAAGCAUAGGUAAAUGAGACAUUUAAUCUUCUAGAAGAAAGUGUAAUAAAUAAACAUAAUGAUUUCUAUUAAUUAAUAAAAUUUUAUUGGUUUUUUUUUCUUUUUAAAUGAUUCGGGUGUUCAAAACAAGUGGAGAAAUUAGGCAUAUAUGUCGAUUUUUAAAAAUAAUUAGGUAAAUAGGUCGCUUUUUUUCAAAAUUUAGGGAAAUAGAUUAAUUUUGGGUGCGGGUAGCAAAAAUGCUCCCUAUAGAAAGUUUAGGCCAUUAGGUAAAUAAAUUGUAUUUUAUUACUUUUCAUUGGUUAUUACAUUUUAUGCUUAAUCCUAGUUUUUAAUGCGCUUUUAUGUUUUUUGGAAUAAAAUGACAAGUUUAGGCCAUUAGGAACUUAACCUUUGACUUAAAUCUUAUUUUAGGCACUUGGUUGAUGAGAAAAUGUGGAGAAGAGCCUAAGCUGGAGCCAAGGUCAUGACAUCAAGGUGUAAUGUCACAACAUCGAUGUCUUGAUCACUAAUCAAAGAGUUGGACUUCACCAAAUCGCACAUCUGAGUGGACUGUCUCCGAAGUUGCGCCACCAAGGUUGUGAUGCACGACACCAGCCUAUGUGGUCGCAACAUUGAGUUAUUGAGGUUGCAACAUCGGCCAUAGUUUCCAAAGUGGAAGUAUUCGAGUUGCCUAAGGAUGAUGUUGUGAAACUAAAAGGUUGUUUUCGUGACACUAAAGCUUGAAAACACCCAAAGGAGUAGACCAUUGGCGAUGUCACGACACUAAGGUCUAGGUGUUAGGACACUAGCUCUUGACGAGGAAAAAUUCUAAAUGACAGUUUUCAAUCAAUCAAGCCUUAAGUGAAACUUUAAGUGAGGGUAAAAUUGUCAAUUAUAGGUCAUUUUGGGUCAUACUAUAAAAGAUACUUUGACACAUUUUUUAGGCAAAUUUUGAUAGAUUCUUAGUAUUGCUAUUUUAGGUUAGAUUUUAGAAUAUACUCUUUUAGAAUUUUUUUACAUUUUACUCUUUUUAGCAAAAGUACAGGGACCUUGUACCUUUUGCAAUUACUUUAAUAUUUCAAUAGAUUUUUCAUUGUUUCUUCAUCUAAUUUCACAUUUAUCGAUUGGGCUAUCAAUAUUCAUGGAUUCAAAGCAUCAUCCUUCCAUCAAUCCAAGGAUUUCAUCAAUCUUAUUGAGCAUUUUUAAACCUUAUCUAUUUUUUGUUAUUUUCUUGGUUGAUUUAGCAUGAAAAUGAUUGGUUGAUUGAAUUGAUUAUGAGUAUGAACUAAUUUUGUGUGUGGUUGAUUAAUUGAAUUGUUAAUUGAAUAAUUUAAGGUUUAAGGACUAGGUCAUAAAAUUUGGACUAAAUUGAAUGAAAUUGACGACUUUAGGGGGCUAUAUCGAUAGAUAAGACUAAGAGGAGAUCCAAUUGAUCAUUAAGUCGAUUACCCCAAUUCUAAUGAGGUUGAGAGAUAAAUUGGAUUACAUUUCUUAAUUGAGUAAAAUGGUAAUUGAUAGGUAAAAUUAGACGUUUUAGAUCCGUAAGCUAAGAAUUAAUCGUUAACAUGGAUGUUAGUCAACCAUAUUGCUUUCUCGAUUUUUUAUUUUGUGAAUUUUAGUUUAAUUGUAAUUUAGCCUUUCGAGAUUAAACUUUGGUGUAAUUUACUAUAGCAACCUGUUUUCAGUGGUUUCGGGACCACAAUUCUAACGAGUGAGUCAAUAUUUUAAUAUUUAUUUAAUGUUUAUAGGAUGAUACUAGGGUUGUAUUAAAUUUUUGUUAAAAAAUUUUAAUGUUUAGUUAGUUAAUUAAUUAAAAAGGAUUAAAUCGUAAAGGUGUAAAGAUAGAUUUCUAUUUGUUAAAAGGGAUUAAAUGGCUGUGAAAUUUUAAACUAUUGGACUUGGGUGAUAAUUGUACCAUAUUACAUGUUAGUGGAUAUUCAUGAAUAUGUUUUAGUGUAAUUACAAUAGUUUUUAAAGGUCAACUUGGUAAUUUAAUAAUAAAUUAUAAGGUUAAGUAAAAUAAAGGAAAAUCCAUAUCAUCUUUCUUACUUUUUACUUAUGACAACCAUACACCAUUGUUAAGAAGGGGGAAAGCUUUCGAUUGUGGUUUUUUUCAUGCAUGGUAAGAUUUUUGAGCCUCGUUUUUAAUGAUUUUAUGUUUUUAAACUCGUUUUAACUUAAUUUACUUAGCCCGGUGGUUAAUUUGUAAAAUUGUUAAAGGUUGAGGGAAUUGGAUGUGUUUAGGUGUUAAUUGAUAAACUAUUAAACAAGGUUAUUAAAUAAACUUGUUUUGUGAAAUGAUUUUUGAUGAUUUAGGGUUAAUGAUUAAUUUGUUAAAAGUGAAUAAUUCUAUAACAGCCCAAUUUCAGUGAGAUCAGAACAGUGGUUUCUGGACCGCAUAUUCGAUCUGAAAAUAAAUUUUAUUUUUUAUUAUAUAGUUCGUAUUAUGAUAGAUAUGUCGUGUGAAAAUUUUGAUACAAAAAUUUUAUUGAUUAAGUGUUUAAUUACGAGAAGGACUAAAUCGCAUAAAAUGAGAAAGUUGAAUUCUAAUAGCUAUAAGGAUUAAAUAGCUAUGGAAUUCAAAGUAGAGGUCCUUAUAUGGUAAUUAGACCAUUAAAGAAAAGUAUGUAGAUUUUUCCUGACUCAUCCAUGGAAAAAUUAGAAAAUACUAGGGACUAAAUUGGAAAUCACAAAAAUUAAAGAUGAUAAUUAAUUAAAAAGAAAUUAUCAUCUUAUUUUCAUGUCUUCUUCCCCAAAAUUUCUAUGGAAAUCCUAGGAGAGAGGGAGAAAACUUUCCAAGCUUAAAAAGGUAUGAAAUCAAGUCCCGUUUUUAGUAAUUUUUAUAUUUUUGGAAUUGAGAUAGUCUAAUCUAUCUAUUUGGGGGAUUAAUUUGAAAAGUUAUCAAGGUAUGAAAUUUGGGUCAUGGAUGAAUAUGCUGAAAAUUAGAAAUUUAUUGUAGAAAAUGAAAGGUUGUUGAUAGAUAAACAACUUUUACAAAGUGACUUUUGAUGAAAACAUGAUUUAGGGACUAAAAUGUAAAGUUGUGAAAUUUGAUGAAAAAUUCUAAAUUUUUAUGAAUACAUGUGCUAUAAAUUUUGUAAUGGGAUUUUGUUAGGCUUGGAAUAGGGAGUAAAAUUUAUAGGUUUAAUUUUCCGAGCCUAGGGACGAAAUUAAAAUUUAUGGAAAAGUUAGGGGCAAAAUUGUAAUUUUACCUAGGACGUAAAUUGAGUCCAAAUGAGUAUGAAAUAUGAGAAAUUGAUGAUUAAAGCUAUUUAUAUAGAUCUAGACAACUCACAUUCAAGGUUAGAUCGAGGAAAAGAAAAUGUUACGGAUUAGUAGAUUACUUACGCGAACAAGUGUCGAUGUAAGUUCGUGUAACUUAAUCGAGUAUGUAAAUAUCUUUAAUUGAAUGUUGUGUUGUAUGAAAUGUGACUUAUAUCGAUGUGCAAUUUUUGAAUGCUAUAAUUUUAACACCCCUUACUCAUAUUCGAUGCUGGAACAGGGUACGAGGCAUUACCAGACUUAAACAUAAGCAAACAUACAAAACAGAGACGCAAAUUUCCAUCCAAAUUUAAAACUUUUCAUAUAUAUUCAAAUCAUAGCUAAAACGAGCCUACAAGGCCCAAAACAUUCAUUGGAAGCAGUUCGGGACUAAACCAAGAACAUUGGAAAAUUUCACAACACUUAGAAAAUUUUUCAUGUUUUAAGAGCCACAUGCCAGUGUGGCUUGAGACACGCUCGUGUGGGUAGACCGUGCGGUCACACACGCCAGUGUCCCUAACAUGUGUAACUCUCUGUUUGUCAUCCAUGAACAAAUUAAAGUCACACGGCCAAGGCAAAUGCCCCUGUGCUUAGGCCGUAUGGUCGAUUUAAUUUUCAUAAUUUUUCAUAAAAUAAGUGCAAACUUCACACGCCCAGGGCACACACCCGUGUCUCUGCCCAUGUGCUCAAUACUGAGCAUUCUGUUUUGCAACAAUUAAGGUGCAGGGGACACACGGCCAGAAUGCAUGCCCAUGGGGCUAGUCGUGUGUGAGACACACGCUCGUGUGUCUACCCGCGUGGAUAAAAAUAAGGCUAUUUUCCAAGCCAUAUUGUCACCCUUCCAUGCUCAAACCUACACAACAAAACAUAGCACCAUUCCAAGUACAUACAUUCAGCCAAUUCAACCAAAAUAAAGAUAUCCAUACAUCAUUUACAUGUUACCAUUUCAUACAUACAACAUCACAUGCUUAUCAACUUCAAUCAUGCAUACUUCCACAUCUAUGGAAACAUCAUCAUAUGUAUAUAUACUUAAACAGAUAUUAGUCAAUACCACAUGGCCAUUGACAAAAUGAAUUAUCAACCAACAUAGGCUAACACAGUAGGCUAAAUCAAUUAUGACACAUAACAAAAUAACCAAGUCCUUAUACAUGCCAUAACUCAAAAUAUUGAAAUCAUUGGUACCCAGAAUGUUAAGUUGAUAGUGUGACUGGAUCUCCAACAAUCUCCGAUCCUCGAGUUAGCUUGGUAACACUAUAAGACAAGGGAAAAGAAAGGAAGUAAGCUUUAAAGGUUAGUAAGUUCCCAUGCAAAUAAUAAGCAUUACAAACUCACAUUUAACAUAAAAUUAACUUGGAGUAAAUUAACAUAAAUGUCAUUAUAAAUCUCACAAUACAACUUAACACAACCUUACUGAGGGAUUCAUCACAUAUCAAGCUCAUUAAGCAUGAGUUUCAUGUACAUACCUGUACCAAUUUACAACUUACCAUAGUCUUUCACAAAUUUGACAUUCUCGUUUCAUUUCCCAUUGAACCACUUGGAAUACUAAAGGAUACUCGGGUAUCUCGCACAUAUAGUACCACACCAAUGCCAUAUCCCAGAUAUGGUCUUACAUGGGAUCUCGUAUUGAUGCCAAUAGCCCAGCUAAGGUGUUAAAUGAAAUCUCAUAUCGAUGCCAUAUCCCAGAUAUGGUAUUGCACGAAGUCUCAUAAUGAUGCCAUGUCCCAGAUAUGGUCUUACACAUAAUCUCGGUAACCCUAAUGUAAUGACAUUUGUAUCCUAUCUAUUCCUAAGGUUCAAUCGGGAUUUCAAGAUUGUCGUAACUUUUUCAAACACGCUCAAUGGUCAAUCAUAAUUCAUACAAUAGUAAAGCAUACAAAAUAUAAUUAAAACAAUGCAUUAUUUACAUAAGAACUUACCUCAGUACAAAAAUAGUAGGAAAUGGACCUUAUCGUCAAAUACUUUGUUCUUCCCCCGAUCUAGGUCCAAGCCUCAUUUCUCUUGAUCUACAAUAGAAAAUUUAACUCAUUUAUUAAUCACAUUACUCAAUUCAGUCCAAAUCUUACAUUAUGGUAAAAUUACAUUUUGCCCCUAAACUUUGACAUAUUUACAUUUUAGUUCCUAAGCUCGUAAAAUAAAAUAUAUUCAAUUUCAUCAAGACCAAAGCCUAGGUGAACCUCUUUCAUGCUUAUAACAGCUCACAUUUUCCAUUUAAUCACACUUUUAUACACAUUUUGAAAUCUUUUUACAAAUAGGUCCUUUUGACAUUUUCAUCAAAAAUCACCUAGUAAAAGUUGUUUAUCUAACAUUAAACUUGCAUAAUCUACCACUAGACAUCAAAAUAUGAAAAUAUCUAACAUGUGUAAAACCCUAGACUUCAAUCAUAUCUCAAAUUAAUGGUAGAAAUAGAUAGAUUAGGUUAUAAGGAUUUCAAAAACAUAAAAAUCAUUAAAAACAGGGCUAGAACGGACUUACAAUCGAGCUUGAAAAGUGGAAAAGCCCUAGCUAUAUCUUCCUUGUAAAGUUUAGCCAAGCAUGAAGAAGAUGGAGUAAAUUUUGGCUUCAUUUUUGGUUUUUAAUUCAUUUAAUUACCGAAUGACCAAAAUGUCCUUUUUUCAAAACAUUAAAAUUCUCUUACCUCAUGUCUAUUUUUGUCCUUAAAUUAAAAUGGUCUAAUAACCAUCUAAGGACCUGCAAUUUAAAAUUUCAUAACAAUUUGACACAUAUAGCAUGUAGAACUCAACUUUUGCACUCCUUACAAUUUAGUUUUUUUUUGCCAAAUUGAGUGCUCAAACGUCAAAAUUUUCAAAUGAAAUUUUCACGAAAUCAUUCCAUAAAAUUAUAGACCAUGAAAAUGUAGUAAAAAAUAUUUUCUACGUCGGAUUCGUGGUCUCGAAACCACUAUUCUGACUAGGCCCAAAAUCGGGCUGUUACAAUAAUGAAAAAUUUAAUACAUGCUUGAAAAUGGUGAAAAAAGGGUUAAGUCUCAAUUGAAUACUGAAUUCUGAUGAAUAUAUAUGCUUUCCCAAAAUGGAUGAGGUCCUGUAUUUGUUUUGGACAAGAUUUAGCUUGGACGAGUAAUCCUAAUAACUUCAUUAUAAAAAGGAUUUAGCCUGAAUGGGUAAUCCUGAUAUAAUACCUCUCGAGUAUUCGAUAUGAUUAGGGUUUAGCCUGACUGGUAAUCCUAAUUGAGCUCUUUUGAGCAUACGUUAUAUAAAGUGUAAUAGCCCAUUUUUGCCCGGCCCAUUUCGGUAUUUAAAAUAAUAAACCUCCCCAAAAUAAAAAUAAAACAAAGUCCAAGUCCAGUACAAAAUUACAAACAUAUAAUUUGGCCCAAUCGGAAUGGCCCAUUACUUGAAAAGAAUUAAGGUCCAUCUAUAAGCUUGACUCAUAUGGAAAUAUAAUCUUUAAGGAUAUGCAAUCUUAGAUAUGAUACAAUCUUAGAUAUGCAAUCUUAGAUAUGAUAUGCAAUCUUGAAGAUAUGAUCUUGAAUUCUUGGAGAUUUAAUUUGUAGAUAUCCUUUAAUCUUAAUCGUUGAUGUAAUUGAUUUGUACCGUUGGAUUUGGGGAGGCUCAACUAUAAAUAGAGGCCUCUCCCUUCAUUGUAAAUCACUUGAGUUUUGGGAAGCAAUAAGAAUUUUUGAGAGCAUUCACUCAAAUUUCUCUCCCUCUUGCGUUCUUACUCUCUGUGGUUUGUUCUUAUUUUAUUCUUCGUCUAACUUAGUUUUUCAACCUUUUUUUUAUUUUAAUUUCUUCAUUUUUCAAAUAUGUAUAUUUAUUCCUAUCUUUUAUACAUUUGAUUAUGUAUUUUAUAUAUUAUAAUAUUUAACCUUUUUAUAUAGUUUAUUUUCAAAUAUAUAUUUUCUAUGCAUAUAUAUAUUAUAUUAUCAUUUCAUGUAUUUUGAACUAUUGCAUUAUAUUUUUAUAAUUUGUAAAUGUUCUAUUUAUUCAUUUUUUUUGUGUAUGUCAUUUAUCUUAUUUGUGCAUAGUUUCAUUUUUUUAUAUGCUAUGUUUAAUUAUUUCUUUUAUGUGCUAUUUUAUGAUAUAUAUUGUUGUAUAAUUUUUGCAUGCAUUAUGUUUUUCUUUUAGUUUACUCAUGUUUUUAUUUGUUUAUUAUCUUAUAUUUACCCUAGUAUGAUUUUUUUCAUUAAACGUAUGUUCAUGUUAUUUAGUUUUGUCAUAAUGAUAUUAUUUAUGUUUGUAUGGAAAUGUUAGAAUAUUUUGUACAUUUAUGCUUCAUGAUGCAUUAAUAUGUCUUCCUAAAACGUCAUUUAAAAAUAAUAUUCCAAGGUUUUUUUAAAAAAAAUUAAAAGGCAAUGCUUGAUGUUUGGAAACUUCGAGAAAGGUAGUGCCCUAACUUACUGGGUUGCGACUUUUCUCGUUGAAUUCGAAUAGUCAAGCACCCUUUUAAGUGAUUUUGAGUUUUCAAAACUUAAACAAUUAUUUCGAUAUUUCAAAACAUAGUGUCCUAACUUACUAGAUAUGGCAUUUUGUUGUUUCGAGAUAGAAAUUUUCGAAAGAUGAGCUUAGUUUCGAAGGUUUUAAAAUGUUGCGUCCUAACUUACUGGAUGUGAUGUUUUGACUCGUUUGAAUUAAGUGAGCCUUAAUUUUCAAAAUUGAGACAUUCUAAUUAAAAGAGGUUUGCAUCUUAAAACUUUCAAAUUUCCGACAUUAAAGACACUUGAUAAUCAAUUAGGUACCAAUUUUUGGGCGUUACAAGGGUGCUAACCCUUCCUCAUAAGUAACCGACUCCCGAAUCCAUUUUCUCGACUUUCGUAGACCAAAAUUAAUGUUUUAAAACAAAACAUUUUAUAAGGUGAUCUAAUCACACCUAAAAAGAUUGGUGGCGACUCCCGUUUUCAUUUUUCUUAAAGUCGAUUCCCAUUUUCCAAAACUCGAUUUAAAAAUGGUUUCGACAGCUUGGCGACUCCGCUGGGGACUAAUAAGUGAGUCAAGCCGUGUAAUUGAUUAUCUCUUGUCUUAAUGUCGGAAAUUAAAAAUUUUAAAAUUUAAUCCUCUUUGCAUUACAUGUGUUUGUAUUAUUACAUGUGUUGCUAUAUUCUGAUACGCAUUGCAUUUACAUGACCGUUGUGGUCACACCCUUAAGUGGGAGUGAGAAGCUAUGCCUUCGUGAGGUUUUCGCCUCCAUGUAGGAUAGUGGAUCACUUUCGGGAUACAUCCGUACAUAUAGUUUCGUGAGAUUUUCAUCUCCGUGUAGCCAUAGGGAAAUGUAUUCCCCUGAACUGAACUCGAUUCAAAUGAGCCUAUAAUGGGUGAGGAUCGAGGAAUCUACUGGUUCGGGUACCUCAAACUUUAGAAACAAACCACAUAUAGAAAAACUGUAAGAGCUCAAUAUAGAUAGAAUUAUACUUAGGUUAUCUUUGUGUUUAUUAAUAUCAUAUGAUACUAACUAUUUUCUUUCUUUUGUGCAUGUCAUUUUGCAUUUAAAAGGUAUCAAUUCACGGUCAGUUUCUAAGUUAGAAAGUUUUAUUAUGGAGAACGGACUUCUUGAUAAAAUGGAGGGCAACGCUAACAUCCAUAAAUGGUCAAAGGAAACGCUGAAGGAUACACAUCAGAAUUAUUAGGUUACACUCGCAUCAGCGUGGCACAAAAUAAUCUCCAAGAGUUAAAGGAAAUAGGGGAUCAAUGGAGUAAUGAAGCCAAGCAGUUGUUCUACAAUAACUAAGGGGACUUGCAGUAUUUGCUUGACAGGAGGAUAGAUGAGCAAUUCAAAGUGAGUGUGGGAGUAUUGAUGGACACUUCUACCAUUAUAGCAUUUCACUUUCAUAUGAAGAUGGUUGCCAUGUGGAUGGUAAGGGUAUUGGAAGGAAAGUGAGUUGGAUGGAAAGAAUUUUGCCUAUGAUGGUAAAAAGCUCGUUUACUAUAGGAUCGCUACCAAACAAAAAGCUUGAGUUUACUGUUGUACUUAUCAGAAACAAUGGAAAUGCAAGCCCUGAUAGCCUGGAUAGCUCAAGUAAGCGUGAAAGAAAGCGAUUAAAGAAGACUGUAUCAUACAAAGACCUUUAGGGAUUAGCUAUGCUGCGAAGGUACCGAGGUAGGAUGCUCUGCGUGGGUAGAAAUCUGAAAGCUCUCAAGAAACAUUGAGGAUAUAGGAUAUUAUUUUAAGGUAGCACACUGCAGAACGGGAUACCUACCUGUUCGCUAAUCUAUCUCAAAAUAAUCAGAACAACUUCACAGGUAUUGGAGGAGGUGCCCUUAGCUGCACGGAUUACCCUACAGGUGAGGUCGUAGCUCAAACUCAGGAGGCAGCUGAUUAUUUACAGACAUUGGCGGCACAGGCUGACAUAUUGAGCAACAAUAUGAGCUACAAUCUGAUCGUGGCCAAGAGUUUGUUUUGUUGUUAAAACUUUAGGCAUUAGGGCGAAAGCGUAUUUGUAAUCCAUUUAUAUGUAAAGAUAUUCUUUUUCUAAAUAAAGUUUUCUAAAUGAGAUUGAAUCGAGAUCGAUACCUUUUGCAUUCAUUUGCAUCUUAUAGCAUUUCAUUGUAUCAUUUUCAUUCAAAAUUAUAAAAAGACCCUAAUUAGUUAAAGUUAUUAAAAAGAGAAAGAAAAAGAGAGAGAGAGAAGAGGGUCACGACUGAGUGAAAAAGAAGUUGAAUGGGAAUUAACGACGUUCUCUUACAUAUCCCUGACUUUUGUGUCAGGAGGGAUAUCUUACCCGGAGAAGGGGGUGUUUGGAAAUGAAAAUCAUCCCAUCAAUGUCAUACAUGAGGAAGAAACUGAACAAAGAAACCUUGAGGGUAUUUGUCCUUACGAACCGAGAAGUUCUUUAAACAAUUGGACUGCAGAAGAACUUCCUGUAAUCUUUAAGAAUUUUACGGAGUAAUAUUCAAAACACUCUUGUUGCUCUAAAGCCUAGGAGUAAUGAGAUUUCUUUUGAGAAGUGGGCUCAUGUUCAAACAUUUUUAUUUUCAAUAAAACAUUCUUUUAUUAUUUAUCCGAGUAAAUAUUCUUUCAUUUUGAUUCUUUUGACUUUUGACAUUCUUUAUAAAUUUUCAUUUCAUGUAAAUAGUCAUUCUUGAAUUCAUUUAUUCCUUGUAUAUUCUUUUGUGUGCCUAUCAGAGAUCCCUAGAUAUCAAUGACACGGGCAAUGAUACUACAGAUUCAGAGUUCCUUUUGAGUGUGAUAUGUGUUUAGAGGAAUCUCAGUACUUUGAAGGUGACAGAAAUUGUGACCUAUUUCUGAAUUUGUUGAAAAUGGUUUUUACCCCAUGAAGUGGUGGUAGGAAAUAUAGCCUUAGAGGGAGGAAAGAUUGCGAAAUUGGAAUUAGCUGAGGAGACAAAACAAGACCUUGUUGAGACUAUUAUGGGAAUUCAAAAAUGUGGUCCAAAGACGCAUACAGGAGGAUUUGCAAUUGCCAGGAUAAACAUGAGGUGUUGGGGCAUUGUUAGUCCACCAUGGAAAGGGAUCGCAUCAGUUGUACAAUGAAUGCCAAAUUUAAAGGAGUCAAGACUUAUGGGGCAUGUAUGUUAUGGGCCCGAGCUCGUCAAAAGUUUCAAGCUGACAAUGACUCAUCUUUGUGGACGUCAACUACUCCAUUAAGAGGGGGAGAUAGCUUCAUAUGCCAAUAUUACAAAGUCAAAAUUCAUCCAUUUCAAAAAAAAAAGAUUAUAUAUAACUGCACAAUGCCAAAAGUUUGCAGUCUUUUCAAAGAUAAUGCGCCAUACCACAGUACAACAAAGGUUGCCAAAAGAAAAGAAAAACAAGAAAAAAACAAAUUACAGAAGAUGACCGAGAUUGGUAAAAAUUGGUAAAAGAAACUACCGCCUACUCUCUAUGCUUACACUGGGGCAAACACCUUCAAUUUUAGUUGUUUCAAAGGUUCUAACCAACAUCCUUGGAAUGGGUGCGUUGUUUGGCUUUCUUGAGCAGUUUGAUGUGCCGUCAAUGGUUAGCUCCAGGCGGUGGCCAUUGAUUUCUAGCUAUGGGGCAUCAGGCCGUACACAGUCUCUGAAGCUUAAAGUGAUAGAUUCUUUCUUCAAAACUAGUUUCUGACAAAGUGGAUGAUGGUAUCGUGAAAGAAGCUCUCUUAGACUUCUAUACAAGUUCAGGGAAGAAGAAACUUGAUCAAAUCAUUAUUUUCAGGGAUGGGGUCAGCGAGUUUCAAUUCAAUCAAGUUUUGAUCAAGUUGUUGAGGCUUGCAAGUUCCUUGACGAGAAGUGGAACCCUAAAGAUUGUGGUUAUUAUUGUACGAAAAACCAUCAAACCAAGUUUUUCAGCAGGGAUCUCCUGACAAUGUGCUACAUGGUAUUGUCAUUGACAAAAAAGUAUGCCAUCCAAAGAAAAAUGAUUUUUACCUUGGUACCCAUGCUGGAAUGAUUGUAAUCAUGAGGCAGACCCACUAUCAUGUUCUCUUAGACCAGGUUGGGUUUUCGACUGAUGAUCUGCAAGAGUUUGUUUAUUCUGUAUCUUAUAUGUAUCCCCACAGCCAUAUUUGUUGUGGCUCCUAUUUGCUACGCUUAUUUGGCAGCUUCACAGUUGGGGGCAAUUUAUGAAGAUUAGGGAUGCUUUAGAAACAUCAUCUAGUCAUGGUGGGAUAUAUGCUCCGAGAGUAAUAUUUGUACCUCAGCUUUCCAGGUUGAAGGAUAAAGUCAGCAACUUCAUUCUUGUCUGCUGAGAAUCAUUGAACCAUCUUUUUGUAGGGUUUGACAAACAACAGCCAGGACUGCUGCUGGGGCAAUCUGUUUCUCAUGGAUUUAUAAAUCAAGAUUUUUCCUCCAAGCUUUGAUGGAGUCAAGAAUUGAAUACCUCUAGUAAACUUAACUUGAAAGUAUUCAUCCUAAGAAAAUGUACCAAGAAUGGAUGACACAGACUUAUGACAAAGAAGGUUCGUCCAAAAGAAUUUCAUAAAGGAAACCUUGUGCUGAAAGAGAUCCUUCCCAUGCAAAAGGAUGCCGAAUUGGGAAGGGCCAUAUGUUGCGAAGAGGGCUUUCUCUAGAGGUGCACUGAUUUUGACAAGAAAUGGAUAGGAAGAAUUUAUCUAAUCCAGUGAAUUCGGACUCGGUCAAGGAGUACUUUAUCUGAAAGAGAAAGGAAGCCAAGGUGAAAACCCGCAAAGGGUAGUUUGGGACUUCUAUUUCAAAAAAAAGGAAAAAAAGAAAAGAAAAAGAGAAAAAAAUAAAAAGAAAAAAGAGAAAAAAGAAAAAAGAAAAAUGGAGAGGCCAAGGUGAAAACCCGCAAAGGGCGCCUUGAGACCAAAGGGGUUUUGAAUUGAAAACUCGAAAGGGUAGCUCAAAUUUGGAAAGUCAUGCAGUGACCUUGCUAUACCGAAUUCAACGAGAAGUGAAGUAUGUUACAUAUUGAGCCAUCAACGAAUUACUUUGGAUCUUUUAAACACAUGUUGAACUCAAGAAAGUCUUUAUGGAGCUGGUGUAUAGACAUUCAAGCGGCGAUAUCUGGGGCAUCUAAUUUCUGUCCUAUUUACUAUCUUUGGAUUCUUUUUCUUCCCAAAGAUAUGUUCUUAGGGUAAUCUUUUUGCAUUCCUUCCAAUAAUUUGUCCAAAUCUAAUUAUCCUUAGGAUCAAUUUAUUUGUCUCCCAUUAUUCAUAAAGCAUGUUGCAUUGAAAUAAUAAUAGAUGAACUAAAAUAUCUUCACAAACGAAGUUUUGCAUAUUACUCUAGAAAUUUCUAGAUAAUACAAGAAACUGAAACAAGACAAUUGUUUAAGGAAUUCCCAUAUGUAUGGGUUGGAGAUACUCGAGAGAUUUUUCUUCUUCAGUCCAAAAGGUGGUUGGACGUUUUAAGCAAUAUUGAUCUUAAGAAAGGAUCAUUUCAUAAACAUCUUCAGUGGGUUGUAACAUUCGGGGAAUGGUACGGUAGACCAAAUUGAUGGAGAAGAUUCGAGGCAUACGAUCAGAGGAUGAUUGAUAUGUCGAGAAGAACGAGGUGGAAAGCUCGAUAGAUGAAUGAGUGAUGACGUCCGAAAUAUGAGUUAUUUUCAUAAACAUUUUGCAUCAUAAUAUGUCUAAUUAGGAGCAUUUGACUCAUUUCGAUCAUGGCAUCUUAAUUAUUUGGCAUAAGCAUAAAUUCCAGGAAAUCAAUUCUACAGGUGGAUUCCCCAGUGGACAAUGUAGCAAGAUUGAUUGAAAAUUACAAAAUUCAGCGCCUUAAUCCCUAAGCAGUAGGGUAACAGGUUAAAUUUGCAGAUCUUAUCUCCCUAAACAGUAGUGGAGCAGAUCGAAGAUUUGCCUUAAUCCCCUAAGCAGUAGGGUAACAGGUUAAAUUUGCAGAUCUUAUCUCCCUAAGCAGUAGUAGAGCAUAUCGAAGACCCGCCUUAAUCCCCUAAGCGGUAGGGUAACAGGUUAAAUUUGCAGAUCUUAUCUCCCUAAGUAGUAGUGGAGCAGAUCGAAGACUCACCUUAAUCCCCUAAGCAGUAGGGUAACAGGUUCGCAGAUCUUAUCUCUCUAAGCAGUAAUGGAGCAGAUUGACGGCGACUUGCCUUAAUCCACUAAGCAGUAGGGUAACAAGUUAAAUUUGCAGAUCUUAUCUUCCUAAGCAGUAGUGGAGUAGAUCGAAGAUUCACCUUAACCCCCUAAGCAGUAGGGUAACAGGUUAAAGUAUAGCAGAUCUGACCUUCAAGUGUUUACACUGAAGCAGAUCCAAGAUGAUUUGGCAUCUCUAUAUUGUCAGAGAACAAAUUGAAGAAACAGAUUUGGCAUCUGCAUAUUUGACGGAGAGCAGAUCGAAGACAUAGAAGAUCUGACCUUCGAAUAUUUUCACAUUGAAGCAGAUCCAAGAUGAUUUAGCAUCCUUGUGUUUACAAGGAGCAAAUCGAAGACAUAGUAGAUCUGACCUUCAGGUGUUUACACUGAAACAGAUCCAAGAUGAUUUGGCAUCCCUGUGUUUACAGGGAACAGAUCGAAGACAUAGCAAAUCUGACAUUCCUGUGCUUACAGCGAAGCAGAUCGAAGAUUUCAGCGUGGCAUCCCUGUGUUUAUAGGGAACAAGUUGAAGAUAGUAGAUUUGGCAUCUCCAUAUUCGAUGGGGAGCAGAUUAAAGACAUAGCAGAUCUGACCUUCCUAUGUUUACAUCGAAACAGAUCCAAGAUGAUUUGGCAUCUUGGUAUUGACAGGGAACAAAUCGAAAAGUUAAUUUGGCGUCUCUAUGUUCGAUGGAGAGUAGAUCGAAGAUAUCAACAUGACAAUCCUGAGUUUGCAAGGAGUAGAUUGAGGACCAUGAAGUCUGAAGCUGAUGAGACCGGGCAAAAUGGGUCAUUUUAUAGUCUUUGCUCUAUUCUCGUUACACGACAAUGAGCAAAGAGGGGCAGCUGUAAUGGCCCAUUUUUGCCUGGCCCAUUUCAGUAUUUAAAAUAAUAAACCCCCCCAAAAUAAAAAUAAAACAAAGUCCAAGUCUAGUACAAAAUUACAAACUUAUAAUUUGGCCCAAUCGGAAUGGCCCAUUACUUGAAAAGAUUUAAGGUCCAUCUAUAAGCUUAACUCAUAUGGAAAUAUAAUAUUUAAGGAUAUGCAAUCUUAGAUAUGAUAUGCAAUCUUAGAUAUGAUACAAUCUUGGAUAUGAUAUGCAAUCUUGAAGAUAUGAUUUUGUAACCUUGGAGAUUUAAUUUGUAGAUAUCCUUUAAUCUUAAUCGUUGAUGUAAUGGAUCUGUACCGUUGGAUUUGGGGAGGCUCAACUAUAAAUAGAGGCCUCUCCCUUCAUUGUAAAUCACUUGAAUUUUGGGAAGCAAUAAGAAUUUUUGAGAGCAUUCACUCAAAUUUCUCUCCCUCUUGCAUUCUUACUCUCUGUGGUUUGUUCUUAUUUUAUCCUUCGUCUAUCUUAGUUUUUCAACCUUUUUUUUUUUAAUUUCUUCAUUUUUCAAAUAUGUAUAUUUAUUCCUAUCUUUUAUACAUUUGAUUAUGUAUUUUAUAUAUUAUAAUAUUUAACCUUUUUAUAUAGUUUAUUUUCAAAUAUAUAUUUUCUAUGCAUAUAUAUAUUAUAUUAUCAUUUCAUGUAUUUUGAACUAUUGCAUUAUAUUUUUAUAAUUUGUAAAUGUUCUAUUUAUUCAUUUUUUUGUGUAUGUCAUUUAUCUUAUUUGUGCACAGUUUCAUUUUUUUAUAUGCUAUGUUUAAUUAUUUCUUUUAUGUGCUAUUUUAUGAUAUAUAUUGUUGUAUAAUUUUUGCAUGUAUUAUGUUUUUCUUUUAGUUUACUCAUGCUUUUAUUUGUAUAUUAUCUUAAUAUUUACCCUAGUAUGAUUUUUUUCAUUAAACGUAUGUUCAUGUUAUUUAGUUUUGUCAUAAUGAUAUUAUUUAUGUUUGUAUGGAAAUGUUAGAAUAUUUUGUACAUCUAUGCUUCAUGAUGCAUUAAUAUGUCAUCCUAGAACGUCAUUUAAAAAUAAUAUUCCAAGGUUUUUUUAAAAAAAAAGUUAAAAGGCAAUGCUUGAUGUUUGGAAACUUCGAGAAAGGUAGUGCCCUAACUUACUGGGUUGCGACUUUUCUCGUUGAAUUCAAAUAGUCAAGCACCCUUCUAAGUGAUUUUGAGUUUUCAAAACUUAAACAAUUAUUUCGAUAUUUCAAAACAUAGUGUCCUAACUUACUGGAUAUGGCGUUUUGUUGUUUCGAGAUAGAAAUUUUCGAAAGACGAGCUUAGUUUCGAAGGUUUUAAAAUGUUACGUCCUAACUUACUGGAUGUGAUGUUUUGACUCGUUUGAAAUAAGUGAGCCUUAAUUUUCAAAAUUGAGACAUUCUAAUUAAAAGAGGUUUGCAUAUUAAAAAUUUCAAAUUUCCGACAUUAAAGACACUUGAUAAUCAAUUAGGUACCAAUUUUUGGGCGUUACGAGGGUGCUAACCCUUCCUCGUACGUAACCGACUCCCGAAUCUGUUUUCUUGACUUUCGUAGACCAAAAUUAAUGUUUUAAAAGAAAACAUUUUAUAAGGUGAUCCAAUCACACCUAAAAAGAUUGGUGGCGACUCCCGUUUUCGUUUUUCUUAAAGUCAAUUCCUAUUUUCCAAAACUCGAUUUAAAAAUGGUUUCGACAUAAAGGAUUUAGCCUAAACUGGUAAUCCUGUUAUACGAUAUGCCGCUCGAGAGUGUGUUCCUUGAUUAAGUGCCUUAAUGGGUACUUUUGAAUAAGAAUUGACAGAUUAUUGAAUCGUACACCUUGAGUGUACUACUUGAGCAUCCAUUAGAAUUUGAAUGAUUCAACGGACACAACUCUUGACAUGGUAUGAGAACUUUGAGAUGAAAUGAUAAUGACUUGAAAGAAUAUUGCAUGAUGAGCUCAUCUAUGUUUACUUGAUUGAUAUGAAGAUUUUGGUGACUAACAUGUUUGAUUGAAUGCAUGUGUUUAGGAAAUUUUGCUAAUGGAUGGAAAACAUGAUAUUGUUUGCUUAAAUUUAAUAAACAGGAUUGGUAAGUUUAGUUUUCGUUAAACGAACUUACUAAGCAUGUAAUGCUUAUUCCGUUUUAUUUUCCCUAUUUUAUAGUGCUUGGAAGCGCACAAAGGUUGGAGAUUAGUGGAGCAUCGUCACACUAUCAACUUACUUAUUUUAGGUAUAUAUAGAGAAAUCAUUUUGGUAUAAUUACAUGUAUAGGACAACUUGACCAUUAGUAGCUUGAUAAUGAUUCUUGCAAUCUAGACAUUGGAAUGACUAGUAAUGGUUAUUUUGAUAUACUUGUAAUGUCAUGCUAUGGUAGCUAAAUAUAUGUUAAGUAGUUGAUAAAAUUAUGUCCAAUAAAUGGAUUAAACCACGGUAAGAUUGUAAGCAUGUAUGCAUGUAAUGGUAUGCCAUGAUGAAUGAUUGAACUUGUUUAAUUUGAAUGCUUAGAAUGGUUGGUAUUGGAUGUAUGUUUCAAGUGCAGGUCAUAAGAGUGAUUUUGGGUGAGAAAUGAAGCUAGAAAUGACUUUAUUUUGUCCACAUGGGUAGACAAACGGGCGUGUGUCUAGACUGUGUGUGACACACAACCUGGUACAUGGGCAUGUGGUUAGGCCAUAUGUUCCCUGCACCUAAAUUUUGAGAAAUAGAAUGCUCAGAAUUGAGCACACGGGCAUGUGUCUUAGCCGUGUGUGCUACACAGCCUGAAACAUGGGCGUGUGUCUUGGCCGUAUGAAACAUGCACCUAAUUUCGAAGAAAAUUAAUUAACCACACGGCCUAGCACAUGGACGUAUGCCAUGGUCUUGUGCACAAGUCAGAGAAUUACACGGGGUCAAACACGGCCUGCAGCACGGGUGUGUCCCAGGGUCACACGGGCGUGUUCCCUCAGGCCACAUGGGCGUGUGAGACCUGUACCUUGGAAAAAUUUUGUAAUAUUGCGAAAAAUUCUUAGAGAUCCCGAUUAAGUCCCUACUCAAUUCUAGUGCUCGUAUUGGGCCUCCAGGGUCCCUUUAAGGGACGUUUUGAAUAAUCUUGGGAAAUGAAAAGUGAUUGACAUGAUUUAUCUAUAAAUAUUCUGAAAGUUUCGGUAAUGCUCCAUAACCCUGUUUCGGCGACGGAUACGGGUUAGAGGUGUUACAAAUUCCUUAAGGUUAAUGCAAAAUUUUGAUGAAUAUGGACUGUUUAGGGUCCCUAGUAAAAUCGGCUAGCAUGUUUUAGUUGGAAAAAAUGGUAAUUUUGUAAGUUUUAGGAUUAAGGACUAAAUUGUGUAAAACUUAAAAUGUUAGGGGUAAUUUUGUAAUUUCACUUUUAAAUGAGUAGUAAGCAAGAAUUAAUGAUAUUAAGUUAUUUGUAUAAUUUAAUUGGGUUAAUUAUUGUUUAGAUUAAGAUAAGCAACCUUCGGAUUUAAAUCGAGAAAAGCUAAAGCUUUGGACUAGUCUUCAACUUUGUUUUUGCAAUCAUAGAAAUCGAAGUAAGUUCGUAUAAGUUAUAUGCUUAUUAAAUAUUGUUUUGAUUGAUUAUUAUUUAAUGAUAUGUUAGAUAUAAAAUGAUUUGGUAAUAAUAUGAUUGUUGCUUUACGUGACAGUUUUUAAAGGUCCCGUUUGAACCUAGAGAAUGCUUAGGAUACAGAUGGCAUGUCAUUAGGGAUUAUAAGUUUCGAGUGCUGGCCCUAGAUGUCCUCCUGAUGGUUAAGGUCCUGAAUUUUUUGCGGAUUCUCUACAGCUCGUGUAAGCAGUAUCAUGUGGCUAACAUCCUGACCCAUAGCUCGUGUGAGCAAACCAAUUUCACAUCUCGUGUGAGUACUGUUGAAAAGGUUAUGGUUAUAUGGGAAGGUGUUCCCAAGCAUCUAAUGUUAUUUUGUAUGGUUCAACAGGUAAGUAAAGUAAAAUGGAAAGGCUUCAGGUUCAUAUGAAAUAGAAAGUUUAAGUGUGCAAAGGAAUGAAAAGAGGCAUUAUUUAAAUAUGUGAUGUAAUGUGAAUGAAUGUAAUUCAUUCCAUGUUAUGUACCAUAUUAUAUAAGUGAUGUGUUGUUAAGCCAUUUACUAAUGAUGUGAAUUGUGGUGAAUAGGAAAGUCAAGUACCUUUAUGGUUUAGUAAGUAUGAGUGAAUGAUUAAAUGUUAAAGAACAGUAAGUUUAAGUUUCUCUUAUACGAGCUUACUAAGCACUAGUUGCUUACGUAGUUGUUUUCCUCUGUUUUAUAGAUCGUUAGAAAUUCAACUGGUUGGCACCUUGUCGGAGUCCUAUCACCCUAUCCAACAAUCUCUUUGGUAGUUUUUGGUUAUUUUGGUUAUGGUUAUAAAUGGAAUGUAUAGGGCUUUUAUAUAAUGAAAGUUAUUAUGUAUGUUAUUUGGUUAUCAUAAUAUGUAUACGUCUUUUGUGUACAUAGUUGUUUGGACCUAUAAUUCUUGACAAGUAUGUAUUUUUUGGUCACUUUUAAGUAUAAGGUAAAAUUAUGAUUUGAACUAUGCUUAUAUGAGAUAAUAAUGGAUGAAUUAUAAGUGUGUGAUGUAGGUUGCGAGUAUAAAACCAUGUUAUUUAGUUGAGUUGUUUAGAUGUGUAUAUUGUGGUACCAAUGAUGGUACAUGGGUUGAUUGAUGAAAAUGAGUUGUAUAUGUGUGAUUUUGGCAUGUUUCGGUAUUGUACAGAUGUGUAUUGAAUAGGUCUAAAGGUUGGAAAAUGGUAUGCUAGUGGCUCAAGAAAACAUUUUUGGUAAACUUGAAUCUGAAGGCAAAUUUUGGAACACACGACCUAAGACACAAGCUAUCACACAGUCGUUUGUCACACAUGGCCUACUCACACGGUCGUGUGUCUUAUUUGUUUUCAUUACAGGUUGGUCCACAUGGGCAUAAUGAGUUACACAGCCGUGUGACCUUAAGCUACACGAUCACAGUGAGUUACACGGUUUGGUCACACGGUCGUGAGACCACAUAUUGCAGGAGCAUAUUUAGUUAGACUAUUAACAUACACGGGCGUGUGAAGUAGUCAUACGAGCGCGUGAAGUAACCACACGACUGUGUGACCCUUAUUUUCAAAUUUUUCAAAUUUUUCUGUUUUGUUUCAAAAUGAUCCUAGGAUGUUUUUAAAUUAUUUUUAGGACCCUGAAAGCUCGAUUUAAAGCCCAAAUGUGUAUGUUUUCUAUGAUUGGAAUGAAAUAUUAGAAUUUAUAUUUAAGUUGAAUUAUUUGUCCUAUUUUGAAUUUAAAGGUUCUGUUUUGUACAGUAACAUUUCGUAAUCCUAAUCUGACAACGAAGAUGGGCUAGGGGUGUUACAUUUACCCAUUUAUAAUUUGUCAUACUAUGAUAUUUAUAAAUUAAUUACCUAGACUUCCUUGUUGCAUGCUUGGUCAUUGUUGGACAAUCUUGUCACCCAGUCUUCUUUGGGUUCGAUCCUUAAAAUACUCGGCAUUCCAUUGUAACACUAUAAAUAUAUAUUAUGUAACACCCUAUGACCCUCAUCCGUCACCGGCAUAGAUUCACAAGGUAUUACCUAUCAGAAGACAGAUCAGACUAGCCAUUCAUAAUCAAUCAUGCAUAAAAUAUAGUUUCUUUGAUCUUUCAACCAUGAAAAAAUUUUAACCAAAUUAAAAUAACUAAUAAAUUUCAAAAUAAUUGACACAUAAGUCCAUUGAACCAUAUACUCAUGUUUAGGAAUUAAGCAAGCCAUUUUCGCAUGGCUAGAAUAUUUACAAUUUCAAAAUAUAACUUGUUUCAAAAGAGAGCUAAGCCUAUACAUGCCAUCUUUUAAAAUAUAAACUAUCAAAAAGUACCAAAAUAGUGACGAUAGUGUGGAUGACUUUGGACUUGAAUCCCCGAGCUCGUAGCUUUCAAACAAGAUCUAUAAAAUAGGACAAACACAAAAACAUUCAUAGUAAGCAAUUAAGCUUAGUAAGUCUUAAGUAUUUUAAACAACAAAACUUAUUUAUGCACAUUAUUCACAUAUAACAUAUUCGAAAUGCAACACUAAUUAGCCGAAUAUGCAUAGCCACAUUAAAUCCAUUUCAUUGACUUAUCAUUUCUUCAAAGUUCAAAUUACAUAAUCACACAUCUAAAUGACUCGAAGUAAUUCUUUGAUUCGACUUUAUAGAGUUAAUUUAGAGCACUGCAUUCACAUAUAAUUUCAAUGAUCAUAAUCACAUAUAUAACAUAUACUUUCAUGUACUAAAUUCAAAAUGGCCGAAUAUAAAUAUACACAACUACAUUUCAUAUACUUCUCGUUUCACUUCGUAAUUUAAUUCACAUUAUCCUCAUAUGCAUAAACAAUUUAUACGUACCUGGACAAUUUAAUCUAUCGAAAGAAUCUAGAUGCUGUAUAGCAUAAAUCUCAUAUUCAUAGACUUUUAUUAUUUCAUCGGCAAUUAGCCUACUAGGUAUAAACCUGAACUUAUCGCCAGCACGAGGCCUGCUAGACAUUAAGUCCAAAACUCAUUCACCGGCAUUAUGCCUGCUAGGCUCAUGGCCCGAAACAAUUUCACUGGCUAAAAGCUUGCUGAGCCAUAGGCCCGAAUAAUAAUUCGAAUAUAAAUUUCACAAAAUCAUAAUAUAUGCACUUCUUGUAUUUAUGCAUUUCACACAAGUUAAUCACAUUAGUCCACUUAGACUUCAUUCACGUAUAAUCACUUAAUAACUAUCACACUAUUGCUUCUUAAUUUACCAUUACAUAUCUUCCAUCUCAUGAAUAUAACUUAUGGCAAUAUGAUCAUAACAAUUUCUUUAUUUCACUUUCAUGCAUACCAUUUGGCUUUAUGCAUGUAUAUAUAUGUAUAUAUACUAAAAGUAUGGCUAAAUUCUUGUGACAUAUCAUGAUUCAUUCACAAAUAACUUAUAUUUAAAUACUUAAAACUUACCUCGAGUAUUUCCGAACAACUGCGGGUCGGCUAUUCAACUACUUUAGCUUUCCCCUUAUCCAAAUUUGCCCUUCUAUGCUCUUGAGCUUAAAUUCAACAAUUUUAAACUAGUCAUUAUUCAACUAUUCAAGCAUUACUUCACAAAUAUAAUAUAUAUAUUCGACUUUCACACAUAUAGAUCAUAGUAAACAAAAGUCAUAUACAUUAUAGGUCAUCUUUGACCUUUCUAUUUUCAUCAAUUUGAACCAUUCCUUGACCAAAUAUUACAUUCGGCAUUUUUUUUAUGUUUAUUCAUCCUAAAUACAAUUAAUUAAUUCAUCCUUUAACCUUAAACACAUUCAGCCUUAAAAUACAAACAAUUUAACAUUUCCUUUGUACACACCCUUAAGACCAAAUGCAUAAUUCAUUCUUAUUAACAUAUUUAUACCUCAUAACUAUACUUAUUUCCCACCUAUCAAUCAUCAUCUGAACAUGUAUAUGUAAGAUACAUAUUAAUCCUUAGUCAACUACCAUUCGUCACUUAACAUGAUUAAUUUCCAUUUUCAAUAUCAUAGAAACCUAGGUUGGCCGAAUAUACAAUUUCACCUAUGCAUAAACAUAACUCACAUUCCAUUAAGCUUACAUUAUUCAAAAUCAUAUCAUUAAUGCAUAAAGCCGAACCUUUAGACAUUCAAACAUCCUUUUCUCAAAUCACUUAAACGGCAAAUAUUCUUUUUCUAACAUUUUAAUACUCAACAUUUGCUCAAAUCAUUAUUCAAGUUCAAAUUCGACUAACACACAUAUAAAUACUAGCAACUAAAUAUUAACUUUGCAUUUCACCAUAAUAGCCAAUUGCCAUUAAACAAUUAAGCCACAAUUAUUCAAUUUUACCAAGCUCAUCUCAUCUAUUAUCAACCCUCAAUACACAAAAGCAUCAAAAACAACAUCAAAGAAAUACAAAUAUCCAUGAUCGAAUGUCAUCUUCAUCAAUUUACAAAAAAAUUUUGCCACGAGCUAGCUUCUAUACUUGAUGACCACUCUAAAUAUACAAAGAUUUUCAAUGAAAGAGCAUUUCAACUUAAAGGUAACCGAAUGCCUUAACUUCAAUUUCUUCUUUUCUUUCUUUAGGUACGGUAAUGGAAGAAGAAAAAGAUGAACCAACUUUGUUUUUAUCACCCUUUUCUUUUAAUAAAAAUUCAUAUUUCAUAUUAUUAAUCCAUUAAAGAUUUAAUUAAUUAAUAUAAAAGACAUAAAAUGUCAAUCAUCCACUAACCUUGCCGUCCACUAACUUAAGGAAGAGGGUAUUUGACAUGCAAGUCCCUAUAUUUUAAACCAUACAAUAUUUGGCCACUACAAAUUAACUUAUCACAUUUUCAAGUUUCUCAUAUAAGUCCUUUUUAAUAAUUCCACAUUCAAAUGACAAAAUUAAGACACGAUACUUUUACACAUAAAACCUCACAUAUAAUAAACAUAGAAAAGAGCAUUUAAAUAAUUUUGUGACUCAGUUUUGUGGUCCCUAAACCACUUUCUGACUAGGGUCAAAUUAGGGCUGUCACAUAUUACAACUGACAUUUGACACUUAUAGCCAAAGCCACAUUUCAUUUCUUAUACAUUUUGUGUAAAUUUCUCUACUCGGUGUCCGUACACUUUUGAGCAGUCAUUCACCUUGUUGAAGACCUCUACAGGGUGUGAAUUGUUUAGAGAGAGAACCAUUUACCAUGACCUGAUAUGAAAUAAUAGAAAUACAUUAUUAGAUCAUAUUGAUCUAUUUUGGGUUGAAUCUCAUGAACUUUAGGAUAACACUAACAAAAACCUAACUAAUUCCAUUAAACACCUUACUCAUGUUAAUUUGGAACACCUAACUAAUUUCACUAUCGAGGAUGAAUUGAGAAAUCAAUUUUGGCAAGAUCCUUUAAAGAUAUUAACCAACACAUUUGAUAUGAUCAUGUAAGCUACAUUACAAAGAUUGAUGGUCAAUAACCAAUUGGGGAAACUUGACUAACCAAUUGGGGAAACUUGACUAUCUCUUUUGGGGAUAAUAGUAAUGAUGGUUUUGUGGAGCUCAUUGGGAAGAAAGCUAGAUGCAAGAAAGGAAAAAUGUUGAAUUGGUGGUGAAUGGACCAACAAUAUCCCAAAAUUUGUGGUAAAAGAGUUCAAAUUUACUAUCAACACUAAUGAAUUUUAAAGGUCCAAAUAGGAAAGUUGUUGGAAAAAUUACAUUUUUAUUGGAACUUUGAGGCAUAUUCUCAAUAGGUAAAGCUGGAGAGUUGAAUCAUACAAUUAUGGUUUCAUAUUCUACUUUAUGAGGCCUUUACAACGGCAUAUCAUAUACUCAAAAUGGUUGAGUGAUGAAUGAGAAAUUGAUGCUCAAAGUAAGCUACUUAAAAAUAUUGAGGAAAAGUAAAUGCUUAGAUCCCACAUUGGUUAAAUACCUAGAGUAGGAUGUGUAUAAACCCUGCCUCACGCGUAGGGGGUACAGGUCCAAACCCGAUGGGGUUGUGGCGCACCAGCACGAUGUGGGUGACGCAAAAUGUCCUGACCGUUUAGACCCAAAUAGGCCUACAAAUAUUUUAGUCGAACAAAAUUUUAUUUUUCCAAAAUUAAAUCAAUUUGAUUUUUUGGCUUCUUAAUGGCAGAUUUUGUGGUUAUUUCCAAAAUUUUCCACCAUCCUAAAUGCUUAUAAAAGGCUGUGUAUUUUGUAGAAAUUUACAUACAAUUAAACUCUCUCACACUGAAACUCUUUUGCUCUCAAAACUGUUCUUUUUCUUCUCCGAAUUUUUCAAACAUUCCGAUGAUAGAAAAAGGCAAUGUUCAUUCGUUGAUCAUUGUAGAGGUGCUACUACUUUGAUCACUGUUGUUGUUGUAUCCUGGGAGACAUUCAACAAAAGUUUCUCUAAGUGCCGUAGGAGUAGCCGAAUUUGUCUUAAGGAACUAUGUUUCACAGGCCUCAGCAUCUCGUAAAAUCUUUAUUCUUCUUUAUUUCAAUUUUUUUAAUGAUUUUAUUUGUUUUUCAUAUUUCACAAUUUAAUUAUAAAUUUUUUCUAUUUAUAUUUUAUUUAUAGAAAUAUUUAUCUAUUUUGUUUCGCUAACUUGUGUAUUGUCCAACAAAAGCCGCUACUUGACUUCUUCUUCUAAGAAGGGUAUGUCAAAGAGAAGUUGGUCAUCUUCAGAGAGGCAUGGAAUGUGUAAAUUCAUAAAGCUAUUUUUAAUAAUGUGAGAAUAGGUUGGCUUAGGUCCACAGCGAAUCCCUUCAAAAUGGUUUUGUAGGAUCCUCAACCCAAACAUUAUUAAAGUUUUAGCAUGAUUAAUGAUUGAUGAUUCAUACAGCUAGGGGAGUAUGUUGUUUAUUAAUAAAGUUCCAUUAUUUUUAUUACGUAUGGGCUUUUUUUUAUUUCAUUUGUUGUAGGGUUUUGUCAAAAUGCCAAAGGAUAGGAUUGUUAGAAACUUUGGCUGUUGAACUUUUCUAUUGAACUUCUUAUGGCAACUUGAGUUUUAACAAACUUUUGUAACAAAGUUGUAGCAGCCCAUUUUCAAUGAAAUCGAAACAGUGAUUUUGAAACCACAAAAUUGAAUUCAAAAAAUUUAUUUUAUUAUUUUUUUCCUACAUCAUGAUAGUAGUACCAUAUAAAAAUUUCGUUAAGAAAUUUUACCGUUUACAUGCUCAAUUUGAUAAAAAGGACUAAAUCGUGUAAAGCGCAAAAGUUGAGUUCUAGUAGCUAAAAGUAUUAAAUAGCUAUAUAACCUUAACAUAAAAGUCCUUAUAUGGUAACUAGACCACUAAUGAAGAUAGUGGAAUGUGAUGGCUUGGCAUUUGUGUAAUUAAUAAUGUUUUUAAAGGUUAAUUAAGUAAAUUGGUAAUUAAUGAUAAAUUAAAUAAAAUUAAAUUAAGCUUUCAUAUUUUUCAUCCUCAUUCAACCAAAAAUUAGAGAGAAAAGAAGCCAUUUUUGAAGCUAGGUUCGGCCAUGCUUGUCUUGCUUGAUUAGGUAUUCAUUUUUGUCCUGUUUUUAAAGAUUUUUAUGUUUUCGAAAUCGUUGUAGCUUAAUCUAGUUAGCCUAGGGACUAAUUUGUGAAAUUAUUAAACUAUUAGGGUUUUAGCAUUAAUGAAUAUACAUGAGUUUUGAUGUCUGAUGAUAGAAAAUGGAUAGUUGUUGGUAGAUAAACAAAUUUUGCAAAUAGAUUUUUGAUAAAAUUAUCAAUUAGGGAUUAAAUUGAAAAAUAGAAAAUUUUACAUGGUGAACUUGUAAAAUAAAUGAAAUAUAGGGAUUUCUAGGGACCAAAUUGAUAUUCGGCCAUAGUGGGUUGUGAUGGAAUUUCAUGAAUUUCCAUUUUUAUGAUCUAGGGACUAAACUGCAUAGAAAUUAAAAGUAUAGGGGCAAAAUAGUAAUUUUUCCAAAAUUUGAUUUUGGGCUAAAUUGAAUGAAAUAUAUAUUGAAUUGAGUUACAUUUAUCCAUAUAGAUCAAGAUAGACCUCGUACGGCUUUAGAUCGAGGCAAAAAUAAAGUCUUGGAUUAGUUGCCUCAAUAUCUAUAUUUACUCAUCGCGGUAAGUUCGCGUGAUUAAAUUGUGUUUAUAUGUUUUAUAUAGAAUUAUGUAUGAAUUAUGAAUUGAUAUAUAUAUGCAGUUGCAUAUCCAACGAAGUUUGAUAUUACCGAGCUCUGUUUGAACCUUAGGAAUUCAUAGGAUACAAAUGACAUGUCAUUAGGGUUUACAUGAUUCGGGUGCUGGUCUUGAAUGUUCUACCGAUGGCUGAGGUCCAGAAUGUGUUUUUAAUACUCUACAGCUCGUGUGAGCAACAUCGUGUAGCUACGUUCUAACCCACAACUCAUGUGAGUAGGCCUAUUUUCACAGCUCGUGUGAGCAUAUCGAUUCACAGCUCGUGUGAGGAUACAUGUAUAGGAUUUGACGGAUUAUAGUUAUAUAAUUUAGCACACUAUGUAUGAGCUAUCCUGGGUAUCCAAUGGUAUUAGCACACUAUGUAUGAGCUAUCCAGGGUAUCCAAUGGUAUUCAAAAUGGUUCAACGAGUAAUAUUUUGAUACUAAAUGGUAAGAGUUCAAUACGGACUAUUACAAGGACACAUAUGAAUUGCAUGGAAAUGUUCUUGCAUGGUAUAUGGAAAAUUAAAUUUGAUGAUACAUGUAUAUGAAACUUAAUCAAUUGUUGUGCUCAUCCAUGAUUAUUGGUUUAUAUAUGUAUUUACAUGGCUAACAUGGUAGGCAUUUGGCCAAAUUAUGAUGGGAUAUGCUAUGUUUACUUACCUAUUAUGUGACUUAAUGAUAAGUUUUAUUCUAUGUUAUACGAACUUACUAAGUUUAAAUGUUUACUCUUUGUUAUUUUUCGUGUUUAUAAUGAAUCAGAAGCUCGUUAGUGUUGGAAGCUUGUCGGAACUAUAUCACACUAUCCGUUGACUCUUUUGGUACUUUCAGAUGUUUAAUUUUGGUUAUAAUGGCAUGUAUAGCUAUUUUGGCUAAUGUUGGCCUAUGUUUUUUGGUUGAUGAAAUAUCCAAUUGGUUUGGCUUGGGUUAUGGCAUUUUGGUGAUAAAAUGAACUUAGUUUUGGCAUGUAAAUGAUAGCCUUAAUAAGGAUGAUGUUUGGCUUGAUAUGCUUGAAUUAUGGAAGAUGAAGUUAUGGUUUAAAUAUGCAUAUUAUAUAUGUCAUGUGUCUUGCUUGGGAAUGUGGUGAAUUGGUACUUUGUUUUGAAUGGAUCAUAUGGUUAUUGAUGUUAUUCGUUGAAUGGUAUAUUUGACACCAUUUGGUAAGUUUUUUUUUUUGGUUAGUAAAUUCAAUGGUAUGUAGUGAUACAAAUAUGCCUAAAAGUUAGUUGAGUAUUUUGGUCAAAUAGAUUACAUGAUUAUACAUGUUUACAUGUUGUCAUUUGAGGUGCCUAAGAGCAUAUUGGUUGUAUAUGAUUAUACUAUAUGUAUGAAGCUAGAAUAUGCAUGAAUUUGGUGUCUUGUUAUGACUUGUAUAUAUGUGCAUUUUUGGUUGUAGGUAUAUGCCUUGAUGGGUGAGAAAAAUAGCUUAUAAAAUGACCUAUUUUGCUCCACACGGGUAGAGACACUGGUGUGUGUCUCAGUCAUAUGUGACACAUGGCCAGGCAACACGGUCGUGUGUCCUUUGUAGCUUUCAAAGAGUUGCAAGUUAGGCUGUUACACGAACUGGCACAUAGGUAUGUGAGGUUAUUUUGAAAGGUAUACGGCCUGGCAUAUUGGCGUGUGGCUUGGCUUUGUGAACCAAGUUAGUGAGUUACACUGGCACAGACACGGGAUGGGACACGGCUGUGUGACCACUGUAGUGUUGAAAAUUUUCAAUAUUUUUCUGAAAAAUUCUCUGGGUUUCCGAUUUAGUCCCAACUUGUUUCUAACACGUAUUUUGGGCCUCGAAGGCUUGUUUAAGGGACAAUAUGUAUGUUUUGACUUGAUUUUAAUAUGUGUUCAUUUGAUCUGAAAACUUCGGUAAUGCUUCGUAACCGUGUUUCGGCGACGAAUACGGGUUAAGGGUGUUAGAAAAGUAUUUUAUUGAAUUGAAAAUUUUAACUUGUAACAUUUUAUAUGUUAUGCUUAAUUGUCAAGAUAGACAACAAAUGUAGAUUUUUGUUGUAGAAACGAGAUAAGAUAAUAUCUUUGUAGAGUCCAUUUACUAGAAGUCACCUUUAAUGGACAAAAAAGAGUUUAAAGUUUUUUGGGACCUUAUAUAAUUGAGUUCUAAGGCCAAAUUUGAUCAGCUUUUGGAGGAGAUCAUAAUUUCAAAACUCGGUAUUUAUAUAGUAUCUUUCAAAUUUGAAAAUCAAGUGGAUAAAAGGUUUGUGUUCUUGUGAUAAAAUGUGUGGAAUAUGACCUAUAUAAAGAAGCCAAAAAUCACUAUUUAAGGUGAAACUUUUUAGAGUGUUUUUAUUAUUUGGGAAUACUUUAUGGGCUUUCCACUCUUAAUUACUCUAAGUAUUUCUUAGAGAGGUUAUAGUUGUAUGUAAGGUAUUUAGAUAGAGUGAAUGUAAACCAUUGGGAAACAUUGAGACUACAAUUAUCUAAUAGUGGGGUAGAUUGGGCUUAAAUAAACUAUUGUAUUGGGAAGAUUGUUUUGUGAAUUUAUUCUCUAUACUAUGCUUUGUAGAAGUAGGAUUGUUUAUUCCGAAUUGCAUUAACAAUUUUGGUCUCUUGCUAUUCUUUACUCUCAUGUGUAACUUGCAAAACAAUUCUAUCGAAAACCUUAUUACAACAUCUGUUUCGACAGAAACCUUAAUAAAGGAAAAACAAAGUGAUUUUUUUAGAUGUAUCUAUAACUUAUUUGAAUAGUUAAAAUUAAUAAAGGAAAUAAUUCUAACAUAUCUUGCUUGGUUAAUUGUUGAAAGGAAAGGAAAGGAUUUAUUUUAAAUUAAAUUUUUAUUUCAAAAUUUUACAUAGUAACAUAUAAUAAUUAAAUUAAAUUAAAAAUUAUAAAAAUAAAUAUUUUUCAUAAAUCACAAUUCAUUGAAAUAUUUGUUUAAAACAAAAAUGAAAUAAAUGUUAAUGUUUAAAAGAUAUUUUAAAAAUAAAGCAUCCAGAAAAAGAUAGAAGUGAAUAAUAAUGUUAUUAAUUUUUUGAAACAAAUUAAAAGAAUAGAAACCUAAUAAUCCAAAAAUGUCUCUUUAUUCCAUUUUUAUAUUUUAUUUUAGGAUUUUUUUGUUAUGAAUAAAUAUUUUUAUACCAUAAAUUUUUUUCUAAAUUUUUUGAGUAAGAUAAUCUUAAAAUUUCAAAAUUAAAGUUAAAAGAGUACCAAGAAGGUGUAAAAAACAAUUAACAAUCUUAAUUGUCUUCAUUAUUAGUAGCAAUAUUGUUUACUAAACUCAAAUAGUACUGCUAUGCACAAUAACUUUAAAAAUUAAUUAAUGAAAAAAAAAGGUGUGUAUAUCAUCUGCAAUGCACCAAUUGAAUUGGGUUUAUUCUUAGACAAAUUAAUUAAAUCUUGGAAUCGAUGCUUUAUUUUAUUCUCCCUCUCUAAAUUAGUCAACCACAGUGAUAGAAAGGAUUAAUUAAUCUAAUCCGUGCAGAAGAUGAAUCUGUUGCCACUUUAUUUAUGCCUUCAAUAAUCUUCUUUCUUUGGAGAGUUUGGCCUAAAAAUAUGGAAGACGAGCUGUACUUUAAUUCAAUUGAAGAAUUUGUUUUAUGAUAUUAAUGUUACAUAUUUAUCUACUUUGGCUUAAGUUUUGACCUCCAUAAGUAAACCUUUUAAACUAUAUAUAAUAAUCUCUUGGUCAGUAAAAUUCAACAACUCUAAGCAUAAUUCAUGUACGUAGUUAUAUGCGUCAAGGAAUGAAAAAGAUUAAAAACAAUCCAAAAUGGCAAGUAAUGAUGCCCUAUUCAUCUUCAUGUCGGGAUUUGGUUAAUGCAUCUUAAUCAUUAUCUUAUUUAAAUUAAUUAACCCCAUAUUCAUAUUACAUAUCUACACCAUCAUUAGGCUUUCUAUAAUGCCAUUUAUCUACACAGGAAGCAUAGAAACAUAAUGGACCCUACUCACCCUAAACCAUUGUUUAAAUCAAUUAAAACAAAACAACUCUUAAUUCUUACCUUUUAAUUUAUCAAUUGUCAAGCUAAUUGGCGGAUGUUACGCCAUUUACUUCUUUUCUUUCAACCUUAUAAUUUGGUACUUUAGUUAAACGUUCAAGUUUAGCUUCAACAAAUAGUAUCAUAAAGUAUAACCUCCAAUGUUUUCCUAGUCUACCUUUAUCUUAUAGGAACAUAAAAUUACUCAAGACCAUUUUCAAACCCGAUUCAUAUUGUAGUGGUUGAAACCAACCGCGAAGCCAAACAUUUUUCUUAGGGGCUAGAAGUAGGGAUGGCAAUGGGGCUAGUAUGACGGCUUUUUGCCUGCUCCAAACUCACCUAAAAAUUUUUCUAAUCUGCCCCAAACUCGCAUUGAUCUCAAUUUCUAAGAAAAAAAUUCACCCAAGCUCAAAAUUUAAUAAAGAUCCAACCCCAAUCUAAUCCGAUUCGAAUUUUAUCUUUCUUUUUUUUAUUAUUUUACAGUCAAAUUCGAUAAUCUCUUGUUGUCCCUUAAGGAAAAAGCAAUCUCCAUUUCUGUAGAGAGCUUUCAUGGUAAUUUUGGUUUAAAUUUUCAAGGAACACCCAAUCUUCCUUUCUAUAAAAGAAUGGUAGAUCUAAGUGAAUGGUCAGAUUAUACUUACUGUGGAAGCAUUGAUACAAUUAUGGGCUAAAAUUAUUAAAGGGAAAAAAUUAUGAGGAAAAAAAAAUAGUAAAGAUGGGUGAAGAUUGAAAAAGCAAUGGGCUAAAUGAGUGGGAGUUGAUUUAAAAAUUAAUAUAUAGGGUAUUUUUGUAAAUAUUUUAGGGCAGGGUGAGUUCACCUUAAGUUUAUAUAUAUAUAUCCAAACCAGAUUAUUUUCUAAAUUUUAUCUGCCCUAAACUUGAUUUUUUGAAAUCCAACCUGAACGGCUCGAGUUGGAACCCAUCGUUUUUGGGUUUUUUUUUUCUGCCGCUAGCUAGAAGUAAAUUAUAAAUGUUUAAAGGGAAAAGUACAACUUUACAAAUGUACUAACUUAUAAUCUUAUGCUUUCUAAAAGGACUAUGGAGCAAUUUUACAAUUUAACGGGGGUAAGGCCCCUACUUGCCCCUUAGCUCCACCACAUCCUCUACUUGACCCUUGGCUCUACCAUUUCUUGAAACAAUUAGCAUCAUUAGCAAAAAUAAAUGUCUCAACCCCCUUCAAAACUCUUUCAUGUUCUCUUUGGAUUCAUCUAUCUUUUUUUUUUUGGAGUUUCUUCCCCACAUUUUUUUUGGGUUCUGUAUCUCAAAUCUUGUUUUUUGGAUUUCUCUUAUCUUAUGCCUAUACAUAUUUAAAGUUUCUAUUUUUGAGUUUUCCUGAAGCCUCCUUCAUUUUUGGGGUUUCUUGAAAUUUUGUCAACACAUUUUAUUUACACGGUUAGAUUUAUUAAAGAUUUUUUCAUUUUUUUUUGUUUUCGAAAGUUCUAUCCAUUUUUGGGUUUUCUUGAAGCUUUCUCCAUUUUUUUGGUUUGUUGAAGCUUCAUCAACACAUUUUAUCUACACUGUUUGAUUUCAUUUUGGGUUUUUUUUUUAAACUUUCUUGAAUUUUUGAUUUCUUGAAACUUUCUCAAGUUAUGGGUUUCUUGAAGCAUUAUCAACAAAUUUUAUCUCUAUUUGUGGGUUUCAUGAAGUUUUAACCAAUAUUUUAGUAAGCAUGUGAUUUUUUGGGUUUCUCUAAGCUUUACCAACACACUUCAUCUACAUUUUUAGGUUUCUUAAAGGUUUCUCUAUUUUUGAGUCUUUUGAAUCUCCCUUAACAUUCAUGCUUUUUUUCAGAGCUCUUGAAAUCCAUCACACUCAUAUUCUGUAGAUCAGCUUUUGCAGUCAUGAUUUUGUAGUUACAAACCACAAAUUUUGCAGUCACGAUUCUAGAACAACAGAAAGUAUAUUCUACACUUCUGAUUCCUAUUAUUCCAGCAUUCUUCAUUAUUUCUCAAUAGGUAAAGCUUUGGUUCAAACUUCUACUUUAGUUUUUACUAUGCUGCUUUUGAUUAUGUCUCUACAACACUAGUUCCUCUCAAUGUUAUUUUUUGAGUUUUAAAUACAUCAUGUUAUUUUGGGUUUCUACUCCUAAUGUUAGAAUUCAAUGACCCGAAUCCUUAUUUAAAUAAAAUACAAUGGUAAAAUAAAAUAAAAGUAAAAAUCCAUAUAGAACUACACUUCUUUUAUUUUAUUUUAGAAUAAGGUUUUUUAAAUCUUAUUAAACUCCAUCUGUUUUAUAUUGAUUAUAAUAAGGUGUUGCAGUCUUACUAGAAUAUGACUUUACAAGCCUAUAAAUAGACAUAGUCUAUUCCUUUUGUAAUUAUUCGAAUUUGACAUAGUGAAUUUUCUUCUCCUCUGCCUGUGUUUUUUUUCCUGAAAGGGUUUCCACGUAAAAUCUGUGUAUUCUUUAUUUUAAUUUAAUUUAAUUUAUUUUAUUUUAAAAAACUGGUAUCCAAGCUUCCAGGUAGUUCAUCUCGAUCAUGGUAAUGGCGUCUUUGAAGUAUGAAAUUCCGCUGUUGGAUUGCAGCACCAUAUUUGAGUUGUGGCAGAUUAAAAUACAAGCAGAUCUUGCGCAGAUGGAUCUGGAGGAUGCCUUGCUAGGGAUAGAUAAGAUUCCUUCGAUAUUAACAGAUGAAGAGAAGAAGCGUAAGGAUCGAAAGGCGUUAGCACAAUUACAUCUGCAUUUUUCCGAUGAAAUUUUGCAGGAUGUGAUAAAGGAGAAGACCGCUGCUGCAUUGUGGAAGAGGCUAGAACAAAUAUGUAUGUCAAAAACUCUAACAAGCAAGUUACAUUUGCAGCAGCGUCUUUAUGCUCAUCGCUUGGAGUAAGGUGAGUCUGUAGACAAACACUUUAACAAUGUUUAAAGAAAUUCUCUCAAACUUGGAGGCCAUGGAGGUUCAGUAUGAUAAGGAAGAUCUAAGGUUGAUUCUACUUUAUUCGUUGCCCCCAUCUUAUUCAACCUUUAGAGACACGAUUUUAUAUAUUCGCGAGUCUCUCAUAGUUUAUGAGGUUUAUGAUUCUUUGACCUCGUAUGAUAAGAUGAAGCAUCUUAUGGUUAAACUCGACUUUCAGAGAGAGGGUUUUAUUGUUCAUGGGAGACAAGAUCGGAAUGCUGAUGAUGAUCGUAGAAGGACACAGGAACAGAAUCCUCAUGGUAAAUCUAAGGGUAGAUCGAAGUCUUCAAACAGAGGUAAAACUUAUAACUUCUGCAAGAAGAAAGGGCACAUUAAAUUUAAGUGCUAUAAGCUGCAGAACAAGAUUAAAAAGGAGACUGCGAAUCAAAAGGGAAAACAACCAAAAAAUUCCAAUAAAGCUGAUGUUGUAGAAGACUACAGCGAUGGUGAACUUCUAGUCGCUUCUGUUAACAAUUCUAAAGUGAGCAAGGAGUGGAUACUUGAUUCAGGCUACACCUUUCACAUGAGUCCCAAUUGGGAUUGGUUUACAACUUACGAAACAGUGUCUGAAGGUGUUGUUUUGAUGGGAAAUAAUGCUUCAUGUAAAAUUGCAGGUGUUGGAACAAUUAAAGUUAAGAUGUUUUAUGGAGUUGUUAGAACACUUAGUGACGUACGACAUGUUACAAAAUUGAAGAGAAAUUUAAUUUCAUUGAGUAUUCUUGAUUCAAAAGGGUAUAGAUACACAACUGAAAGUGGAGUUUUAAAGAUUUCCAAAGGUUCCCUUGUUGUGAUGAAAGGGUAGGGAAAGACUACCAAGUUAUAUGUUUUGCAGGGUUCUACUGUUACUGGUAAUAUAGCUGUCGCUUCCUCUUCCUUGUCAUAUAAUGAUAUUACUAAACUUUGGCAUAUGCGCCUAGGGCAUAUGAGUGAGAAUGGCAUGACAGAAUUGAGCAAAAGAGGACUUCUUGAUGGAUAAGGAAUUUGUAAACUGAAGUUUUCUAAGCACUGUGUUUUUGGGAAGCAAAAGAGAGUUCAAUUCACCAGAAUAAUCCACAACACGAAGGGAACAUUGGAGUAUAUUUAUUCUGAUCUGUGGGGGCCAUUUAGAGUGCCUUCAAGAGAUGGAGCUAAUUAUAUGCUAACUUUUAUUGACAAUUUUUUCAGAAAAGUUUGGGCGUUCUUCCUAAAGCAGAAAAGCGAUGUGUUUUUUGCAUUUAAGUCUUGGAAAAUUAUGAUUGAAAAAUAGGUAGAAAAAUAAAUAAAAUACCUCUACACAGACAAUGACUUAAAGUUCUAUUCUGAUGAGUUUAAUAGACUAUGCAAGUCAGAAGGGAUAGUGAGACACUUGACAGUUCGUCAUACUCCACAGCAAAAUGGCGUUAUAGAACGAAUGGACAAAAUGAUCAUGGAGAAGGUUUGAUGUAUGUUGUUAAAUGCCAACUUACUGAAGUCGUUUUGUGCAGAAGCAACCUCUACUACAUGUUUUUUGAUCAAUCGAUCUCCAUCUGUUGCCAUUAAGAAAAAGACUCCACAAAAGGUAUGGUCUGGUAAUCUUGCUAAUUAUUCUGACUUAAAGAUCUUUGGGUGUCCUGUGUAUGCUCAUGUUCAUAAUGGAAAAUUGGAACCGAGAUCCAUUAAAUGUGUUUUUCUUGGUUAUAAAGUUGGUGUAAAAGGGUAUAAGUUAUGGUGUCCUGAAAAUAGAAAAGUUAUGAUUAGCAGAGAUGUCGUUUUUGAUGAAACUACUAUGCUACCUAACUUAUCUCUUAAAGAUUCUUCCAAUAAAGAAAAUCAAAAGCAAGUGGAGCAUCAGAUUAAUACAGAGUCGACUCCUCAAGCCAGUACAAAAAUUGAGAAUAGAGUUGCUUCUUCACCGCAAUACUCUAUUGCCAAAAACAGAACUAGAAGAGAAAUUAAACCUCUAAAGAAGUAUGUUGAGGCUGAUCUAGUUGCUUAUGCUUUAAAUGUGGCUGAAGAAAUAGAUGCAAAUCAAGAGGCAUCUAAUUAUUCUGAGGUAGUUAGCUGUGAAGACUUAGAAAAGUGGAUAUUUGUUAUGCAAGAGGAGAUGAAAUCACUCCACAACAGCAGAACAUGGGAUCUUGUGAAACUUUUUAAAGGUAAAAAAGGUUGUUCGUUGUAAAUGGGUAUUCAAAAAGACAGAAGGGACUCCAAGAGUUGAAGAACCCAGAUAUAAAGCAAGGCUUGUUGCAAAGGGUUACAGUCAAAUUCCAGGAGUGGACUUCAUAGACGUGUUCUCCUCAGUUGUUAAGCAUAGUUCAUUUCGAGCUUUGCUUGGUAUUGUGGCCAUGCAUAAUUUGGAGCUUGAGCAGUUAGAUGUAAAAACUGCAUUUUUGCAUGGAGAACUUGAAGAGGAUAUUUACAUGCAACAACCAGAGGGUUUUACAGUCUCAGAAAAAGAGGACUAUGUUUGCUUGCUGAAAAAGUCCCUUUACUGUUUGAAACAAUCACCAAGACAGUGGUACAAGAGGUUUGAUUCCUUUAUGACUUCUCAUGAUUUCAAAAGCAGUAGUUUUGAUAAUUGUGUUUACCUUAAGAAAAACAAUGAUGGUUCUUUUGUGUAUCUACUUCUUUAUGAUGAUGACAUGUUGAUAGCAGCAAAAGAUAAAGGAGAGAUAAGAAAGGUCUAAGUCUAACUAAGUGAAGAAUUUGAGAUGAAAGAUUUAGGACCAGCAAAGAAGAUACUUGGUAUGGAGAUUCUCAGAGAUAGAAAAGCAAGUAAAUUGUACCUAAGUCAGAAGAAGUACAUUGAGAAAGUUCUUUGCAGGUUCAAUAUGUAGAGUGCUAAGCCUGUUAGUACUCCUUUAGCAGCCCAUUUCAAGCUUUCAUCGGCUUUGUCUCCACAAUUAGAUGAUGAGAUUGAGUACAUGUCACAUGUUUCAUACUUUAGUGCAAUGGGAUCUCUCAUGUAUGCUAUGAUUUGUUCACUUCUAGAUUUAUCAUAUGCAGUCAGUACAGUAGCAUAUACAUGGCGAAUCUCGUUAAGAACACUAGAAAGCAGUUCAGUAGAUUUUAAGAUACUUACAAGGUACUACUGAUGUCUGCUUACAGUUUGGAAGAACUAGAGAUGGAGUCGUAGGUUGAUGCUGAUUUUGCUGGAGACCUUGAUAGAAGAAGAUCUCUCACAGGUUAUUUCUUUACAAUCGGAGGUUGUGCAAUCAGUUGGGAAGCCACUUUGCAAACUACAGUUUCUUUGUAUACCACUAAAGCUGAGUACAUGGCGAUUACUGAGGCUUGUAAAGAAGCUAUUUGGUUAAAGGGACUCUUUAGUGAACUCAAUGAAUACCUUCAAAUCAGAACAGUAUUUUGUGACAGUCAGAGUGCAAUCUUCCUUACAAAAGAUCAAAUGUUUCAUGAGAGAACAAAACACAUUGUUGUUCAGUAUCAUUUUGUUCGUGAUAUUAUUGCUCGUGGUAAUAUUGUUGUGAGCAAAAUUAGUACUCAUGAAAAUCCUGCAGAUAUGAUGACUAAGUCACUUCUAAUACCAAGUUUGAGCAUUGCUUAGACUUGGUUGGUGUCCAUUGUUGAAGUUAAACCCUUAAGGGGUUUUAUGGAGAAGGUGGAGAACUUGUUCGUUGAGAGUUCUCGAUAAAGAACUUGUUCAUUGAGAAUUCGUGUCAAGGUGGAGAUUGGUAGAACUAAAUGACCCGAAUCCUUAUUUAAAUAAAAUGCAGUGGUAAAAUAAAAUAAAAGUAAAAUCCAUACAGAACUACACUUCUUUUAUUUUAUUUUAGAAUAAGGUUUUUUAAACCUUAUUAAACUCCAUCUAUUUUAUAUUGAUUAAAAUAAGGUGUUUCAGUCUUACUAGAAUAUGGAUUUACAAGCCUAUAAAUAGACGUAGUCUAUUCCUCUUGUAAUUAUUCGAAUUCGACAUAGUGAAUUUUCUUCUCCUCUACCCGUGGUUUUUUUUCCCAAAAGGGUUUUUUACGUAAAAUCUGUGUGUUCUUUAUUUUAUUUUAUUUUAUUUUAUUUUCACACCUAAUGAUCUACAACUCUCUUCCACAUUGUUUUAGGUGCAACCUCUCUCAUUUGCAUUGUAUUUUACUAUGUGAAGUUUUGACUCUUUCAUAUUGUUUUUUAGUGCAUUUCAUGUUAUAUUCUCUCUCUACAAUAUGGAUUAUGUCACAUGUUAUAUUGCUUUCUACCACAAGCCAUAAAGAUGUGGAACCCUAAGAUCAAGCACAAGAAACCAUAAAGUCAAGUUUGAAAAGUCCUAAAAAUAAGAAAGAAAAAGGAUGGACUUAUUAUAUUGUAUCUACCUAAAGGAAGGAUGAGUGUACCAAAUGAAAUUCUUAGUCAAAAGAGUGUAUAAUAAGAUAUAGAAUUAAAUCAAGUUAGAUUCAAAAUGAUGAAGUAAAUAAAAUAAAUAGAAAGAGAAGGAUAGGUUAGGAAUACCAAAACCUUGGAUAACUUGUAUCAAAAAACAAAAUUGAUUGGACUUGAACUCUUAGGAAACCCAUAGAAUAAGAACUCCUCUAAAUUUUGGUAAUUACGCUUAAAAGUUGAAGACUUAUAAUUCCUUGAAAGACUUUAAAGUUACAAACUCCAAAAACAAAUAAGAGAAGAAUCACUCAACUCUCAAAGAAAACUUUGUUCAACUUUAUUUAAUUUUGUCCUAGAUGAUUGGCCAAGCCUUCUUUAUAUAGAUACUUACAUGAUAAAGUUUACAAUAAAUAUAAACUCCCAAGAAAAUAAUAUAAAAUUUGACACUAACAAUUUAAUCUACAAUCAAACUCUAUUUAAUAAAUAAACAAGUAAUUAAACACGUUUAAAACUAAUUAAAUAUAUAAUUUUACAAGUCUUAUAAAUUAAAAUUUUACUUAAAUGAAUAAAUCAAAUAUAUAAUUUAUUGAAUAAACUUCUAAGAGACAUGAAACUCUAACGUUUAGGCCUAAAGAAUAGCAAUUGGUGGAUAAAGAGAUUUUCAAACCCUUCAACGCAAUAAACUUUUAUUUAACUCGUCCAAAAAUUUCUACUUGCAUAGUCUUCACUCAAAUCAUCAUAACUUGGUCUCCCGAACUCAAAUUGACAAGUUUCAAAGUAAGUUGUUAAGAUAAGAGAUAGAUGUUUAAUUUAUAAGCAGAAAACCUCAAGAAAAAAGUAAGUUGUUAAGAGAAGAAAUAGAUGUUUUAAUUUAUAACCAGAAAACCUCAAACAAAAGAAGCUUGCAUCCAAAAAAAAUGUGUUGCUAGUUAGUUGAAAAAUCAACUUUGGUGAAUUUAAUUUAAUAAUUUUCAACCCUUUCGUGCAUGUAUCACUCUUGAACUCAAAUGAGCUAAUCCCUCUAGGUUUCAUAUCACGCAAGUUGUGUGUACAUCCAUUUGGUUCCUUCCACAAUGUUAUUAUGAUACAACUCCUAUGAUGUUCAUGGUUUCGAUUCUAUAGAACUCUAGCUCUAAUGUUGUCUUUGGGUUGUAUUCUAACUCUCUCUUUAUUGGAAUCUAGUUCCUUUAAUGUAGUUUUUGGUCAUAAAUACUUGUAAUUUUUUGAACAGAUUGUUUAAUAAAAUUCCAUUGUCCUUAAAUUUUUUUUGUGCGCAAAGCAAAAUGAACAAGAAUAUAUUGACUCGUUAAAUAUUGGCUCAUUGAUUACCUAACAUUUAACUAAUAUUAAGUUACAUUAUGUAGUCAGAUCAUAAUACAAGAAGACAACUUAUAUUAGUAGGCAAUCUAAAUGGUUUGUAGUUUAAAGAAUUGAAAUUGAGUAAAUUGGUUCAAUGACUAUUAUGUCGUGUAUCAAGUUCAAUUAGGGAGAUACCUAUUCUUGGGUAUUAGAGUGAAUGACUCCCAAAAGAUAAAGACAUAGGUGUGAUUGUCUAGGCUGACAAGACAUCAAAUAAGACCUAAGUAGAUUAAAUCCUAAAUAUGUUUAUGGAUUUACUCACUCGUGACAUUCAAAGUGUGGCUUACCUCAAUCCUGAGUGACUGACUGUGUGCAUGACUCGUAUACUUUGAUGUAUUGAAAGGAUGGGUUCAAUUGGUAAUUGAGACAAAAGCUAGGACAUCAGGUAUAUGACUUCAACAUAGCAUAGCUUCACUUACGAUAGUGGAAUCCAUAGCCUAACAAAAGGUAAAUGGUAUCCUCUCAUAGGUAUUACAUGAUAAAUGGAAAAACGUGGCCAUACAUCAUUUGUCUCGCACGAAUGAUUUCAUUAUUAUUUGUUAGUGUUAACAGAUACGAAUAGAAGAACAAAAAUAAGAGAAGAAAUGAUUGAUGAAAAGUUAAUUGUUUUCAUCUCUGGAGUUAUCCUAUUUAUAUACAAGUCUAUAAAGUGUAAAAUAAGGAAAGAUAAUAAAAUAAAAUCAUAAUGUUAAACCCUAAUCCCUAAGAAUAUGUAACCCUCCCCCUCAAUUUUGAUCUAGGAUAUUGAUUAUGCCUAGUUUGUUAUAUAAAUAGCCAACCCGAUUUUCAUUUAAUGCCUUUGUAAACAAAUCAACAAUUUAUUCUCUUCUCUUUACAUAAUCCGUGGAGAUAAAAUUGUCCAAAAUUUUCUCCCGAAUAAAGUGACAAUAAAUGUUAAUAUGUUUGAUUCUUUCAUGAUAAAAUGGGUUUAAGGCGAUAUGUGUUAGAAAAACAAGUUUGGAAAAUGCAGUGGAAAAUAAAUUUAGGGAAGAACUAGAGUUUUCAAAUUUUUCUAAAACAAGAUCUUGGUUGUGAUAUCUAAAGUAAUAAACACUUAAUCAAAAUUGUACCUUUUCAAUUCGUCUAGGAUGAACACUUCGACCAAGUAGUCUUCUCUAUCCUCAAGCUCAUGUCUGCCGAGUGUGGGCUCGCUUUGAAUCAAAAAAAAAUUCACAAAAAUUUCCAGUGAGGUAAUUUUGAAAUUUAUCUAAACUUUUGGGUCAAGUUGUAAAUAAAAAAAUAUCUCUAGAAAUUUUCUGAAAUAAUCUCUUUAGUGAAUUUUCUCUUUACAACUUUCUCUUGAAUUCAAGUGUGUAAAUAAUGACCUAAGGCUCUCUUUAUAUAAGGAGAGUUUGGCGAGUUCAACUAUGAUUAAACUUAAUCACUUUAAUAUUAAAUUAAUAAAAUACUAUUAAGAUAAAUAUUAAAUUAAAUUUAAUAUUAAACUAUUAAAAUAAUAUUAUUUUUGGAAUAGUUAAUCUGAAAUCGAAUUCUCUGGUAGAGUCCUAGUAGGAGUGUAACUCUUCCACUGCUCAACCACUGCCAGUUACCAGGACACUACUGUCACAGCCACUAGCACCGCUGUGUCGGGUGAUGCAGGUGCGACACCCUUAUAGCACCCGAGUCGAUUCGGUGUGUAACACCCCCAAACUGUCUCCGUCACUGGAUUAGGGUUAUGGAGCAUUACUGAUCAAUUAGAAAACAUUUAUCAUCAUAAUAUUUAAUAAAUUAAUCUCAAUCAAAAUCAUAUCAAACAUAUACAUUUCAUCCCUAAAUCAAGCCUUCUAGGCCCUAGAAAUAAUUUAGAAGCAAUUCAGGACUAAUUUGAAACAAAAUAGAAGUUUUAAGAAAAAGAAGCAAAAAUGAGAAAACAGAGGUCACAUGACCCUGUGGCCAGGUUGUGCGACAUAGCCCAUACCGUGUAACAAUCGAACAAGGGACACACGGCCUUGUCCCAGCCAGUGUCCUUACCCAUUUAACUCACUGAGUAAGGUCACACGCCAUGUCGCAGUCCGUGUGCUAGGCCAUGUAACACACUGACUUAAAACACUAGGAAAUAUCAAAUGACACACAACUGUGUCAUUAGAUCAUGUGUGUCACACUACUGUGUGACAGCCCGUGUUUCAGGCUGUGUGAGCCAAAAAUUGACCCUAAGUUCAAGCCAUUUCAAGGUCAACCCAUACCUAGCCAACUAUGCCAUUUGGGCACACAAUCAGAAAACUUAAACAACAUUUAAACACAUCCAAACAUACCACUUCUAACAUUCUAAUUCAUCCAACCAAUAUGUCAUUCAAAGGCACCACAUUUAUACCAAAACAUCAUUAAUUAAAUCAAAGCAAUAUGGUCACAUUUCAAGCAUAAGACCUAAUUUCUUUAACUACCAAAUAACAUCACAUAUAACCAUUUACAUAUCAUCACAAACAUAACAAAAAGAACCAUAUAAUCCAAGUACUUAAAAAUGGCCAAAAUAACCAUUCCAAAACAUGCCAUCAUACCAUAUACUAUCUAGAACCUAUGGAGUUUGCAUGAGGUUUCAUUCACCCAUAUUUGCAACUAUUAUUUAUGCAAACAUUUACCUUAUUAACCAUAACAAGCUUGACACAACUCAAGACAAGCAAUUUCAUUUAAAUAGCCUUUCAACCCUAUUACAUGCUAUUUAUAUCCAUUAACCAAAAUAACCAUAAAUACCAAUAUGUCGAAUAGAUAGUGUGACGAUACUCCAACAAGAUUCCAACCGGCUGAAGUUCCUGAUAAACUACAAGAUAGAGGAAACAAUUACGUAAGCAUUUAAUGCUUAGUAAAUUCGUUUAAGCAAAAUUUAACUUAUCAAUCAUAUUAAAUUAAACAACCAAACCUACUCUCAUUAAGUCGAUUUCCAAACUUCCUUUCCUAUACAUAUCACCUCAUAAGGUUAGUAAAUAUAUCAUUAGAAAUAAACCCUAAGUAUGUCAUGGCAUAUACAUGAUAAACAUUUAGGUUUCAUCCAUAAUACAUCACUUAUACAUAUAUCCUUUACACAUACUUUCCAUUGAAAUCAUGUGGUUAAUAGAUAGUAAGUAAACAAUACAUCUAUAAAACAUAACAUAGAUUAAGAAAUAGAUUCCAUGCAUAUUUCAUCCAUCACUCGAUAAAUUAUCAUCCAUUUUCAUAUUGUAUAAGCAUAUUCAUCUUUCCCUUUCAUAUGAACAUUAGAAACAUUUAAUUUUCAUAAAUUCCUUUCCAUUAACUUAUACAUACCUAUUGAACUGUAUAGAAUAGCAUUGGAUUCUUGGGAAUGCUCACACAUAGUGUGUCUUUUCAUGUAACCAUAACAUUUCCUUUCCAUUACUGCUCACACGAGCUGCGAAACGGGCUUGCUCACAUGAGUUGUGGGUCGAAAUGUUAGUUACACAAUGCUGCUCACACAAGAUAUGGAGUAUCCGCAACAAAUACAGGACCUCAGCCAUCGAUAGGACAUCCAAGACCAGCACCUGAAUCCGUAUAACCCUAAUGGCAUGUCAUUUGUAUCCUAAGUAUUCACAAUGUUAAAACGGACCUUUUCACAUAUCCAAUUCUUUAAAUUUCAUUAUAUUAUACCAUUUCACACAUGCUUCAUGAAAUACAUAUUUUUUUUAAUUUUACACAUCCAAAAUCUUUCCUUUCAUUUCAUUGUACCAUUCCACUGUACAAAAAGUGAAGUUCAUAUUUUUCAUAUAUAGACUUUAAUUUAAUUAGCUUCACAAUUUAAUCCAUUAUACUAAAUUAAUACAAAAACUAUCCAUCUAAUUAUGCUUAUCACAAUUAUUACUUAACAUUUCGUCCAAAACAACAAUAACAAUUUUUAAUGCUUAUACAAACUUACCUUGACAAAUACAGUUGUAAAAACGAAGCUGAUGACAACAUUUAGUUUUUCCUCGAUUUUGAUAUGUUUUGCUCGUUUCUUUAUCUAAAUAACAAUUUUUAUUCAAUUAAGCCAUUCAAAUAACUGAACAUAAUUAAUUCAAGCCUAUAAUCCAUUUUAAGGUGAAUUUAUAAAAUUACCCCUAACAUGUUAACAUUUAUUCAAUUUAUUCCCUAAACUCGAAACUUGCAAUUUCACCAUUUUUAACCAUAAAUCAUGCUAGCCAAAUUUUACCCAAUCUUAUAAUAGCCCAUAUUUAUCCACAAUUUACAAUAUUUUCCUUGAAUUUACCAUUUUCAUAAAUAAGUUAUUAAACUUGAAAUUCAUCAAAAAUUACUUAACAAAAUACUUAUAUUUAACAACCAAGCUUAAUAAUCUAUCAUAAAAUUUCAAGAACAUCACAAAUUCUUCCAAGGUAAAAUUCUAAACGUUUAACAAUUUAACAAUUUGACCCCCAGGUUAGCUAGAUUAAACUAAAAGAUAACAAAAACAUAAAAAUCAUUAAAAACAGGUGCAAAAUGGACUUACAUGCAUUGAAGUUAUUUUGGCCAAACCUUGGAGGUUAAUAGCCAUGGACAUUCGGUGGAGAGAAAGCCAAAUGAACAAGAUGAUACUUUUCUUUUUAUGUUUUAUUUAAUUAACUAUUUAAUUUACUAUUAUACCCUUGUAAUUUAACUAAAAUUUCUCAACUUUUCACCUUUAAACUGUCUAUUAAUAAUAAACAAGGUAUAUUUACCUUUUAAAACCCUUAAUUCAUGGUUCUUUAGCCAUUUAGUACAAUUAAACUAAUAGCGAUUGUCUUUUGCGUCCUUUACAAUUUAGUCUUUUUCCUUAAUUAACUAUCUAAAUAUUAAAAAUUUUAACCAAAUUUUAAUACGACCUUAAUAACACUCCUUAAAUAUUUAAUAAAAUAUUUACAACUUGGUUUAUAGAAACGAGGUCCCGAUACCUCAUUUUCUAAAACCACUUGACUUUAGGGACAUAGCAGUUGAACCUAAUUAUUCUUUUAUUUAACAUAAAUCAUUAAAUCAAAUUUUAUUAUUAUACUAUGUUUGACUCGUAAGUAUUAAAUAGUAAUAUUUAUAGACCACACAUCGGGUUUAUGGCCUCGAAACCACUAUUCUGACACCACAAAGAAAUGGGCUAUUACACGGCUGCUGCCGGUUCAAUCUGAAUCAAUGACGACCUGGCUAGCCCGGUCUAACAACCGGUUAAACCGUCGGCCUGGUUUCACAUACCUAGCCUGUUCAACAAUUUUUUGGGUCUUGGUCUUAGUUUUGGGCUCCUGGACCCAAUUUACGAUAUCAGAUCCAAUUUUCAAGUUCAAUUACCCAUUGGACCAAUUGUUUGACUUGAAAAUUAACUUUCAAAAAUAUCAUAUUAAUUUUUAUUGAUUCAAUUAAUUUAAUUUUACUUAAUCAAAAUUAAUUUUUUCAUAAUUAAUUUUACUUAGAUUAUCCAAAUUAAAUUUUCAAGAAAAUUCUUUAAUCAAAUUCUCUAGUUGAACAAUUCUUACGACCACCUAAUUUAAUUCCACAUCGAAUAAAUCGACUCAAUUAAAUUAUUCCCAAAGUCAUAGAAUUUUCUUUUGAUUCAAAUGCAGUCCAAUCAAGCUUUUGUUGAGCUAGCGGAGGGACCAAUCAGACAUAUACAAUUAAGCUCUAGUGAUUGCAAUUAUGUCCAAAAGCAUCGUUCUGAUAAUUCGCAAUUACUUAAUCAUGGAGUCAGUCCACAAGAAGUACCAUGAUUGAAAAAUCCUUAUUGUAUACUCUUUAUGAAAGCAAUUCAUCCAACUACAUUGUCCAAUAGCCUCGUCAUAUGUGUGUUACCCUCAUACGAUAUCCUUGAUUCCUUUGAGUUAAAUCCGUUCACUUAAUACAAUACAAUCCUAGUUUUCUCUCAUUGUCACCAUUGUGUCUUCUUAAUGAUUAAUGUGAUCAUUGUCAACAAAUGACUGUGAUAAAUUGCUCGUUUGAGAACAAGCAACCCAUGGCCACGUUUCAUAUUUAUCAAUCCACACAAUGCCAAUGAGAGGAUAUCAUUAACUCUUUAAUUGAGCUAUGAAUUCCACUAUUGCUAGUAAAGCCAUGCCAUACACAAGUCAUGUACCCAACAUAUCAGGUAUGGGCUCAAUCAUCUUUAGAGCAUAAGCCUCCACUUAUAUCAAAGCACAUGAGUUGCAUACGCAUGACCAGUGACUAACUCAGGAUUUAGGUAAAUUACAACAUAAACGUCAGAAGUGAAUUAAUUCACAAACGGAUUUAGAAUUAAUUUAUCUUGGGUUCAGUCCAAUGUAUCAUUCUACCAAUGAAUGCAUCUAUGUCUCUACUUGUGGAGUCAAUUGUUCCAAUAAUUAACACUGGCCAUCUCCCCCAUUGGAAUUGUAGACAACAUAAUAAUCCUUCCCAGUAUUUUAAUCAAAUACUCACUUCGAUUCUUUUACGGGAUUACGGACUUAUUUAGAUUAACUACUGAAGUAAAUUGUCCUUGCCGCAAUGUAAAUGUUCUUUAUAAUGCCAUUUAUCUUCAGUUUGAACUUUAGACAAUCAAUGAGCUAAUAUUUGCUUGUCACAAUUUCACUAUGCAUGCAAAAUAUAAAAUACAAAAAAUACAAAAUACAUAAUAAUUAAAUGUGAAAUUAACUUUAUUUAAUUAUUCGUUAUUUAAAUAAAUAGAAAAUAGUUACAUGAUUACUACAAUAUGGGCACAUUUCCCAACAAUACGAACAACUGCUUGAUUAUCGUGGUGAUGAAAUACUCCAACCCAAUUUUUAGUUAACAAAUGUUGUAUCCACAUAAUUUCACGUGUGGGUUAUGUCAUAGUCUUGUAUUCUGAUUUUGCACUAAAUCGAGAUAUAAAAUUUUUCUUUUUGCUUCUCCAUGAUACUAAGUUCAUACCAAGAAAUAUGGAUCUUCCCCUAUUGGAACAUUAAUAAAGUUUCCAUUAUGUUAAUUGGUUUGUCCAUUAGAGCCUACAUCCUAAGCAAGCCAAAGUUUGAGAAUAGCAAAGAAGAUUGUGUUGGUGGAAAUCCAAGAAACAACUUAGACUUUCUAUGCCAAAACACAGGCACGAGUUUGGUAAAAGAUUUAUUGCUAUAAACAACUCAACCACUUGGUUUUAAAAAAAAAUUAAUUUUUCACUGUGCAACAAAACUUAUUUCUAAAUUGAAUUUUUCCAACAAUUGGUGUUAAAGUUAAAGUAUAAAUCGGUUCACCAAAUGUUUGAUUGAUUAAACUGAUAAUAAGUGGCAUUUUUGCAUUAUAAGCAUGUUUCAUAUUUAUGUAAGUGAAUAGAUGAAUGAUAAUUGUUCAACAAUUUCUAAGAAGUAAUUUUGCCAAAAAUUUUGCUUCUUAGCAAUAGAUCAGUUGUAUUUAGGUUUAUUACUUUUUUUUGGUUUAUAAUUAGAUUGUGGACUCUUUUUAUUCAUGCAAGGUUUUUAUUUUAAUUUUAUGUUAGUUGAUUCAUCUAGCUCUAAAUGUUCAACGGAACUCAAAAAACAUGGCGAAUUUAAAAUCCAAACCAAAUAGAAAUACAACAAAUGAAGGGACAGAAAUUUGGCGUGUGAGGUAGUUGAACCAUUGGACUGAUCAUCCAGUCACCAUGCAAAAUGUGCUAGGGCAUCAUGCCCCCAGCAGGUGUACAAAACUGCACAAGUGACCAAGCCAUCACGUCCUUCUCGACAACCCAACAUACGUGUGUCAGGGCAUCACACCCUAACAGCACAUGACAACGAUAGAUGGGCUAGGGUGUCGAACCCUAACCUAGACGAAGUGCACGCAAGGCACACUAGAGGAAGUCAAGGGUUUGCACCCUAGUAGUGUGUGGCUAAAUUGGAGAAGCUAAAGCAUCACGCCCAACAAUCGACAUGCAACUGGGGUGAUAAAAACAAUGCAGGGGCUUCGCGACCCAACCAGGCCAAUCACCAAUUAAGCAUGGCAGCAACGCUAGCGGUGCGCAAACGACUUAUUGAGGGUAAGGUGAUUGUGCCAGUGGGUUGGUGCAACGAGUGGCCAGAUGGGCAACAAUUGAUGUCACAAUGAAGUUAGUGACAAGUUAACUAGCCAACGUGAAUAGUGACUAGCCACAAGCUAAUGGUGGCUGUGGCAGUGGAUCUUUCUCUUCAUUCAUUAGGUUUUGUUGUAGUUCUAUUGUUAUACAGGUUCUUUUGAAAAUAUAGGUUGUAUUUUCGCAUUAUGAUCCAACCACGUAAUACCACUUAGUAUUAGUUUAAACUUUAGAAAACCAAUGAACUAAUAUUUACUUCUAUUUUGCUUUGUAUGCAAAAACCACAUGAGGACAUUAUACAAAGUAUAUUAAUGUAAUACAUGAAUUAUUUUAUUAACCAAUUUGUUCGAAAAGAUUACAAGUUUACAGACGAAAUACUACACUUAGGGCACCAUAUCCAAUAGAAACCUUGUUUUUAGUAGUGAUGCUCAAGCCAAUCUACUUUCUAGUAUCCAAUGUGGUAGCUAUUGAUUAUGAGAUUUGAAAAAUAGAUACAAAAACCACAAUUCUAAAUGGCUAUCUCAAGAAAGAACUUAUAUGGUACAACCUACCAGAUGUAUAGCUAAAGGAAACAAGAAUAAAAUUUGUAGAUUGCUAAGGUCCAUAUAUGGGCUUAAACAAGCAUCCCAUUCGUGGAAUCAAAGAUUUGAUCAAGCAAUCAAUGUAACACCCUAAACCCAGCCUAGACGUCCAGUCCAAGUUUACAGAGUUACAUUAUGAAUACUCAAAUACUACGCAAAACACAACAAUACCAAACCAUAAUUCACAUAAAAUUCAACAAAAAUAUUAGUUAAGUAUAUAAUCUUUCAAAGUCAUACUAUUAUAGUUUAUCGAAACUUCUAUCAAAAUAUUUUAAAAAAAGCUAAUGGCUCGACCGAGCUUCCGCAGCACCGAUCCGUUCAAGUCUGCGAACCACUUGAAAUCUAAGUAAUAACAAAAUGAGUUGUGAACUUAGUGCGUAAAAGAAGUUUGUUCAAUAAAUGCUUACUUAUAAGAUAGUUCUAAAUUCAGAGAUUCGGUUUGACAUAGAAGUAAUUUCAGUUCAGAUUCAAAAUAGGUUAGUUACACAUACAUGUAUGUAAUUUCAGUUUCAUAUAUGAUAAAGAUUAAUUUAAGGUGUAAUGUUCCUACCCCCAUCCAUUAUACACCAUCUUCAGCCAUCCUAACACACUGUUAAGGACAUUCAAUGUCCAAUCAACCCUGUACACCAUAGAGUGUCUGUUUGACACUUUACAGAUAUGCAACGUAGCUGCUAGACUAGAUUGCGAUAAAGCGCCAGAAUCAGAUUUAUAUGUAUAGUGGCGUAGCCACUGAUUUAGAACAGACUACUGCCUUCUUCACAAUAUCCCCACCCAGGCAAAUAUAGAGCACAAUUACCCGUAUCAUGUAUUCAAUCAUUCUAGUUUAUUUCACAAAUAGAUAAGAUAGUUCAAUUCCAAAAUAAGUAUCUUAAUAUUCAUACAACUAUGUUAUUUCCACUUUAGUCUCAAAAUAUCAGAUAGUUCCCAUAUAAUCAAAUCAUACAAUAAGAAUACUAGUAUCAGUGUUCAAUAAAAUUCACGGCCUCAAAAAUAGGUUUCAGGCCCUAAUAACAUGCCACACAACCUGGUCACCCUCCUAUGUGCCUUGCCUGUGUGGUUUUGAAGCAUAAAUAGUGAGUUACACGGCCUAGGCACACGCCCAUGUUCCUGUCACUGUGACUUACACGGCCUAGGUACACGCCCGUGUCCCUGGCUGUGUGGUUUUAUUCCACAUAAAGUGAGUUACACGGUUGGACACAUGUCUAUAUUCCUCCCAGUGUGACUCACACGGCUUGGGUACACGCUUGUGUCCCUGGCCGUGUGGUUUUAUUCCACAAACAGUGAGUUACACGGCCAAGAAACAUGCCCGUGUGCUUUACCCGUGUGAACCUUACACUAAUAUGGCCACACACGGCCUAGACACACGCUUGUCUCCCUGCUGUAUGGCUCAAAAUUGAUAAAUAGUGAGUUACACGGCCAACCACAAGGCUGUGUAGUGUCGACAGCUACCAUUUUCGUUGACCGAAACUUGCAAAAAUUUAGGUUUCUGUACGCACUUUGUUCCGUUUGGAAGAAAAAAUGCGAAGAAUACCCGGAACCUAAUUAACCAUUCAAUAAUAAAUUACACCAUCGUUUUCAAUAUUUUACUAAAAUCACCUACCGUUAAGAUCAUAUCAAAAAUUUCGACGCAACCCCAACUCAAAUCACAUACUUACCUUGUACGAAAUAGAGGGAAUCGGACUAACACGACAAAGUCACAUCUCUUGUAAUAUCCUCACCUAAAAAGUAAUCAAUCGAGUGUUUAACAGAACGUCAAACAAACGAGCAAAAUCCUGUUUCGACAAAAUAGUGUUAACAUAAUAGAAUUCGCAAAACGAAAAGGAAUAAUAAUGGAACUUACCCAAUAUCAACCUCACAGGCAACGAAGAAUUCCCAAUUCACGCAAAAUCAAUUGCAGUAAGAAGAAAAAUAAAAGAAAAGAAGAGCAGGACAACAAGGAACUAAAAUUUAGAAAAAGAAAAAAAAAAGAAAAAGGACGAUAAAACUCUUCAUAAUGUUUUAAAUUAACCACUAUCCCACCUACCAGAAUUUGCAAAAAAUAUAUUUCCUAACACACACGAUGGGACUUGAACUCGGAACUAGACAAAUACAGACAGAUGCUCAACCAGUGAAUCAGCAGGCUCAUUCUUGUCACUGAUUUACCCAGAAUUGCACUUAACUACAUAACACAUGGAUAAAGUUUGUUUUAAGAAAACUAAUAACAAAAAUUUUAACAAUACAACUCAAACUCCUGACCUUAAACCAUAAAAGCAGAGCACAGAACCACAGAUAUAGAAAUUUAAUUACUACAGAUUCUCACAAUUAAACCCUUAAAUUUUGGGGCGUUACAAUAAAAACUUUUGGAUUCAAAAGUAAUGUUGAUAAACCUUUUGUUUAAAACAGACUGUGGAUGGAUAUGUGGUUUUUCUAGUUUAUUAUGUCGAUGACAUACUAUUCAUUAGGAAUGAUGUAGAGAUUUAACAUGAAGAAUUUAAGUGAAGCUAACAAUGUUAAGGAAUUUGAAUCCUUAGGGAUCAAAAGAAUAGCUUUAUCGUAAGCUCUAUACAUAGACAAGAUAGUGGAAAAAAGGUUAUGGAAGAAAGAUUGUAUAUGAAAAAGGUAAAAUCUCAUGUAUGUGAUGUUAUGGACAUGUCAAAGAUAUUUUUUGUGAAGUAUAUAGUCAAGUAUUUACAGAGAAUGAGGGAUUAUAUGUUAGUUUAUUCUAAAGGGGCUUUAACUCAUAUUGGAUGUAUGGACGCUAACUUCCAAAUGUGUGAAAUUCAAGGAAAUCAACAUCGAGUUGUAUUUUUAUCUUGAGCGGGGAAGCUAUAAUAUGAAGAAGUGUUAAGUAGAGUUGCAUUACUAACUCCACUAUAGAGGUCCAAUAUGUGGUUGCUUUUGAGGCAACAAAAAAUGAAAUUUGGUUUCAGAAGUUCCUUACAAAUCUCAAAGUCAUUCCUAGUAUAGAGAAAGCUACCACUUUGUAAUACAAUAACAUUAGAAUAAUAUCUAAUACUAAGGAAACCAGAAAUCAUAAACAGACAAAACAUACUGAUAAAAAAUAUCACAUUAUAUGAGAGGUGUUGGCAGAUGAUAUAUUUGAUAUAUUCAAAGUUGCAUUUGAGGAAAACCUUGUGGACCCAUUUACCAAGACUCUAGUGCUAGGAGUUUUGAGAAAUAUGUAGAGGGUAUGGGUAUGCAAAAUAUAACUCAUCUACUUCACUAGCACAAGUAUAAGACUAUUAGGAUCUAGUGCCUUUAGUAUAGUUUUUAUAAUAUGUACUUGUAUUUUUCAAAGAAAUUGGUUGAAUAAAAUUCAAUCUGUUACAUUAAUAUCAUUUGUAUUUUUUCCUCAAUAGGUUUUUCACACAAAGCAAAAUGAACAAGCAAAUAUUGUCUCACUGAUUACCUAACUUAUAACCAAUAUUAAGUUGCAUUAUGUGGUCAAAUCUUAAUGUGAGAAGACAACUUAUAUUAGUAGGUAAUUUAAAUGGUCCAUAGUCUAAACAAUCAUAAUUGAGCAAAUCAAUUUAAAGACUAUUACGCCAUCUAUCAAGUCCAAUUAGGGAGAUAUCUUGUCUUAGGUAUUUGAGCAGAUGACUCCCAAAAGAUAAAGACAUAGGUGUGAUUGUCUAGAAUAACAAGACAUCGGAUAGGACUCGAGUAGAUUAAAUCCUAGAUCUGUUGAUGGAUUUAUUCAUUUAUGACAUUCAUGAUGAGACUUACCUUGAUUUGAGUGAAUGAGUGAUUAUGUAUGUGUGACUCGUAUACUUUAAUGCAUUGAAAGCCUAAGUUCAAUUGGUAAUAGAGUCGAAAGUUGGCACGUUGGUUAUAUGACUUUUGCAUGGCAUAACUUUACUUAGUAGAAUUCAUAGUCCUGCAAAGAGUAAAUGAUAUCCUCUUAUAGGCAUUACUUCAUAGAUGGAAAAGUACCACAGUCACAGUCAUUUGUUUGGCACGAAUGAUUUAAUUACUAUUUGCUAGUAAUUAAUGUUUUCAUAAAGGAAGAUAUAAUGGUUACUAUUAGAUAAAAUAGAAUCAUAUUAGGUGAACAAAUUUAAUACAAAAAGAUUAAGAUAUCCUAUGAGGCUAACACACAUAUGACAAGGUCAUUGGACAAGGAGUUGAUUAUAUACUUUCGUACUGGUAUAUAAUAGGGAGAGUUUAGUCAUGGUACUUAAAUGAAAUUGCCCCAAGACUAAAUAAUGUUGUAAUUAAUAGAUGAAAAGUUGGGAAUUAACUAUAAAUUAGUUGAGCCUUAAUUAUAUAUGUCAAAUCGGUCCCUCUGCUAGCUUGGUACAAACUUGAUCGUUUGCAUUUGAAUCAAUGAGAUGAAUAAAUGAAAAUGAAAAAUUAGCGAAAUAGAUCUCAUAUAUCACUAUUGUAACACCCCAAACCCAGCCUAGAUGUUAUGGUCGAAUCUAAAGAUAUCACAGAGAAUGGGUUUAGUUAUGUAAAAUAAUUUCAGACAUUUAACUCGUAUACUUUAUGUCCAUUUCCGAAAACGUUAAUUAAUUAGUUUAUUUGCCAAACCUAUUUUACACCGGAAGCCAAACAAACCAAUACAUUUUAGAAAUUCGAUUUGUAUUUUAAAAAAACCUCUUUUGCGUAAAAACCGUCGAUUUCAUAAAAUUAUUUAUCAAGGCAUGCAAAUUAUUAUCAAGCUGAAAAUCAACAGUUAAAAAUUAUAAAGUCCAGAGAGUCCCAUAAAUUACAAACUCUCAGAAUAAACCAAAAUCGUAAAUCGUAAAUAAAACCAUAAUUUAAUAAUUUAAAGCAGUUUACGGUCGAGUGGUCACCGCUGAGUCUCUGCGGCACUGAUCUGCCUAAAUAUGUGGAUUACCUGACAAAACAGACAACCAGAUGUGAGUUUACGUAAACUCAGUAUGUAACCCAACAGAAUUAAGCAUGCAAAAAUACAUAAUCAUAGACACAGUCAGAAGCAGAUACAUAUUUUGAUUCAGAUUCAGAUCCAGAUUCAGAUUCAGAUUACAAAAACAGAUAUGCAGAAAUCUUACCCUCAUCCUCUACGCACCAACUCUGUCCAUCCCAUCAUACCAUGUGGGUUUAAAAACACCCACCCAUCCCUAUACACAGUGUCGUGCCUUUAAGACACAUAUUAGAUAAUAUGCAGCCAAACUGCCAGAAUAUAGGCGUUUAACGCCGAACAGAAUACUUCCUCCUCAUAUACAAAUGCCACCCUACAAUUAUAUAUAGAAAUAGAUACAGAAUAACAUACUAGACAUGCUCAACAUGUUUACGUACAGAUAUCAAAAUAAUUAGACAUGCAUAGCAUUAUCAUAUUCAUAACAGAAUUCAGACUAUUAAAGUUAUAGUUAUGGGGUUUGAUUAGCCCUUACCGACCCUACGAUAGGCUCACAGUUGAUUGGUACGACCUUGCAACCCUAAGGAAAAUUUCAGAAAAAUGGGUCCACAUGCCCAGAUUGGCCUUGCCAGUGUGGCCUAUACGACUUAGCCAAAAAUCUACACAUCCGUGUGAUGUGCCCGUAUGAGCUCACACGACCGUGUGAUGUGCCCGUAUGGGCCCACACGCCCACAACCACUUCAUUAUCAUCCUCAGUUCUCAAAACAACCCUCUUAAUUGCGCAAUCCAAACUAACUUGAUGCUUAACCAACCAAUCCAUACCCAAGAUCAAGUCAAAUUCCCUAAAUAGAAGCUCCAUUAGAUUUGCCAGAAAUACCACUCCUUACACCUCUAACGGAACGCCUUUAUAAAGUUUACUAACCUGAAUAGAUUGCCCCAACGGACUCGGUACAGUAACCUCACUAGUAGUGCUCUCAAUAGAAAUCCCUAGGGUUCCAGAUACAAUACUUCCUACAUAGUAGUGUGUAGAACCUACGUCUAUCAGAGCAGUAUAAAGUACAUCAAAUAUAAAGAACGUACCGAUGUUGACAUCAGGGGCAUCUCUAUCCUCUCAGCGUCGUGCAGCAUAAUCCAGUGCAGGCUGCCUCGCCUCAGUCUGACACCUCUGGCCGGUGCUCUCUGCCCAUGACCUAUACCUUUACCACCCUAGCCUGUCUACGGCUCCUAAGUGGCUAUUGAACUGCCCUUUAAGGCUGCGCAAAACCUGGUCCCAAAGCUUGCAUCUGAUUAGUCCUCUAUGAACACUCUCAAAUACGGUGCUCAAAUGACCCACACCACAGACAAGCCCCUAUCCUCCUCCAAAACUCACCAGAAGGUGCCUACCACAAUCACCGCAUAGCUGAAUCCCAAUAAGAGCAACAGGAGCCCCUACUCUAACUGACCCAUCAGAUCUAGCCAUUUUCUUAUGCCUCUGAAUAGAACUCGAGGGUUCUGAAUCCCUCUUGUUCCUACCCUUCUCUCUAUCCCUAUUCUAGCACUCCAUAAGCUUAACAUCAUCGGUGAUCUUUACCUUCUCAACCAAAAUUACAAACUCUCACUCCCUCUAUGGAGCAAUCAGUACCCUCAGAGUAUCCCUUAAUCCAUCCUCAAACCAGACGCACCUCUUAUUCUUAGACGUAACCAUUCCUUGAGCGAAAUGGCUCAACCUCAAAAACUCAGCCUCAUAUUCAACCACAGAUCUGUUGCCCUGCGCGAGAUUCAUGAACUCAUGCCUGCGAGCAUCCACAUUGCUCGCCCCCAUGUACUUACUCUGAAAGGUGGUCUUAACGAAAACCCAAUUCAGACAAGCAGUCUGAGUACGCUCAUCAACCGUCAACCACCAUUGAUAAGCCUCAUCGUGAAACAAAGAGAUUGCCCCUUUUAGUUUCUGAUCAGGAGUGCAAUUUAGAUCACUCAUGAUCCUCCCAGUGGCCUCUAACCAAUACUCGGCCACAUUAGGGGCGACUCUAGUAACACCCCUAAACAACUUAGCACCAUUGGACCGGAGUCGUUUAGUUACUAACCCUUAGCCUCCAGCUCCAGAAUAGGGUCCAACGACCCUUUCUAAGAUCCUCAGCAUGGCUUGAGACAGUGCGUCAUCCUCAGUCGAGCGACUUUGAGAACCAGUGUUGGUAGCAGGGGAAACUGGUGUCUCACUCGUAUCUAAAUGCGACAUACUACCCAGAGAGGAAGACUCAGCUCGAGCCCCCUAUAGCCUCUACCACGGCCUCAAAUACCACGUUCGUGAGUUCCACGAGCGCUCAUCGUAUGAUUCCUAUUUUAUCUAUUUUAUAAAAUUUUAUGCAUCAGUUCCAAUAUUUAUUAGCAGAUGUUUUAUGUAUAAAUUAUCAGAAGUUUAGAAUUGUUUUUAGAGGUUUCAGUCUCUAGCUAUCUCAAUACAGUUUCAGAAAGUACUACCUACAGUGUUUCAGAGUAGUUUUAACUAAGUUUCAGAAAUACUUACAAGAUCAGCGCCGAAGACUUGGUGUACCGCAUAGUUUCUCAAAUUAUUCAAAUUAUUUAAAAACCAAUUCUUUUUCAAAUACAAUUUUGGAACCCAAAAUUUACAGUCAAGUUUUGUAACCCUGCUCUAAUACCACUAAAUGUAACAGCCCAAACCCGGCUUAGACGUUAUGGCUGAAUCCAGAGAUAUCACGGAGAAUGGGUUUAGUUACGUAAAAUCAUUUCAGUCAUUUAACUCAUAUACUUAUGUCCAUUUCCUUAUGUCCAUUUCCAAAAAUGUUACAUUUUAUAAAUCUGAUUCGUAUUUUAGGAAAAUAUCUUUUGCGUAAAGACUAUCGAUUUCAUAAAAUUAUUUAUUAAGGUAUGUAAAUUAUUAUCAAGCCGAAAAACAACCUUAAAAAUUAAAAAAUCCAGAGUGUCCUAAAAAUUACAAACUCUCAGAAUAAACCAAAAUCGUAAAUCAUAAAUAAAACCGUAAUUUAAUAAUUUAAAGCAGUUUACAGUCAAGUGGUCACUGCUGAAUCUUUGCCGCACUGGUUCGCCUAAAUCUGUGGAUUACCUGACAGAACAGACAAACGGAUGUGAGUUUACGUAAAUUAAGUGUGUAACCCAACAUAAUUAAGCAUGCAAACAUACAGAAUCAUGACAUAGUUAGAAGUAGAUACAAAUCCAAAUUAAGAUUAUAGAAACAAAUAUGCAGAAAUCCUACCCCCCAUCUUCUACACACUAACUCUGUCCAUCCUAUCACACCAUGUGGGGUUAAAAACACUCACCAAUCCCUACAUAUUGUGCCGUGCAUUUAAGACACAUAUCAAAUAAUAUGCAGCCAAGCUGUCAGAAUAUAGGUAUUUAACGCCGAAUAGAAUACUUCCUCCUCAUAUACAAAUCCCUCCCCACAAUCAUUUACAGAAAUAGAUACAAAAUAACAUACUACACAUGCUUACGUACAGAUAUCAGAAUAAUCAAACAUGAAUAACAUUAUCAUACUCAGAACAGAAUAUCAGACUAUUAGAGCUACAGCUUUGGGGUUUGAUUAGCCCUUACCGACCCUACGGUAGGCCCACAGUCGAUUGGUAUGACCCGUGUGGCCUUAGGGAAAAUUUUAGAAAAAUGGGCCCACAUACCCGUGUGGAUUACCCGUUUGGGUCCACAUGCCUGUGCAGCCUACAAGCCUAGAUUGGCCUUACCCGUGUGGAUCACACAACUUGGCCUAAAAUCCACACAACCGUGUGAUGUGCCCAUAUGGGCCCACAUGCCUGUGUGGCCCACACACCCAACUUGGCCUAGCCCGUGUGGCCUACACGGCCACACUCAAGCCACCACACGGCUGUGGCCGGUGCACGGCCAAGCUUUCAUCGAUCUCGCACACGGCCAUCCAUAUGGGUUAUCACACGCCCGUGUGGCUAUAUAGCGCAAUUUUUUGGCUUUCGUCGAAACUCGAUUUCUUGCGUUUUAGGAAUACAACUGAUUCGUUUUCGCCGCAAAAUCACUCCUGAUAGCAUCAGUACCUAGAAAGAAUGUUCCAACACCCUUUUAGCAGUCAAUUAUGAGCCUAACACAAUUUACCCAAUUAGGCAAAAUCGACUUACCACUUAAACAAAAAAGACCACCACCUUGUAUCAAACUGUUGAAGUGCAAUUUCCUGCCUCACAACUUUCUCCUAACCACAGAAUCCACCAAUUAACACCACCAUCCAAUAUUGCUAAACCCAAACCAAAAUUAAAGAGGACAAAAAAUUGACUUACCCACUAGAUUAAGAACCAGAAGCCGCAAUAACAAUGUUUGACACAAGAAUAAUGAACCGAAUUAAAGGGACGAACAAGGGUUUACUGAAAAGGGAAAGAUGUGAAAGAAAAGAAUGGCAAAAAAAUUUGACGUUAGAAUUUGGGGAUUUUUAGAAGGUGAAAGAAAAUAAAAUAAAAUAAAGUAAAAGAUUUCAAAUUCCUUAUUUUUCUCCCACUAUCCCACUAUAUCACAACCUCUGACUCCCACUCCACCGAGACUCUAACAGAUAACAGAGCAAAAACAAUACCCACGCUUGUGCAAGGAUUCGAACACAGGACCUCCAACACACCAACUCCCUUACUACACGAACCAAUAGGCUCAUUCUGAUAUGAAAUUACAGGCAAUUAAAUCUAAGCUCACUGAACAAAAAUAAGGCUUAGAUCCAAAAAUAACAAAAAUUGCUAAAGGUAAGACCUGAACUUGAGACCUCUCACAGACACCCAGAACACUUAACCAUUGAAGUAGAUACACAGUUGUGCGAAAGUUUUACAGAAGCAAAAAUAAGAAAAUUAGGGCAUUACAGCUAUCCACAAUGAAUACGUUUUCUCGAUAUAAGCAAAAGAUGACUUAGAGAUUAAAUUAAUUUCUUUGAAUUAUUGUUUAAUUGAUUGUAAGUAAAUGCUGAACUUCGAAGUGAAAAUUAAAUAAACCUCUAUCAAAUUUUAGUGAGAUUUAUUCUUUAAAUAAAUUAUAAGUUUCAGAGAGUGUGGUUUUGGUUUUUAUCUAAUAGAAAGCUAUUGACCUUCUUCACUUGAACAUUAAUAAAUUUUUCGUUGUGUUCAUCGGUUUGUGAAUUAGAGCUCACACUCUUAGCAAGUCGAGGUUUAAGAAUAUCAGAGAAUAUCAUAUUGGUACAAAGUCGAGAAACGACUUAGACCACCUAUUCUAAAACACAGGCAUGAAUUCAAUAAAGGGUUUAUUACUAUAAAUAACACAACUGCUUAGGUUUAGAAAAUUUUUAAUUUUCUGUUGUGCAACAAAACUGUUUUCUAAACUGAAUUUUUCCAACACCCUUUAAGAACACUGUAACACCUAUAACCCGUUUCUGUCAUCGAAAUAGGGUAGCAGUGUAUUACCAUACAAAACAAAACAUUUUAUAGCCAAUAGUAAUUAAUUUUCAAAUUAAUUUAAUAAAUACAUAAGAAAUUCAAAAUGGAAUAAAUCAUGCAUUUACAGGGCUUAAAUCGAUCCUACGUGGCCUUAGAAAUAGCUUUUGAGCAAUCAGGGACCAAAUCAGAACAAAUCAAAACAUUUUAGGAAAAAAAUAAAAAUUCACCUGUAAGGGUCACACGGCCGUGUGUCCAGGCCAUGUGACAGAGCCCAGACCGUGUAGCUCCAAACAUGGUCGUGUGGUUAUCCCACAUGACUAUGCGUGAUCUCACACGCCUUUGUGUAUGGGCAGUGUAACUCUCUGACUUGGGUCACACGGUCAUGUUGCAGGCCGUGUGCCCACCCGUAUGAACCCUGUACCUAACACGCUAGGGGUACACUCCAGUGUGGGUCGUCCGUGUGCACCCAAAAAUGACCAAAAUCAUGCCUACCUUUCAUCCAAUUACAUAGGUGCUUAAACCAAUUCAUAACUCGUGAUCACAAUACUAUAACCACACCUAAUACAACCAAAACAUACCAAUUUCAACCACCUAAGAACAAAUCAAAGUGUCAUAUGAAGAUACAAAAUAGUGCUCACACCCAAACAUUAUCAUUCAUAUCACCUACAAGUCAAAACAUACACACCAACUAAUCUAUCUCAAAUCUCAUCAUACUAUACUUAAACAUGAUACUUACCAUUCCUUGAACAAGCACCUAAGCUCAACUUUGAGUUUAACUAGCAUACCAUAUAAGGUUACCAUUCCACAACAUCUAACAUGCCAAAACAUCACACAUAGCUAAGAAACAUUACAAACAUAAUCAUUUGUCCUAUUACAUGCCAUAUAACCUAAAUGUUUACAGAAACUACCAAAGAGUCUUCAGGAUAGUGUGAUUCUAUAAGUCGAUCUGAUCUCCCAAACACAAAAAAUGUAAUCUACAAAACAAAGGACAAGACACGAAUAAGCAUACUUAAAGCUUAGUAAGUUCGCUAAAUUAACGAUAAAUCUUACCAAAUUUACAUAAAAAUCAAGUUAUAAGAUUUAAAAACGAAGUUCCUAUCAAACACAGCUCAUAACAAGUGAGAAUUACACAAUACAUUAAUUCACAUCACGUUCUCAGUCAUCGCAUUAUUAAGAACUAAUCUCAGAUAACCAGAGGGUAUCACUAAUUUGAGUUAACUUCAGAGUUUUGACCGGUUCACGAUGCUGCUCACAUAAGCUACAGAGAAUCCGGGAAUAGAUGUAGGAUCUUAAGCCAUCGUUAUAGUCUGUAUCACUAGUACUUAGUACCUGUUAGAUAAUCACUGGCUCAUGAUGCUGCUCACACAAGCUGUAGAGAAUUCGCAACAUAUGUAGAAUCUCAGCCAUCGCUAUGGUCUGUAUCACUAAGUCAAGGCCUGAUAGUUAAUCCAUUUAUCAUGCAAUCUCCAAUCAGUCCAAAGUCAAGUAUAAAAUUGAAUAUAAUCAUAACAUACAUGAAAUAAAUAUAGAUGUAAUAUAGAAAUAAUGAUACGAAACUUCCAAGACUAAUCUACAGUAAUGGCUCAAGUACAGAGACUACUCUAAAACCUUUUCUUUUUAGCGAUUAUCAACACGUUCUUGAUCUAAAAUAAUAAUUUCAUUCAAUUAACUAAAUCUACAACAAAAAUUAAAUCAUUUUAUGCAAUUAAGUCCCUUUUUGUUAUUUUACAAAAUUUCCCUCAACUUUUCACUUUUGUUAGAUUUAGUGCCUAUGCCCCAAAACAUAUAAAUUAACCAUUUUUCUCAAAUCCCAACUUGGACGAAUAUUCCAUGGCGUUAUUACACCCUUUAAUUUCAAAUAUUUCAUAUCAAGUCCUUAAAAUUUUAUCAUUUAAAAAAUUUAAAAUCUUCAAAAACUACUUUAUAAAAUAGUCCUAUCUAACAACCACAGUCAAUAAUCUUCCAUAAAUUUUCAAGAAUAACUCAAACUCAAUAAUGGCACAAUCCAAAACAUUUGAAAAUUUUACGAAUUAGUCCUCGGGUUAGCUAGAUUAAGCUAAUACGAGCUCAAAAACAUAAAAAUUACUAGAAACGGGUUAGGAUUUACUUACAAAUCAAAGCUUAAAAGUUGAACUAUGGAAACCCUAGUUGCCCCUUAGGUGUCGUGGAGAAGAUGAGUGAUUUCAACAAAAAUAUCAUCUUUUCUUUACUUAAAUUUAAUAUAUAUACUUAGGUAUUUUUGUAAUCUUUAAAUCUUUCCUAAUUAAGCUUUAAUUAAUCACUAUUAACAUUAAUUAAGUUUAUCCAAAUAUCAUAACAACCAUGUUAAUGCACUAACUUAAGCAUUUAGUCCCUUUAAUUAAAUAACUCAACUUUUGCAGGUUUUACGAUUUAGUCUUUUUUACUUAAUAAACUAUCGAAAUGAUAAAAUUGUCUCACUAAAAUUUAAUACGACAUUAAAGAUCUCAAAAAUAUUAAAUAAAUAAUAUUUCCAAAUUAUUAUGUUAGAAUUGUGGUCUCGAAACCACUAUUUUUGACACCACUGGAAAUCAGGCUGUUACAAACACUACUCGAUCAAGAUGAAAUCAUUCCCUUUAAAAUUUUAAUCAUUCUCUUCAGUCCACUCUCGCUAGUUCUUACCAAGUUACUUUAUAACUUUCCUCGAACAUAAGGGGGAACAUAUUGUGUUGUACUAGUUGAGAAUUUAGGCUUCAAUCCCAAGACAACCAACAACCUAAAAUUCAUAAAUCCCACAUAUGUUAUGUUUUGGUAUGCAUCCACUUCGAUUAUCACCCAUAUGGUUUUAUGUGCUUUUGUUUGUUAUUAUUAUGGCCUCUACGGUUUUGCUUUGUGCAUAUGUUAAGCUUACAGCUUUUAGCUUCCUAUAGUUUCCUACAGCUUCAACUUGAGCUUAAGUUUUUUGUCAUGUUGGUUUUGCUUCUCUAUGAAUUGCAAUACUACUCUUCAAUGCAAAACUACAUUGUAAUUUCAACCUUGCUCUUUACAACUCACAAUUCCACUUUGUAACUUUGGUCCUUAACCAAACCCAAGCUUUAACUUCUACAUUGGUUUUCUAAUAUGCUACAUUAGCCUCCCAAGCUCAGGCUUGACCAUUUGCUCUAGAUUUAUGUUUUGUUUUUUUUUCUUUCAAAGUGUUAAGCCUCGACUUUAACCUCUAAAAACAUUUCAUCAACUUUAGGUUCUACAGCUAGCUAGUGAUCUAUGUCUUUAGCAAGAAAAUGUUGAAUCUAAACUAAAUUUAAUACACAAUUAUGCUCCAAACAUUUUCUCCUUAGUAACAUAUUCUUGCAGCUUAGCAUAUACUUCUCCUCAAUAGUAUACUUACGUUCUUCAUUAGCAUGCUUCUGCUCAUCAACUACAUACUUCUAUUUCACAAUUUUUCUCCUUAUCGGAAAUAAAUUUCUUCUCAUUAGUGAUAGACUUCUUCUCAAUGGCAAGAAACUUCUUCUCCCUGGUGACGAACUUCCCUUAGUUGCAAUAAAUGUCUUAUUCUCAAUGAAAAAAUUCUCAUCAUCCAUAGUAAACUCAUCCUUGUCAUCAAACUUCUUAUCAUUGAUAGUAAACUACCACUCUUGAACAUCAACUUCUCAAACUCAACAAGUAUCUUAUCUCUAUAGAAAAUUUCUCCUUCUCAAUAAAAAAUCUCUCAUUGUUCACAUCAAAACCCUACUUCGCGUAGUUAUUUUUAUGAAUAAUCUCUUGCGUAAUUGAUUGAUUCCAAUUCCUCAUGAAAAUUAUUGCGUCAAACAAAUUGGCUUCUACCAAAAACCUUUUAAGGGAUGCAAUAUUUCCAAACAACUUGGUUUUUGCGAAAUCUUUCAAAGGAUACAAAAACUCCUUGAAAUGAUACAUUUUAGCCAACAAAACAACCCUUAAAAUUUAGCUCUCAACACAAAUAUGGUCAAGCAUGCAAGUCUUUGAUACUCUUUAUGAUUAUCCAACUAGUGGGUGGAUUCAAAGUCCUGCUCUAAUAGUAUAACCUCAACACUUUUACACAAAACAAAUCUUUACAAGGUCUUUUUUAUCCUUAAAAAAAAUCUUUACAAGGUCCUUUUAUCCUUAAAACUAAGGUUAAAGAAGGACAAAUGUUAUACUAGAAUACUAAUUAUGCUCGCUAUCAAGCAGUAACAAUGCAAGUUACAACAUUAAGCCAUAACUUAUCUUUCAUGGUGUACUUCAAGAAGAACUCAAGUCUCUUCAUAAACAAUGUCUAUUUUAUUCUUGCAAAACAUCUUACAUAUACUUCACAUAUCUCUCUAAUGCUCGUAAUGGCUCAACCCAAAACUUCCAAUAAAUAUAACUAAACCUCACUUAGAAAGGAACCAAAUAUUACAUCAAGAACUUUGCCAGAAGAAAUGCUAGAUGUCUUCUAGUCCUUGGGAGUAAAUGCUAUGCAAACUAUAGCAAGUGCACUACUUACUCCACCAUAUAAUCACUAACCCUCAAGGGGAACAUUCUUAUUCCAAAAAUUGGAUACAUAUUCACUUUCUUAAGCGAUACAUUCUAAUUCUUUCAGAGGACACAUUCUCACAUUCUCAUCCAUCAGGGAAUAUGUUCUCGCUAUCUUAGAGGAUAUGUUCUCACUCCAUAAAGGGAUACAUCCUACACACUUAAAGGAUAAAUUCUCACUCCCUAAGGGAUAAGUUAUUAAUCAUUUAAAAGCCAUAGUAAUUGCAUGGCAUGAUCUCAAUAUUGUCAAUCCAACUUUACUGAAACAACUAAGACCCUUCACAAGCUCUCCUUAACUCCUUAAUCAAAUAUAACACUACCAUGAGUACAACCUCAUUAGUAGAAAAAAAUUGAUUGAUUUAAAAAUUAACAAAAAAAUUUAUAGAUCAAUUUAUAUAUACUUAAAAGGAACCUCAUUCCAAGAUAUUAUGCAGAAAAACAACAAACCAAAAAGACCACAUAAGACAUCCAAGCCAACAUUGAUGGGACCUUAAGAAAUAGCUAAUUUAUUACACCCAAAUCCCUUAAGGGAUAUAAAAAAAUUCAAACGACUUGAUUUCCACAAAUAUACUCUCAUAUAGUCGAUAGAGCCAAAUUUCUAUAGGGAUGAAGGAACUAACUCUAGUUGAUUACUUAUCCACAAUAUGCUCAAAUGGCCAAAAAUAUCAUAUCCUAUAACCAACUUAACAUAGGUGUUUGCCUAACCACUUUAUAAUUUGCCUUAAACUUAAAGUUAGGGGGUGACAUAUAGUUAUACCAUGAUAUUGAUAUGACAACUUUCAAGCAUUAAAAAAAUUUGUGUCAGAUACUUGCAGAUCAUCCAAUGAGAGAAUAACCUCGGGUGCUAGGAAUAAAGGUCGCAUAUAUCCAUUCCUCGUGUGUGUGGGGUGACUUAAGCAUCAUAAAGUGUUUGAGAGCAUAAAUUUUUGCGCUCUAGUAGUUUACCUUCGUCUUACAUUAACCUGAGAGCACUCAAUUUUGUUUCCAAACCUGAUCCAUCUUAGUGUAGCUAAAACACACAUACACAAAAAACACAUAUAUUAAUGUCAUAAGUUUAUUUUGUUACCCGUAAUAGAGUUAAUAAAUUGAUGAAUUUUUUAUACUCCAUUUUGAAAACUUGGAUUUGAAUUUCAAUUAUUAUGUAAAUGGUAAGAAUGAAAUGCAUAUAUUAUAGUCAAAUUAGUUGAGAUUCAAUCUAAUAUAUAUUAAAAAAAAGUACAAAAAACAUGGAUUUGUCAAUUCCAAGAAUAUUUUAAGGAUUUCAAAUUCAUUACUAAAUAGGCAUCUAACACAUCCAUGGAUUUGAGAGAUGAUCAUGAAUAUUAUAUUUUUAAAUAGUUUAUUACUCAAUUUACACUAAUUUUGAAAUUUAAAUCCAAAUUCUAAAAUCUUACUUCACAAACACUACAUUAAAGCCAAUAAAUUGACAAAUGGAAUUAAAACAUUGGGACAUGUUUUAUAAUUUAUAUGUUUAAAUAUAUCCUAAAGAAUGUUAACCUAAAAAAAUUGUUUUUAGAGUCUAAAAUUUCACUAAUAAUAGAUAAAAUGAUAUAUCUAAAUUUUAUAUAUGUAUCGACAUGGAAUUGUGAAAUUACAUUAUUGUAGACAAUUUUUACGGAAAAAAAUUCCUUGAGAGAAAAUGUAGUUUCUUGAGAAAUAAUUAAUUUUGCCACCAAUAUAUUACAUGGAUAAUUUUAAAAAAUAAAUUAAUAUAUAUUGCUAGGACAUGCAUUUAAAAAGUCAUUUAGUUAUUAAAUUUUGGCGUAAUUAUUUGUAAUUACAUAUAUUUGACAUGUUUGAAUAAUCAAUAUAAUUAGUAGAUUCUAUUGAAUUACAAUCUAUUGAAUUAAUUGUAAUUGAAGCACCUCAAUUAUACUCUUUAAUCUUUAUGGAUUAAGAAGUGAUAGGAUUACUCAAGUAAUUAGACAUGAUGACUUUCAGUUUGUUUAAAAAAAAUUAUUUUUUUAAAGAUAUAAUUGCAUUUAUAAAAUUAAAAUUUCGUCUAAUUAUAAGUGAUAUACUUACUAUUAUAAUAAUUAUGUUAUGAAUAUUUUAUUAAGUGGAUGUCCAUCAAGAUCUAGAUAAGUUUUGAUAUACUUUAAAUUCUAAUAGUCAUUAGAAGUAGAGUUCUAUUUCAUUUAUACUUCUUAUGUCUAUAAAUAUUGACUUUGUAGAAGCAUUGUAUAGAUUCCUAUUGAUCAAUAAAAUAUGUUCUUUCUUUUUCUCUCCUAUUUUCUUUGUUCUUUACUUUCUGUCUUUUUAUUUCGUAACAUAUUAUCAACACAAUUCUCUUUUAAUUGUCUUUCUCCAUAAGUCAGAAAAAAUCCUCAAAUCACGCCUAGACUUAUCCUCAAUCACUGGCCACUUGAGCAAGGAUCCUUAACCACUAAUUUUCACACUUUUUCCUUUCACCAUGCCUUACCCCUUUCAAGCAGCAACCAAUGCAAUAACCGAUCACUCCAAAUUUGUUGCUCAAGUUGUUAUCGGUUGCCUACUAGAGCUAUUACUAUUUCAGUCUUCAAUUGGGGCUUGCAUACUAUGGGUAAUCAUUAUACAAAGAAAUUUAUAUAAUCCUUACUGGUAUGUUUUUCUCCUUUGUUGAUUGAUUUUUGGUAGAAUUAUUUUAUGAAAAAAUAUUAUCACUUUAAGGUUUCUUUUAAACUAAGAUUCUUUUAUUAAAUUAUAGUAUACAUGAUAGUUGGAAGAUUAAAUUUUUUGAUGAUUAAAUUAUUUUUAUUAAAUAUGCUUGAAAUUUGAUUAAAAUUAUGAGAGAGGGUAUUACUAAUCAAUAGCAUUUGAUUAAAGGGAAAAAGGAAAUUUCAGUUGGAUCUAAUUGACUCAUUAAUAU